This 172990-nucleotide long non-coding RNA is filed under the name Populus tremula. Its description in RNAcentral is "long non-coding RNA (PTRE_LNC000325)". Lineage: Eukaryota; Viridiplantae; Streptophyta; Magnoliopsida; Malpighiales; Salicaceae. The record is from RNAcentral.
UGGGCAGCCUUUUUUCUGCUGUUUAUGUGGUGUUCUGCUGUUCACGCAGACUAAGAACUCCUACCAUCGUAAAAUCAUAUAAUUAAAACACAACAAAAAAAAAGUAAUGAGCAGCUCAUUAUGUGCGAAAACCAGAGAAAUAAGGUUACAGAACGUGAGAGUGAGUCACUACAAGUAAAAGAGGCUCAGAGAGAAUGGGAAUAGGAAUUUCAUUACCUUAACUUGAGAAAUAUAUGCGAAAAGCACUGGUAUUGAGUGCUCAAUGAAAUAGCGGGAGGAAGAAGAGGAGAUGGCCUUUAGCUCUGUAUGGAAUCCAGCUUCAAAAGCAACAACGCAAGGUCUAAGCAUUUUGAUGACAUAAUUAAGAUACUAUGCGUAGUAAUAUAGAGACAGUGACAAAAAAAUAAAGAAAAAUAAUGUGUAAAAGUACUCACCUAGCAAAGAAAGAAACGAAUGAAAGGUUCGGAUAAUCACUUAGACGUCUCCAUGGAUGAUACCAGCUCGCUUCCACCAACAAAUUUAAUUAACCUAAGCUGUGACAGGUGUUUUUUUAAUUUAUUUUAUUUUAAAAAAAUACAGAUCAACAAGAGAAAGAGAAAAGACUUGCAAAAAAGUAGAAUUGCUGAAAGAAACUCAACAAAGAAUCAAACUCAAGCAGGUUAAUGAUUGACCUAUAACAAUAUUUAAAAAAAAAUAAAAAAAGCUAAAAGAACUACGUUUUUAAUAGCAUCUAGAGUGCGGUUACUUUUUUCAUCCCUCAUUUGUGGUUUUAUUUUAUUUCAGUCCUUCAAGUCUUUUUAUUUCGCUAUUUCAUCGAGUUGCUUUGGUCUUGAGUUAUUGUGCUUGCCCUCGAAUAUGCAUUAUGCUAGGAAUUACAAUUACAUCACCUAAAAAUUACAAUUACAUAUUAUAAUUACAAAUUUCAGUUUUUUAAAAAAAACAAUUUAUUAGAAAGGACCAAUAUUACAAUGUGAGCAAAUGAAAGGAGAACUUUAAAUAUUCUUGUGACAUGGUGACCAGGUAAUCCAAGGAACCAAUAGAUUAUCGCCACUUGUUCAGCCUUAUCUCCACAUUAAGGAUAGGGGUCGAAAGUAGGAGAGAAAAGUCAUAAUCUUAGAUUCUUUUGUGACAUGGAGAUAAAGGUAAUCUCAAAAGUUAACAGAUAGUCGCCACGUGUUCGAUUUUAUCUACCCAUUAGAAAAGGAUAGAAAGUAGGAGAGAAAAGUCAUAAUCGUUGUGACAUGGAGAUAAAGGUAACUCAAAAGCUAAUAGAUGGUCGCCACGUGUUCAACUUUAUCUACCCAUCCAUUAGGAAAGGAUAGAAAGUAGGAGAGAAAAGGUUAAAUGUUUUUUUUUUAACUAUUCAAUAUAUUCAUAGAAAACACUCAAAAUAAAAUUAUAGACAAAAAAAUAUAUAUUUCUUAUUUAUUGAAAACAUAAAAUUUUAAUUCAUGCAUUUUUUUUAUUUAAAAAAUGUAUUUUUUAUGAGUAACAUUAUUUUGCUCAAUGUCCCUAAUACAUAAUUAGUUAUAAAGUAAUGAAAAUAUCAUAAUAAAAAUUCCUAAUCUUCUUGAAAACAAUUAAAUAAUUGAACAAUCACUUAAAUAUUAUUUUAAUAAAUUGAUUGAAAGAAAUUUUUAAUUAAAAAUAAAGAAUAAAGAAUAAAAUGAUAUCUAAGAUAAAGGUCAUACAAAUUAAUAAAUUAUAAGUAGCAAUAUUUAAUGCAAGUUUAAGAAUAAGAGUUUGCUUUGUGUUUUGUUGUGAGAUUAACCAUAUCAAAUUAUAUAUUUAAUAAUAAAUAAUUGUGUUGUGUUAUGAGUAAAAUCAAUAAAUUAAAACACAACAAUAAAAAAGUAAUGAGCAGCUAAUUAUGUGCGAAAACCAGAGAAAUAAGGAUACAGAACGUGAGAGUGAGUCACUACAAGUAAAAGAAGGUCAGAGAGAAUGGGAAUAGGAAUUUCAUUACCUUAACUUGAGAAAAUAUGUGCGAAAAGCACUGGUAUAUAACAAAUAUACUGAUGAAAGGAAGAAGAGGAGAAGGCCUUUAGCUCUGUAUGGAAUCCAGCUUCAAAAGCAAUAAGGCAAGGUCUAAGCAUUUUGAUGACAUAAUUAAGAUAAUAUGCGUAGUAUAUAACAAAGAGACAGUGACAAAGAAAUGAAGGAAAAAAAUGUGUACAAGUACUCACCUAGCAAAGAAAGAAACGGAUGAAAGGUUCAGGAUAAUCACUUAGACGCCUCCAUAGAUGAUACCAGCUCGCUUCCAAUAACAAAUAUAAUUAACCUAAGCUGUGAUCGGUCAAUGUUUAUUUUAAUUUUCUUCUUUUUUUAAAAAAAAAAAAAACAGAUCGACAAGGGAAAAGACUUGCAAAGAAAUAGAAUUAAUGGAACGAACACAACAAAGGAUCAAUCUCAAGCAAUUAAAAGUAAUUGUCUAUGAGUACCAUCUGUGUCACACGCUCAAGUGAGGAGAGAAAAGAAAAAGAAAGAAAGGAAAGGGACAAGGAAGGCAGAAAGUAAGGUCACGUAGGGCCAGUCUUGUAGAAAGUUUGAAAAGUAGCAUGAAAUAAGAGGAUAAUAGCAUAGUUGUCAGAAUCAAAACACGUAUAAACAGAGGACAAAAACAGGGAGGGAGGCUGUUUUUUUUUUUUUAACUGUGUCGAGUGCUUUUUAUAAUUAUAUUUAAUUUACAAAAUAUUAAAUUAAUAUAUUUUUUAAUAUUUAUUGUUAUUAUAUAUAUAUAUAUAUAUUUAAUAUUUAAUAAAUUUUUAAAUAAAUUUUUUUUAAAAAAAGUAUGUGUCACAAUACAAAAUUAUAUAAUAAAUUAAAAAAAAAAGGAGUUUUAUGCUCAUUAAUAUUCACUAGACUUGUAGAUAUUAAUAAUAAAGUUUUUGAAAGUUUUCGAUCUAGUAUUUGAACUUAUUUUUUUUGCAUAAAUGAAUUUUUUUAAGCUUAAUUGCAGUUUUUUUAAGGAAAUAGGUUGAAUUGAGAAACAGAGAAACUCGGCAAAAAUACGUGGUUAAAAUCAAUCCAUUUUUUUAUAAAAAAAACUCCUUAGUUGUUGAGGAAAGAUUGGUAGUGGGAACAAAUCACCAAAGUCAGCAGCAAGGAAGUUCCGAGAAGUGGGCAGCCUUUCUUCUGCUGUUCAUGCAACUCCUACCAUUUUUAAAAUAAUAUAUUUAAAAUACAAUAAUAAAAAUGUAAUACGUAGCUAAUUAAUGUAUUAAGCAGCUAAUUAAUGUUGCUGUUCUUUCUUCUUGUUCUGCUAUUUUGAUUUUAUUGUAUUUUUAAAAAACAUUAUGAUUGUGAAAGCUAGCCAAACCAUUAGAGCAAAGCAAUGUCCGAAGGUUUUUGAGAGUGUGGUUGUUGUUAUUUUUUAAAGUGUUUUUUAUUUAAAAAUAUAUUAAAAUAAUAUUUUUUUUUAUUUUUUAAAAAUUAUUUUUGAUAUUAACGCAUCAAAAUUAUUUGAAAACACUAAAGAAAUACUAAUUUGAAGUAAAGAAAAAAAAUAAAAAUUUUUUUCAAAAGUACUUUUGAAAUGUAAAAACAAACAGAGCCUAGUGUAGUUACGCCCAAUGUUGUCCCGAGAUAUUUUUUAUAAUCUAACUUUUUUAAUAUAUUUUUUUAUUUAAUUAUGCAAUAUAUUCAUAGAAAACACUAAAAUAUAUAUUUCAUCAAAAUUCUCUAGUCUGAUUUGAUUAUGUAUUUUUCUAAAAAAAAAAAAGUUUUUGACUAUAGAAAAAGUAAUAAGAACCAGGAAAAGUAUCCUAAGAAACUGUAAUGAUUUGAACUAAAAAAAUAUUUUUUUUUAUUGAAAACAUAAAUUUUUAAUUCACGCAUUUUUUUAUUUAAAAAAAAAUGUAUUUUUUAUGAGUAACAUUAUUUUGCUCAAAUGUCCCUAAUACUUAAUUAUUCAUAAUGUAAUGAAAAUAUCAUAAUAAAAAUGCCUAAUCUUCUUGAAAACAAUUAAAUAAUUGAACAAUCACUUAAAUAUUAUUUUAAUAGAUUGAUUGAAAGAAAUGUUUUAUUAAAAAUAAACAAUAAAGAAUAAAAUGAUAUCUAAGAUAUAUAAAGGUCAUACAAGCCUUCAAAGAUAAUAUAUGUACAUGUACAAUACAAAUUAAUAAAUUCUAAUUAGUAAUAUUUAAUGCAAGUUAAGAAUAAGAGUUUGCGUUGUGUGAACCAUAUCAAAUUAUUUAAUAAUAAAUAAUUGUGCUGUGUUAUGAGUAAAAUCAGUAAAAUAUUUGGUGUUCUGUUGUCUUGUUGUUUGAAUUAAAAUUAUUAUUAAGAAUAUAAAUUAAAUUAAAUAUUUAAAAAACUAAAUGAAUUCCUUAAUAAAUAAAUAAAUUCUUUCUUUAGAAAGCAUGGAAAUGCCAUGACAUUGGCUUUAUAGAGAAUACUACGAAAUUAACAGCCAAAAAAGUUAUCGAUAGCUGUGUAAAUCAUUGGAUUCGAUGGAAGGAAGAUGGGAAGAGGGGAAAUGGGUAACUGGAAAUUAAAAAGAGAUGAAGAUAUGUGCAUGGCUACCUGUUUUUGAGAAUCAUGGAAAGUUCUCCCUAACUUAAAACGGCACCAAUUAUAAGUUCAUUAAAACAAAUCUGGAACACAACAGAUGGAAAAAACUCGAAACAACUCGUCUAGAAUAUAGGCAAUGAACUCGAAACAACAGAUUUAUUUCAUUUUGUUUUGUUUUUUAAAAUAAUACAAGAUAUAUUAUCUAUUUCAGGUGAAACAUAAUGGAAACGACAACCUUUAAAGGGAGUAGAGACCACAUAUGUGUCGCUCGAAUUCAAUAGCCUUUCUCCUAUACUGGCAUGUGCUUUACACGCACCAGCAUUUCUUUCCUUUUUAUUAUAUAAUAUUCAACAUCGGUGAGUGAGGAUUUGGUAGCUGGCCUUAUUAGUAGUGUUGGUUGCUGAAUUGUCAGGCGUGUUUUGGGGCCAUGCGUGGUCACCAAGAACAAAUCCGUGAGGGCGGUAAAGCUCCAAAAUGAAUAAUUGCCCAAUCGAGUUAACGUUUUAUGGUCUUUUCUCCAUGAUUCGGGUUGAACAUUUGACAUUUAUCCUUUUUUUCUAUAGUCUUUUCUCCAUGUUCAUUGUGAUGACACACACUUGCGACAACCAGUAAAUCUAUAGUUAAUUUCAUUUUUUGAUAAAAGAUAAUACCAUGGAUGUAGAAUGGUUACCAAUUGUUAGUUUAAUAUGCCUUGUAGCCAAUCAGUUAGUUACACAAGCCAUUAUUAUAUUCAUGUAAAUACAUAUUUAUUAUUAAUAAAGACUUAAUUUAACUUUAAUAUUCAUAUAAUAUUAGAUUAAUGAAUCUAGAGUAUAGAUAAAGUUUAUGUGCAAAAAAUGCUUUGCAAAGAAAAUUAUAAAGUUGCUAUAAUUAUGAGAUUUUUAAUGCAUCAAAGUAUUGUUCAUAAAAUGAUCUUGGUCGAUGCUCUCUUAAAUACUAGAUAUUUAUUAGAGCCAUAAAAACUGAUACAUAUUAUAUUUUUUCUUUAAUGAAAUGAAGCAACUGUUCUUAUAAGUUUAGCUAUAAGGGAUACCUAAAACUAAUAUGUAAGUGCUUGUCAUAAGACAUAUACACUGAAUUGACCCGCAUGUGAAUUCCAUAUGGAGAGAUUACCUAUGUCUAUGGAAAGACUCACGUGAUGAUUGUAUAUGUAAUCCUUAGGCUUGAGAUCACUAAGUUAUCUUAUAUAGAGAAUGUUAUGCUUUGAUCCUGUUACAUGUUAUCUUAAUUGAGGUAACAAAAUGAUAUAGAUUGGGUAUAUCAAGAACUAUAUGAAGGUACUUGAGUGAUCAAGAGAGGAUUUCAUCACCCUAUGUGAGUUAGAAAAAAUGUUCCAUCUGUUCUCAAAUAGUAUUGACUGAGAAAUCUUUGGCCAAGGUAGAAUGAGAUUUAAAAAGAGUUUCAAAUCUUAUUCAAAUGAUCAAUUAAUAUUAUGUAGAGAAUGAACAUGAUUUAACAUGUCAAACAUACUUCAUGCUUUAAUGUUAAAUAAGAACAUUAGUAAUAAAAUGGUAUUAAUUACAAUGAGAAACCGAUAAUUGAAACCACUAAUGACUUUUCUAAUAUUUUAGGGGAUCAUGACACGUUACUAGACAAUGCACAUGAUCUUCAAAUCUUUAAUUCUAAUUUAUUUAAUUAUAAUUAUAAUUUAUAUUUGGGCCAAUAUAUUAGGAACCUAAUAGGUCAUACACAUUAAGAAUUAAACUAUGAUGAUUUAAUUAAGUAUAACUUGAUUAAAAUAUAUUUUAGAAAUUAAGGACUAUAAUAUAAUUAAUACAAGGAUUAUAUUUUCAGAUCUAGAAAAAUCAGGUAAGGACUUGAUUGAGUUAAUUUAUAAAAUUAUCUUAAAUUAAUAUAUGGAUAUUAUUCAAUGAGGAAAUUGAUAUUUUGUCAAUUUAUAGGGUUUUUUAUAUUUCCUUACAAAUAGUAAGCUAUGCCUCUUAAUUUUUAGGAGUUAUCUGUUAGACAGAAAAACUACGUAUGUCACAGAAUAAAGAGAUAACACUCUAGAUAUAACAAUCCCUCUCUCCUAAAUAAGGACUUAUGAGAUUUUUCAUUAAUGGUUCAUGUGGAUUACCGUUGAAAGACGAACAAUUGAACGACUUCUAGUUUACAACAAUUCAGUCUUUUAAAAAUUAUUCAAAAUCGAAGAUGAUCAAAUCUUCAGAUAAUAAAUUCCUAAACUCUAGAUCUGUUUAACGAAAUUCUAGAGAAUCCUAAAUAAUUUUAUAACCUCUUAAUUUAUGCAAGAACUAAGCUAGAUUUCAUCCAAGCAAUCACUAACUCUAGUAUUUUCUGUGUUAAAAAAGGAGACUUCCUGGUGUUCGCCGGAACUUGGGUAUACUAUAUUUGAACAAAUAACAAGGUAAAAACAUCUUUUAACGAUAUUAAAAUAAUUUAUUAAUAUAAAUUACUUUUUUUAUAUUAAUAUUAAAAAUAAAAAAAUAUUUUAACAAACAUCUACUUAUUCAAACACUUAAAAAUAAAAAUCUUAAAAUCACAGCAUGAUAAAAGAACAAAGAAAGGAAUGGGACAAGGAAGAAAGAAUUAAAAAAAUGAUAUAUAUAUAUUCUAGUUUGUUGUUUUUCUUUAUAUAAUUUAUAUAAAACCAGCUUAUUUAAUGGAUCAUAUUUAAUUAAUCAGGACUAAAUAAAUAAAUAAAAGAUAUACUCUCUCUUCCCAUUUCCUCUCCCAACUGAAUUUUGGCGACCACCACCCACACAACGAUAGCCUACAGAACCACCAGCCAUACCACUUUUCAAGACCCCUUCUCCAUUUUCCCUCAAUUUUCUAGACAAGCAAAAGGAGAUAAACUUAUUCCCGACCAAAACGUCAAGAAUUUCAGUACAACAAAAGAAGAGAUUAUUACUUGACCAAAAAAAACUGGUCAGCACCAGUGGCGGAGCCAGAGAUUUUUAAAUGAGGGGGCAAAUUGUUAACAAAUACUAUAUUAUAUAGACAUGUAUUAAAAAUCAAUUCAAAACAUAUAUAUUAAUUCAUAUCAAUUCAAAACAUAUAUAUUAAUUCAUAUCAAGUAAAAUUAAUAUAAAAAUACUUUUAAAAUGAAAAAACUUAAAUUAUAAUUGUUCUCUUCGAGUUUUCAUAUUUUGAAACCGCUUCAUAAUAGCUUCAUUAUCAAUCUUAUCGAAGAUAUCUUUCUCAAUGUAUACAACCAAACUAUCAUUCAUCCACUUAUCUCCCAUCUUGUUCCGCAAUCUACUCUUGACAAUAUGCAUAGCAGAAAAAACUCUCUCCACUGUAGCAGUUGCAACUGGUAGAAGUAAUGACAAUUUGAUAAGCAUAUAUACCAAUGGAAAUAUCAAAUUCUUCUUUGUUUUUACCAUUUUCUCUGCAAGACUAGCAAUACCUUCAAUACCAGAGAACUCAUCAUCACCACGUAGAUCAAUAAUAUACGUAUCAAGUUGGUCACCAAGUACCAUAAGGUCCACUAUAGAGAAUUCACUAGGAUAAAAAAGAGCAAGACGAAUAAGCUUUUCUUUGUUGAAAGUAGAGAAAGAGUCAUUUGGGCUUAAACAUGCCACACAAAGAAGUAACUCCAUACUCGUCUCGGUAAAACGAUCAUCCAAUUCAGUAAGUUGUAUGUCAAUGAUAUUGUUAAACAAUUCAUAACGAAAAUGGUGUAAGUUUGUAAUCCCUUGAGAUUUUCGCCUUGAACGCCCACGAAGCUUGUACUCAUCAUCCAUGUUUAGAAUAUCAAUAUCAUGUUUGAUGCAAAAAGAUGACACUUCUUCCAGUAAAGAUUCCCAAUCAUUCUCUCUCAUCAAUUUGAAUCGUUCCUUUGAUGUUUUCAAUAAACUCAUAGCAUUUUCUAUGUCUUGAUCUUUUCUUUGUAAUGCUUGUGAUAACUCAUUAGUAACUGCUAGUAUCCUUCUCAAACAAUGAAGCAUGAACACAAAAUUAAAUGAUUCCAUAAUACCUGUUAAAACAAUCGCUUCCGUUCUCUGUUCUGAGUUCAUCCCAUCCUCCCUUAUAAUCUCAAGCACAUCAAGAACUGAUGAAAACAUUGCAAGUAAACGAAUAAUUGUAAUAUAGUGGGAGCCCCAACGAGUAUCACCAUACCUUCUAAGAGAAGUUUCUUGAUUCAAGCCUCGUCCACUAGAAAUUUCCCCAUUUUCAAGUCCUUCAAUAAUUCUAGCAUAUUGUUUUUCUCUAAUCACCUCCAUCCUUUUACAUGAUGCUCCAACUAUGUUUAUAAUGCUAGAAAUAAAAUUGAAGACAUCUCCAACUUCAUUAUGCUUCUUUGUAACAGCCACAAGAGUCAAUUGAAGUCUAUGAGCAAAACAAUGUACAUAAUAUGCACUUGGAUUGUUAUUUAGAAUAAGUGCUUUCAAGCCAUUGAAUUCACCUCGCAUGUUACUAGCUCCAUCAUAUCCCUGACCACGCAAUCUUGAUAUACUUAACCCAUGUUUAGAAAACAAAGCUUCAAUAGCUGCCUUGAGUGAACUAGCAGUUGUAUCUGACACAUGUUGAAUGCCAAGAAAACGUUCAAUUAUAUGUCCAUUGUUGUCUACAUAUCGUAUAACAACUGCCAUUUGUUCCUUGAUUGAUAUGUCACGUGACUCGUCAAUUAAAAUUGAAAAUAAUGAUCACCUAGAUCUUUGAUAAUCACAUUUGUAAUCUCCUCUGCAGCAGCUUAAGUAAUGUCUUUUUGAAUAUCUGGAGAAGUCAAUUUGUUAUGUCUAGGAGCUUCACUGAAAGUAACUCUUUUAAUAACUUCAUUAUUUUUGGAAAGGAAAUGCAAGAGCUCUAGAUAAUUUCCUUGGUUGCUUGAACAUUCACAUUCAUCAUGGCCACGAAAUGGAAGUCCUUGGUGCAACAAAAAACGAGCACACUCUAUUGAAGCAUUCAAUCGAGUUUGAUAAUCACUUUGACUCUUUACUGUCUGCUCAGAUAACAAAGUCAUGAUACUUUGUUUUUCAUUCAUCAAAUUCUCACAUUUUAUCCGAGCUGCAUUGUGACUACUAUUAGACUUUCCAAUAUGAAGAUCAAAUCUUUCCUUUUUUUUCCAAUUUGAAAACCCAUCACCCACAAACGAAUCAACACCCCUUUUGACUUGAAGAGGUAACAAUACAAGCAAAAGGCAGCAUCUUUGGCUAUACUGUACUCUAACCAUGUUGGGUAUGCACCAAACCAAGCCGGAUUAAAGCGUCGUAGUGUUGAUAUAUUCCCAAAUUGUUUUUGAGGAAAAUCAUAGUGUGAAGGUUGACAAGGACCUUUUUGUAGAUAAGCUCUUCGGAUUGCAUCCCUAUCAUUUAUAUGGUACUCAUAAAUUGGUCUUCUUAAGCCAGGGUCAGCAAGAAGAGUGUCAGGGUUGAUUUCAAUAUGACUUUUCUUUGAACUUGAUUGAGUUACAUGACUUGAAGCUUUGAUUGACUCCUCAUCCUCAAGGGAUUUACGCUUGAAAUACUUGUCCAGUGACAUGUUAAUUUAAUAUGAACCUGCUGGAUUUUUUAUCAUCAUUAGUGUCUACAUAAUAAUUAACACAAGUACACAAUAAUUCACUAUUAAACAAAAGUCAAUUGAAUUACACAAUAAUUCUAAAUCUUUCAUAUGAAAUUAAUAACAAAAUACAUGUCAAUUUAUCAAAAUCAAAACCUAUUUCAAUUCAUAUCUAAAUGCAUAUAAAUUAUAUGAUAUAAUAAGUAUGUUGAUUAAAUUAUACUUAAUUAUUUCUAGACAUUUAAUUAAGGAACAAUGCUUAGUGUAUGUGUAAGAGGAACAAUACUUGAAAAACAUGCUUUCUACUUGAUAUUUUACUUACAAAUAAAUCAUGUGAAAAUAUUAAAUUUCAAUAAACUACUCUAUCAAUGCAAGAGAUGUCAAGAAUAGUGGUUUUGCAUGAAUAUUAAUUUAUUUUUUAUAAUAAGAAAAGAAACACUUAAUUGAUUAAAUUACAGAUUUAAAUAUUUAUAGAGAACAUAUUCAUAACAAAACCCAUAAAUUAUCAUAAACCCUAAUAUUUUUAAUAACUAAUUAUAAAAGAAUAAAACUAAAAUUAGACAAUAAAAUAAAUAGAAAAGAUGAAGAAAAUUUACCUAAAGUACAAAGCAAAAGGCAAAAAAGCUUAAUUGAUGAUUAAAUUUGUAUAUAGGAGACUAGGAGAGGUAGGAACGGUGGCUGAAAAAAAAACCCUACAGGAGAAGAUAAAUAAACAAAAGGGAAAUAGGGAAAAUUGGGGAGCUGUAAAUUAUAAUAUAUAUAUAUAUAUAUAUAUAUAUAUAUUGGGGAGCUGUAAUUAUAUAUAUAUAUACACUUUCCGUAACUGUAACAAUAACAAUAGCUAUUGUAUAAUAACUUUCCUUACUUUCCGUAACUGUUGUUGUAAUUCAUUUUUGGGUCCCCACUUAAAAAAUAAAAAAAAAUAUAUUAUACAAAUAAACAGUAAAACAAAUGCCAGGGCGCCUUAAAAAUGCCCAAAAAUUGAUUGAGGUUGUUCAAAAAACAUGAAAACUAAUUUUUGACAGUGUGUCAUUGACUGAUGAGAGCCCCGAUGAUAAAGAAAAUUUAAUUUGAGGAAGAAAAAUCCAAAUUCAGAAGUUUAUGGACUCAAUUAAAUUUUAUUAAAGGUUUAAUUGAAUUUAUGGAGAGUUUAAUUGCAAGAAAAAUGGAUUUUGGAGUUAAUUUGGGUUUUAAUUAGAAGAAAUUAAUUUUUCCGGGGUCAAAUUAUAUUUUUUGGAAGUUCAUUUGGCAAAUCAGGGGCUUAAUUGCAUAAAAAUUGAAGUUUAAUAGCCAAUUAGGGACUGAAUUGAAGAAAUCCGAGACCAAGGACUAAAAUGCAAAACACGCGCAAAUUGAAGGUUGUCUUUGAAAUCUGACGCGUUUUGGCGCCUUUUCCUUUUAAAUGAAACGACGCGUUUUGACCAAAACGGCGCCGUUUCAUGCACUGUUUAUUAAAAAAAAAAAAAAGAGUCCAAAACGGUGCUGUUUUGACGGCACUGUAGAUCUUCUUCUUCCCCUGAACUUUCUUUUCCAUUUUUUACGCAAUAAGACGCCCACCAUUCGGCGCCCACUUGCCUCCUUUUUCUCCACUGAUCGAUAGUGGAGGGGGCGGCCAACAGUGGCCUCCCCACCGUGACGUCCCCCCCUGUUUUUGCCUAUAAAAACAGGGGAAGGGGAAAGAAAAAGAAGAGGAGAAGAGAGGGAGAGAAGGGGAAGGAUUUAACGACAGAAAGAGAGAGAGAGACGAGAGAAACGGAACGAAAAAAUAGAAAAAAAGAAAAGAAGAAGAAGAAAGAGACACGACAAAGGAGAGAAAAAGAGAAAAAAGAGAGAAAGAGAAAGAAGGAGGACCGUCGCUGGAACCACGGCGACAGCAGCACCGCCUCCGCUAGAACCGCCUCGACGCCACCCCGGGUACCCUCCUGCUCCCCGAUCAUUUUCUUCUCCUGCUGCCCAGCCUUGCAUUUGCAUGCAGAACAUGAAAAUGUUAUUUUGUUUAUCUUUUAAUAUCCCGGGUAUGACAUUAUACGUAAUACAUAUUCCGGAUAUUUGAUUAUUAGUAUUUUAAUUUUCUUUCUUUUUACAUUAGAACCUGGGAUAUGACAUUACAUGUAAUGCGUAUUCCGAACAAUAAUAUAAAAAAAACCACAACACGAUUUUAGAUUUUAUCAGACAUUAAAACAAUGCAGCCUACCUUAGGUAGGGCGUAGUUGGGGUGCUAAUACCUUUCCUUUACGCAACCAGUCUCCGUACUCGAUCUCUAAAGACUAGUUAAGGUUCCUAGUAACCAGAAUACUAGGUGGCGACUCCCAGUCCAUAUUUUCACUUGUAGAGACAAGAAUUCCUUGUCUCUCUCUUUAUUUGCCAGGAAUUGCCCCCUUUUGACCCACUAUGGCUCCGCCACUGGUCAGCACUGAAAGAAACCGAGUGAAUGAUGGAAAAAGACUAAUAGCUAGAAAACAAUCAACAUAACCAAGAACUAUCUGUAUGGUUUCCAAGAAAUUGAAAAGAAUCAAGGAGCGCAACCCUCUUUCUCCUCCAAGAAAAGAAAGAAAAAGAAAAAGAAAGGAAAGAAACUAAGAUAGAAAGUCAAACUUGGCUCCUCUUUCAGUGUUAAAAAAAACACAAAGAAGUUCGAGGAAGUGGGCAGCCGUUGUUCUGCUGUUCACACAGACUAAGAACUCCUAAAAUUGUAAAAUCAUAUAAUUAAAACACAGCAAUAAAAAUGUAAUAAGCAGCUGAUUAAUGCUGUUGUUCAUUCUUCUUGUUUUGCUAUUUUGAUUUUAUCAUAUUUUCUUAAGAAAUUAUGAUUGUGAAAGCUAGCCAAACUAUUAGAUCCAAGCAAUCAAAUAUAGAAACUAGCAUAGUUGCGCCCUGUUCUCCCAAGUACUUUGUAUAAUCUAACUUUUUUUUAUAUGAUUUUUUAAUUUAAUUAUGCAAUAAAUUCAUAGAAAAGACUACAACAUGAAAAAUAUAUAUUUCAUCAAAAAUGUGUAAUCAUUCAUGUAUUUUUCUUAACAAAAAAAAAGUUUUUGAUCACAACUAGAAAACCGGAGAAAACCAAUGGAAUUACCGAUAAAAAAAUUUUGUUCGGUAAUUUUAUCGACGGAAAUACUUUCUUCGGUGAUACGGUCGGUAUAUACAGAUAGAAAAUACUCGUCGGUGAUCCUGUCGGUAUAUACCGACGGAUACAGUCCAUCGGUAUCUACUGACCGGAUCACCGACGGAUUAAAUAGUUUUUUGGAAAGUUGCAAUGAUGCGAUGACGUGGAUUUUUUUUAGAUGAUUUUACUGACAGAAUGACCGAUAUAUUCAAACUGGGAUCUCCAUACAAUGACAUGGCACAUUCACUGGCGGAAUCACCGACGGUUUGACCGACGUAAACGGUCCGUCGGUGAUUCCAUCGGUAAAAUGGCGCCAAAGAAGUGUCAAAUUCUAAGUCAAUCCUCAAUUUGUUAUUUAUUCAAUGAAGUCCUUAAUUGCAAUUUUGAUUUUAAGAAUCAAUUCAAUUGCAUCACUGCCAAAUUCAAAUUUUAAAUCAAUUCAAUUUUUAUUUUGGUCCUUGGCCUUGGAUUUAUGCAAUUUAAACCCUAAUUAACCAUCAAACUUUUAAAUUUCUUCAAUUUAGCCCUUGAUUAUCGUCAAUUGGAUCCCUAGAGUUUUUAAACUUUAAUUGUUUCGAAUGAUAAUAAAAUUGACUUCUAAAAGUUGAUUUAAAUGUUGAUUUCCCUUGCAAUUAAAACCCUAAUUAAUUUAAUUAAAUCUAUGAUUGAAAAUUCCAAUUGAGUAUUUAAACACCCAAAAAAGAAUAUUUUUACUAAUGAGUUUUGUCAAUUGAAACUGUGGAUUACCAUUUUGGCCUACUAAUUUCACUUGGCAUUUAGGUCUUCCUGGACAUUUCAUUUUAGGCUUGCUUGAAGUGUAUAUUUCCUUGCAUUUAUUUUAUUAUUUUAUUAUAAAAUGGGUAACAUAGAUAAUAAUCAAUCACAUAAAAAUACACAAUGAUUUAGGGCACGCACAACUAUAAUAGUUUAUUUCCAUUUAAAUGAAUCCUUUACUACCGAAACUCUGUCCUUACAGUUAAUAAGAGCUUUCUGAAUAUGAUUUCGGCCAUUUUAGUAGUCUCAACAUUUCAUAAUUAUCCUUCCCAAAACACAAGUGACGUGAAUAUCUUUUUAGUCUUCGUCGAUACAGUUGACUCAUAUAUAUAUAUAGUCUAUUAUUUUUUUGUAAGAAAAAUAAAAAUAAAAAGAAUAAAAAAUUGGGUUAUAACAUUAACAAUUAAAUCCAAGCAUAAUGUUACUCUCUAUUAUAAGAAUUUAAUUUAAACACACAAAACCAAUAUUAAUUAACUCAUUUAUACCACAUUUAACAAUUUCAACCCAAACAGUCCUAAAUGUCAUUAAAAUAUAAGAAUUUAAUUUAUUCCUAAUUAAAAAAAAACAUUAUUUCUAUUUUUAUAAGUUUUUCUUAAAUGUUAAUUAAAUAAUUGUUUUUUGAUCAAAUUUUAAACAAUUCAUUCGUAUUUCAAUUCAUAUAUUUAUAAGAAUUUAAUUUUUUUAAUUGAUUUUUAAAUUUCAUUCUAAAUCUAUAGUGUAAAGAUUAAACUGGAUUAUUGUAAAAAUCAAUAGGAGGUCUUGCUUGUUGGAACUAAUAAUGCCCUCUUUUUUUUGGCAGCAUAUUCAUGUGGUUUUAUUUAAUUUCUCUGGUUAGUUUAUAAAUUUAUUUUGUUGGUGUCAACAUUAAUUUAUUUCAAACAAAUUUUCUUAUCUAAAUUUUGAGAGUCUUAAAUAAGAAAUUCUAUGAUGUUGAAUUUGUAAUCAUAAUAUUUACCACAUAAACAUAAAUAUAAGAAUAAGAGAUAAAUAUGAAAGAGGGGAUUUUUAAAAAUAAUAUUAUCAUUUCUUAUAGAAUUGAAUUUUUUUUAUUUUUUUAUAUAUCUAUUUCUAUUUUAUACUAUAAAUAUUAAUAUAUAGAUAUAAUAACAUAAACCAGUAGAGAUCCAAACAUAAGAAAAUAUUAUUAUUAUUAUUAUGGGAUAAACUAGCAUGAAAUCCAGAAAUGGAUAAUGCUCGUAAGCCCAACACAAAGCAAUACCCAAAUGGAGUCCAACUAAGGAAGUAGAAAGGGCCGAAGGGACUCUUUUUACAAGGAAGCUGCCACAUAUUAAAAUAAAAACUGUUUUUUUUAAAAAAAUUAUUUUUUAAUAUUUUAUUUUAAAUUAAUAUGUUUUUAGUAUUUUUAGAUCAUUUUAAUGCGCUGAUAUCAAAAAUAAUUUUUAAAAAAUAAAAAAAAUAUUAUUUUAAUAUAUUUUCAUGUCAAAAAUACUUUAAAAAGCAACUGUAGCUACACUCCAAAACACACUCUAUAGUCAUCAACAAAUAGAAGAACAACAAUGGAUGAACUUCAAGAAAGAGAGAAAAAAAAAAAGAACUCAAUGCAUCAGAGAUCAAAUACGUUAGCUAUGGUGGUGAGCAUCACCUACCAUUAAUCAUGAAUCUUGUCGAUCAAGAACUUAGCAAGCCUUACUCCAUCUUCACCUACCGUUACUUUGUCUAUCUUUGGCCACAACUUUCUUUCUUGGUAAAUGUGAUUCUUUUUUUCUUUUAUGUUGUUGGGAUUUUUUUUGGUGUUGUAACGGUGUUUUUAUGGGUUUUCAAUUUCAGGCGUUUCACAAAGACAAAUGUGUAGGGACUGUUGUUUGUAAGAUGGGGGAUCAUCGGAAUUCAACUUUUAGAGGUUACAUUGCUAUGUUAGUUGUCAAAAUGCACAAAAUUAAAACUAAAAACCAAAAUAAAAAAGACAGUUAACUCUAGGGCUAACAUUUGAAUUUGACAGGAAUAAUUGAAUUAAUUCUUAAAAAAAAAAAAAACAGUUAAAAAUGGUGUCUUUUCGAUGGCAUUGUGCAUCUUUCUUCCCCUAGAUGUGUUGUAGGCAGGGGAAGAAGGUUUUUCUUCCACUUCAUUGCAGCUUCUCCCUCACCUCUCUCUCUCACUUGCCUGAAAACACCGACACAACUCACAUCCCCCUUAUAGCCUACCACCAUGAUGAAAGGGGGUAGAGGGGACAAGCCCUGUGGGUGGCCCUGGGAUGGCUACAUAAUGGCUGCCCAACCUCUCUACCCCUUUGGCAUGAUUGGACAGAGGUAAGGUAAGUCUCUUUCUCCUUUCCCCUUAUAAAUACCGCCCUCACCAAGAGGUGAGGGGGAGGAUGAAAAGAUUGAAUAAAAAACAGAAAAUAAAGAGAAAAAAAGAAAAAAAACAAGGAAAAAAAACAGAGAAAGUUUGAAGGGAAUAAACAGAAAAGAAAAAGAGAAGAAAAGAGAGAAACAAAGAAAAAAUAGGAAAGCAAACUCCUCGGCCUCACACCAUCUUUCCCCCCUACUAACUUCACUAUAGCUCCUAGAACCACCAUCAUUUUGCUUCAUCACCACCACCACACCAUCGUGAGCCACCAUCAACCUUAGUUCCCUUAAAACAAAACUUGUUGGGCCGAUAUCGGCCCAACCCUUAUUUUAGGCUAAUAUUGGCUCAACUCUUUUGGACCGACCUCAACCCAAUUUCUCUUUGUGUCAACUUCAGCCAAAUUUCUUUUAGGCCAAAUCUCAGCCUAAUGAGGGUGGGCUUAGCCCACAUAACUAGGCCAUGCUCAUCCCAAUAUUUUAUUAUUAUAUAUUUAUAAUAAUAUAUAAUAUUUUUUUAUUACAUAUAAAAGUAAAAAAAGCAACAAAAAAUCCCAAAACAAUUCCAAAAACAUCCUUUCAAAAAUUUGUGAUUUUCUCACAAAUGUUUUUACCAAUUUUUAUUGAUAUUGGUUUGUAUUUUUAUACUGUAAAGAUAAAAAUCUGAUAAUAAAAUACCUUGUUUUCUCUAAAAUUUUGCAAAAAAAUUCUAAAAGAAAUGUUUUGUUUUCAUGCAUAAAAAAGGAAAUGUUUUGUUUUCAUGCAUACAACUAAGUCUCUCAAAAAAAUAUAUAUAAAAAAUCUUAUCAUGCUUUCAUACAAAAAAGGAAUAAAAAAAGAUAUUAAGUAUUUCUUUACCGAGGAGGACUUUUCUUAAACCUUAGAUAAACCAUGUAACAGUCUGACUGUAUUACUUGCUCAAUGUUAAAAGAUCCCAACAUAUCCUUUUUAUUUUAGGGUAAUCUUUUUUUAUUCACCAAAAAUUCGGUAGGGUUUCAUUUGUAUUUGGGACAUCCCAAAUUAUCGACUACAAUUAGUUUACUCAAUCAACCCAUCAUCACAAGGUCCUGUAAUUCCGGACGUUUCAUCAAACAUCAUAAUUCAACACCUUCAUACAAUCCACACAAUAUAUAUAUAUAUAUAUAUAUAUAUAUAUCCUACGAGUAAGUUCAAGAUGAACAUAGUCUACAUAUCAUAUCAUAAAAUUUAAAAGAAAAGGACUACUAACAUGUAAAGAAAGCAUUUACAGCAUAAUAAGUAUAAAUUUUCUAUCGGAUUCAUAAGAAUUCUAAUAGACAACUUAUAUAUGUUGCUUGUAAAUCUUUUAAACCCAAUUAACACUCAUUUGCAUAUUCUUAAUUUGGAUACUUUUAUUUACUUACGUGAACUGGGUGACCUUGCAAAAUCUAAUCUUGAAAUUCAUUUACUAGCAAUCCUAUCACGGACGCCAUUAGCCGAGGCAAAUCUUGUAAUUCAUCUCCCGAUAUUCCUAUCACGGAUGCCAUUAGCCGAAGCUAAUCUUGUAAUUCAUCUCCCGGUAUUCCUAUCACGGAUGCCAUUAGCCGAAGCUAAUCUUAUAAUUCAUCUCCCCGCAAUCCUAUCACGGAUGCCAUUAGCCGAAGCUAAUCUUAUAAAUACGCUAGGCUUUAUUUACUUUGAACACGAUAUUUAUUAUAAUUACAUUCGCCAAAAGAAUUUUAAAUUGUAUAAGUGCAAAUAGGAGGGAAAAUCACGCACCUACUUCGCCUGUCUCGUGUGUCUCGUGACCUCCCCUAAUAGAAGAUCCAAUCCUGGUUGCUCCUCUUGAAUCACAAGGAAGUUUUAGGUUAUGAUUCCUUAAAGCCAAUAUUAUAGAGAAUCCUUAUUCAUCCAUUACUCAUAUGUUACUUUCUAUACUUGUUCAUUUCCUCAUAAUAACAUACAGACAUAUAUCAUGCAUAUUUUCAGAGUUAGUAUCUUAAUGUACAAGUGUUCAUAUGACUUCAUUCUUUUAUAUUCUUAUAUAUAGUAUUCACGUGAAAGUUUACUGUUACUGUCUAACAUUGAAUUGUUACUGUCUACACAUUGAACUGUUACUGUCUAGACAUUUGAACUGUUACUGUCUACUUUUUGAACUGUUACUGUCUAACUUUGAACUCUUACUGUCUGAACACUCAUCAAAUUUUUAAUUAUAUCUAAAAUUCUAAAACUCCAUUUUAAGUGAGAUUGAUCUCGUUAGAAAGUUAAGACACGAGACUACUAGUUCUCUGAAGGAAGGAGAACCCAGUUCUGCCUCCAAGAUAAUCAAAAGUGCUCAUCAACUAAGCAGUCUUACUGCCCUAUAUAAUCAGUCACGACUCAGUCUCGGCUGGUAACUCAUAAUUGGAGUUCUACAUCUCCAAAUUGAGCAAGACCGGUUUUCUUGGUUAGCUAACAUUCAAAUCUACAAUUUUUAUGAAGGAAUCCAAUCCUAAUUUCCAUCCUCCUACUUGAAAUCUCACCAAAAGUCAGGAGACAAGUCUGUCCAGAUUCGUCUCCCCCCUCCCCUUCAUACAAUACUUUCAUAAACUACAUACCACACACAUAAAUUAACUUAAUCUUAAAAAUAAGUACUUUUUCCCCAAUUCAUGUCUAAGAACCCUAACCUAUGAUUCAAUAUCAAGGCAUCAAUUCAUUAUCGAAUUUAAAAAUGAAUUUUUUAAGAUCAUGUUUAGAACACCUUACCCGGUACGAAUUAAGAUUUUGAUCUUCAACUAGUUGAAGAUUUUUAACUCCCUCUUUUCUUUUUUUUUCUUGUUCAAUUUCUUGGUAAUCCCAUGCUCUCAAGUGUUUAUCCCAUCUAUAAACCCUUAAUCUUGGAUGGGUUCUUGAAAUUUUAGCGUUUCUCUCUUGAUUUCGCAAAAAUAGGUAUAAAACUCCCUAUUUUCUCUCCUUAUGGUUCCUGCAAAUUUUUGGUGAGGAGAUAGUACUUAUACUUUAUAUUUUCCCUUAUUUGCAUUUAGGCCCCUUUUUCCUUUAAGUGUAUUAUUCUCUUUAAUUAAAUUCAACCCUCAAGUAUCGGGUUUAUUAUCAUGUCUCGAAUUAUUUCACCUGGAAAUUUAUAUUCAAAAAUUUCUGAAUUCCUGUUUUUAUUUAACCAUAUAAAUGAAUUUCUUUAUUUUUCCCGGGGUUUACAAACCAACAAUUAGAAAUCACAAUAAUACCUUAGUUUAUAUCAGAUAAUUAAAUAAAGCAGCUUACCACAGGUAAGAUGUAUUAUAAGUGUUAAUAUCUUUCUUUUACGCAAUUAGUCCAUGUAUCCAAUUUCUGAGACCAGUUAAGGUUUCUAUUGACCAAAAUAUCUGGUGGCGACUCUCAUUUUCUCUUUCCACUAAUAAAAAACUAGAAUUAUUUGUCCUUUUCAUUUCUCGAUCCGAGAGGAAUCACUUUUAAAUCUCAUAACCUCGGCUAUAAUAACUAUGUUUUGGUACCAUUUUCAAGUAUUUAUAUAUCUAUGCACAUAACGUGUUAUCUAUUGAAAUAUUUUUUAGUUAUUUUUUAUGACUAUAAAAUAAAAUCAUAGUUUUUGUACUGCAAAACCUAAAUUUUAUCUUGCAUACACCGCCAAAAACGUUUAGGAACCUCAAAAACUCUUUUUUUUUUAACCCCAAAAUAUCUUCUAAUUAGCCUAAAUAGUAAAAAUCAAUCUAAAUAAAAAAAAAUAUGGGUCUAAUAAACUUUUUCUAGCAUGGUUAAAAGGCAAAAUCAUCUUUAUUAAACUCCCUUCUUCAAAACAAAUCCAUUAAUGUUAAAAUUAGUCUUUUUAUGACCGGAAUAUGAUUAGCUUCUUUUUUUUUUACCACAUUAAUUCUCCCCCCUCUCAACAUUCAAUAACUAAAAAUAUGAUAAAAAUGAAGUUUUAAAACAGAGUCGUAAAAAUUUUAAACUACAUGAUUAAAUAAAUCUAAAAAACAAAAACUUCAAGGACCAUAUUAAACUUUUCUACAACUUUCAAAAAAGAUUGCAUUAUAGGAGAAUAGUUUAAUGCACAGUAACUUGAGUCUUGCUGGACAAUAAAAUUUGUUAUGGUAAGAAUAAUAAAUGUUUUAAUUUAGAUUAUAACACGAAGCAUGCACAAUUAAGAUUACAACAAGGAGAUUUCAAGAAGUAGUUAAACUUAGGUUAUAUUAGAUAUGACUUUUGUAAAUUGAUUUAAAAUAUUUUUGAGUUUUGAUUUUAAUUUGUUUUUUGAAGUAAGUUAAAAUAGCUUUUGAUUUAAUUUUUUUUUGUUAUAAAUUGGAUUCAAACCUUUGAUUUAAUAAAAAACAAGAAAAUUUUGCUUUAGUUUGUGGAUUUUAUACUGAAUUCUUUAUUAAAAAGUUAUUUUGAAUCAUUUUUACAAAUAAUGCUUAUAUCUUACGGUUAUUUUAGUUUAUUUUUUUCAUAAAUUAUUUAUAAAAAAAACUUUUAAAUUAUAAUUCAAAUUAAAAUAUCAUAAUUAGUUAUGAAUUGGAUUCGAUGAAAGGAAGAUGGGAAGAGGGGAAAUGGGUAACGGGAAAUUAAAGAGAGAUGAUGAUCUGCGCAUGGCUACCUGUAACAGAACAGAUGGAAAAAAGUCGAAACAACUCGGCUAGAAUUUAGACCGAGGAGCAUUUAGAGGAUAGAAUAUUUAAGUGAGAUGAAUUUUGUCUCACUUUUUUCUAUUAAACCGAGGAGCAUUUAGAGGAUAGAAUAUUUAGAGUCUCUAGCAAGAGCCAGCAAGGUAUCUGCUCGAAAAAACCAUUCAACAAGAGAUUGUUCUGCUAGGAAAACAUGAUAUCAGUAUCAAACUUUUGAGCAUAUAGUACAGCAUAAAGUCUCAGUCAUCUUGAAAUAUGUCGACAACAAGUCACAUAAGCAUAUGCAAUAGAAACAGAGCAUCAAACAGACAGAGAAAACAUACUGAUGCAGCAAAUACCGAAGUCGUAGAGCCAUUAGUUUGAGCAGAAAGGAAAAUGAAAGUCCACACAUUAAACUGUAAACAUUAUGCCCUUGUUUUUGAAGAUUUAGACACUUCAAAAGAAACACACGCUCCUAUUUUUGGGAAGUUCACAUAGCAAACACUUAGAUAAGUCGACAUCUUCUUUUGGUAAAUAAAACUGUUACAAUGUGAAUCCAAUUUCUAUCCCAUUGUUACAAAAGCUUCUUGUGAUGAUUUUGAGGGUGUAAAUUCCUUUGAUGGAAGAAAUUCUCUGUCUUGAAGAGGAGCUUUGUGGGACACUGAUGAAAACGUUUUUGUAUUUUAUUCAAGGUUUCUCAAAGUCACCGUCUUCUUUUCCAGUGCCUUGCUUAACUUGAAUUUUUGUAUCCAAUUUGGACACCAAGUAAGGAAUUUGCCAUGUUUUUCUAUUUCAUUUUCCAAACAAUUCACAGCUUCAAUUUUGUUGUUUGCAUCUUCCAGCCAUUUGCUGACAUCUUUCUCAAUUUCUUCAGCAUUCCUUUCAGCAGCUUUGACAUCAUUUUGUAUACGAUCUAGUGCGAAAGCCAGGAUCUGCUAUUGUUUAUUGAAUUCGACAAAAAAAUCAUUGAAACAGAACAUGUAACGAAACUUCCUUGUUGCUGGUACCAGCAAGAGUUCUGCUAUCUUAGAUAUAAUGGAUUCACCAACACUUUCGAUAGCCAUUUUCUGCCGGUCUGAAAUCAGAGACAUAGAUAACGACUGAGAGUGAGUCAUUAAGUAAAAUAGGCAUUGAGAGAAUGAGAAUAAAAAUUUAUUACCUUAAUUUGUGAAAAUAUGUGCGAAAAUCAUUGGUAUUGAUUGCUCAAUAAUAAAAUAUAGCGAGGAACGAAACGAGAAGUCCUUUAGCUCUAUAUGAACCCUUCUUCCAAAGCAAGAAGGGAAGGUAUAAAUAUAGCAAUAAAAAGGUAGAAAUAUACUUUAUUUAUUUUUGGAAAAAUUACCCUAGUAUUUUACAGUUUAAUUGAAUUAUAUUUGCUUAACGUGUUUGAAAAAAAUAUCUUCUAUCCUAAACUUUUAUGCGCUUGUAAUAAUUUACAUUCUAUAAUUAGCGUGAUAAAAAAAAAUCAACAGAAAUUAUCUGAUUAUUUACGAAUUUGCUAAUAUUUUUCAUUUAAUGACCAAGAAAAUCAUGUUGUGUUAAAAUAACAAAAAUACCAUAAAAGCACAAAUUUGGAUCUAUACAUUAACACAAAAGGAAAAAUAUCACCAUCCAGUUAAGUUAAAUAUCAAAUUUAUUGAAGUGAAACUUAUGAGGAAUAUAUUUCAUAUUCUGGAGAAUAUACGGAUGAGUCAAAGUCGCUGAAUCAAAAUUCAUGCUUUAGAGAGUUUUGAAUGCUUUACAGGAGCAGUGAAAUAUUGAAGUGAGGAGGGUUCAUAUUGAUUCCAUGAAGUUAAAAAACAGAUCAACUUUUCUUACCCUACUCACAAACAACGUUGGCAAAUUUACAGCAGAUCCCAUAGAAAUAACAUUCUUACACCCCAACAAGUCAGAUCCCAUUCUGCCACACCAGUUGCUGAGUUGCUCGGAGGCUUCAGUUUUGUACCAAACCCCCCCCAACCAGUCAUCAACUGGUGCACUUUGCUUUGCAGCCUUUGAGGAAGAAGUAAAAGCCUCCAAAAAUAUCAUCAUCAUUAUUAACAGAUGAACUAGACCCAUUUAACCCACCAAAAUAUAUCAUCAUUAAAAGAUGAUUUCGCACUCGUAUUUUUAGUACUGGAAAACACAAAAUCAUAACCGAAAUCAAAGCCAGUGCUAUUUUGUUUUUAAUUCUUUUGAAAAACAUCAAAAAUGUCAAAAUCAUCAUCAAAAUUCUAUAAUUUUGAAUUGCAAAAGAGAGUUUCGUGAUAAUCCAUGAAUGACCUUUCAAAAGAAUUGGAAUAGUAGGUUAAUUUAGAAGAAUAUGAGGAGGGUUUCUGGUUUGAUGAAGGGAAAUUCAAAUAACUAAACUGGCUAUAUGUUUCUUUGAGGAUGAAACAUGCGAGAGAUUCCACCACCCAGGACAAACAACUACAUUGAGAACAAAUCCGUGUGAGAAAUCAAUUUUAAUAGUAAUUUUUUAUUUUAAAAUAAAUCACAAAUUCUUAACUGUUUGUUACUGAAAAAGGAGAGAGGGAGAGAAAUGAUGUCUUUAGAUGUUUUUGAAUUAUAGGAUGCUAGGGUAAUUUUUUUAUAUAAAUAUAUAAAUAGAAGAUAGUGUUAAAAAAUCGAAGGGAGCUUUUACAGGAAUACUAUUAUCUAUUUUCUUUUCUCAAAAUCAAUAAAAAAGAAUUUCAUUGAGAGAAAAAUAGUAUAUUAUCAAUCUAAUGACUACAUUUAUAUUUACAAUCUUCCAAAGGAACAACUUUAUGUUAAGAAGAGGAGAAAUAUUAUAACAAAAUAAUAUUUAUUGAUUCAAACUAGUGUUAUAGACACUUGUGAGUAAAAGUGUCAAUUCCCAUUAAAAAAAAAAAUGCAAUUUGAUGACAUAAUUAAGGUAGUAAGACUAAUACAGAGACACUAACAAACAAAUAAAAAAAACAAUUUGUACAAAUACUCACCUAGCAAAGAGAGGGACGGAUAAAAGGUUCACCACGGUCAAUUUUGUUUUCUUUUUCUUGGUUUAAUUUUUUUUUUUUUGAAAAUGAUGAAUAAUAGAAAAAAAGAAGAAGAAGAAAAACUUGCAAAGAAGCACUAUUAAUGGAACGAGGUUAUGAUGAAAUCUCUGUGUCACACUCUCAAAUAAUAUACUUUAUCCAUUAUAUUUUGCAUUAUAUGUUCAUAACACAUCAAACUCCCAAUUUAGCAUUCUUAUGCAAACUACAACUGCAGAAGGCUUGUGCAUGUAGGGGAGAGGUAGGAAGAGCUGCAAAAGUUGUCGCAUCUAUUGUUAAGCUGUUCAGAGUUUCUAUCUCAUCAUCCAAUCUGCCAAACAUUUAAAAGACCAUGUGCAGGAAUUGAUCUCAAAGGGGUAGCACCUCAUAUGCCUACGGGAGAUACAUAACCAAUGAUGGUUGUUCUAUCCAUAAAAUUAGCUAACAUAUGACUAUUUUAUUCAAUUAACAUUUCAGGAUAUGAGUUCUCCUAGCCACACUCAAAAGCCCUAGCCACUAGAUGAACAAAGCACCUAAAAAAUUAAUCACCUACCUAAUCCAAUACAUGAAAAUUUGGUUGAAAUCUCCUACAAUGAAACGAGUUAAUUGAAUGCGAGAGUUCGAUAAAAGACUGGUUGUGCAAGGAGAAAAAAACAUUACUCUUAGUACACCAUAUUUAAGGUAUGCUACAUUAUUAUUUAAUUAUUUUUUAGGUCAUGCUUCUAUUCUUUGGUUUUUUCUAAGGUCUAAAAUAGAUCUUAUUUCGUGAUAGAGUCUCUAUUUUAUUGGAUGAAAUCCUAACCGUUUUGAAGUCUAAAUUAUAACAUCACAUUUAUUUCCAAAAUACAACUAAUUCCUAACAUAAGGAUUGUUAUGAUUUUUUUGGUAUUUUGAUCAAAUCCUAAUCGAUAAUCAUAAACUGAUUGUAAUAUUUAUUUUUGUAUUUUUAAAAAUAUCAUAAAGAUACAAUUUUUGUUUAUAUAUGAAAAUAAACGUGAAUUUUUAUUUUAAGAUUUGGUCGUAUGUAAAACAAAACAUUUUUUGAAGUGAAAAUUUAUUUUUUGAAUUAUCAAUUUAUUUUUUAUUUUUUUAAUCUUUUUAAGAUUUUAGAGAAAACCGGCUAUUUUGAUCAAGUUUAAUUUAGUUCUUUCAUUUUUUAUUUCUCUCAAUUACACCCUUGAUUGAUUUCAAAUUUUCAAUUUUAUGCAAUUUCAUCCUUGAAAAAUUCAAUACCAACCCUAGAUUUCAACCCGUUUUUCACAUUAGUCCUUAGUUUCAGAUUUAUACAAGUUGACCCUUAAGUGACCAUUAAAUUUUUAAUUUUCUUUAAUUUUAGCCCUGAUUUUAAUCAAUUGGGUCCUUAGAGUUCCGUGUCAUUUACAAAUUGGUCAUUGGUUGUGAAUUUCUUCAAUUUAACCAUUAACUGACCACAAAACUUUGAUUUUCUUGCGAUUUUACCAACGAUUUCAAUCAAUUGACUUGGUAAAAAUUAAAUUUGGUCUCCUAAAAUUCCAACCUUCUUAAUUAAGCCCGAAUUGGGCUCCCAAACUUAAUGUUUCACCAAUUAAGCCCCUAAUAAAAUUAAUUUGACUAAUUUAAAGUAUAAUUAAUCCUUGCACCUAAUUAAAUUCAUUAAUUGGACCCAAAUUAAUUCUUAAAUAUAAUUCAAUUUCAAUUUGGCCUAUGAUUAAAUCAAAUUGGCCUAUUAAAAAUCUAAUUAUGUUUUUAGGCUUGAUUUUUAAGUAGAUUUGUCCAAUAAUCAUUUAAUUUGUUCUUAAAUCUGCAUUGUCUCUUUAGUUUUGGGUGUAAUGGGGUACAUUUAGGCUCCUAAUAUCAUCCAAAGUUGUACCUUGAUUUGAAAUCCUCCCAGCUUGCUUUUGCCAAAAUGUGAAUCCUUAUUUUAUUUAUUCUAUUUUUUAUUUGGAAAAGAAAAGGGAUGAAUAUGAGGAAUAACCCAGAAAUAAGUUAUGACAAUGAGAACUCUACAUUCUAUGAUUUUAUUUUUGAAUAUAUUCUUAUACAUUUAUAAUUAUAAGAAACGUUAAAAGGUAUGGGUAAAAUAUUAUUCUCACACCACUAUUCACUCAGCGUUGUGGAUUGCCUUAAUGUUUUUUUCAUCCUGUUCUUAUAGGUCUAAAUUGAUAGACAAUUUUAGUAAAUUUGUUAAGGAAGAGCAAAAUUUAAACACAAAUAACCAAAGUGAAAGAAAAAAGCAUAAAAAAGGGUGGUAGUUUUCGGAUUGAAGCCAAAAGUUCACUUUGGUCCUCCUACUUUUUGAAUAAUAACUUUUUGGUCCUUUAAGUUUUCCCACAUUUUAUUUUUGGUCCAUAACUUCGUUUCUCGAUUUUUUUUCAUUCCUUAGUUUGAGAGAGGAGACAGAAAGUCAAUGGAUUACAAUGUUAGAGAAAGUCUCCGUUGACACUGAUUUUCACAACAAAAACAGUCGAUUUUGGUCUUAAUAGAUUCCAUUUGAUAAAGAGAGUUCUAAUGAGGUGUUUUUUGCUCUUGAAAUUUCCAAAAUGUUUAUGAUUUUUUGGGCUAAUUUAUUGGUUUAUUUACAUUAUAAGGAUCAUUUUUAGAUGUUUUGGUGUGAACUUUGUUUAAAUUUGCAUUCUUAGGCCAAAAAACACCCUACAUGAUUUUCUAGCCACCCCUUUAAUAGUAGAGAACUUGAAAGUCUCAGUAGGUGACAUGUUGUUUCCCUUUAUCUUUUUUCAAAAACAUUUGGGGCAUUUUCAAAUAAAAAAAUAAAGUUCACCGUAAACUAGCCCUUUUUAAAAUGAGCUUGAUGUGCGUGCUUGACUUGAUAGGCCUAAAAACGCCAACCUAUUUCUUUAUUUUUUUUAAUUAUGUUUUUUAAUUGAUAUUUUAUAUGUACUUUUUAAUGAAUUUUUGAAUUUAUAUUUGAAUUAAUGAUUUUUCUUUCUAAAUUUUUAGAUAGUUUAUUUAGACUUUUUUAAAUUGUGGUUAUCUUUUACUUAUCUUUUAUGUGUUUAAUAUCUCGAAGAAAUUAUUCUAAUUCAUCUAUAAUUUUUUUUAUGUUUUAUAUAAAUAAACUUUAUUUUCAUGAUGUGUUUAUAAAAAUAAGAAUUAUUUGUUCUUGGUAAGAAAAAAUGAUCUUUAAGAUUAAAAGAAGAAGAAGAAGAAGAAAAAAAAGAAAGGUGUGCAUUAAGGGAAAAGUUGAGGUUAAAUAUUAUAUUUAUCUAUCUUUUACUUUUAUGAAAAUGAUUAUUAUUUUAUUUUGUAAUUUGAUUGGCAUUAACAAUUCUUUAUUAGUUUAUUAGUUCAUAUUUUUUAAGAUUUAUUUUGUUUCACAUUUCUCAAUUAAGAGAAUCAUGAUACAAUGAAAUGCAUUUGAAACACCGUCCCAUUUUUCUACUACAUUAAAAAUUAACUUCCUACAUGUGGCAUGUUGCGUUAACAAUUGUUUUUGUAUUUAUUAACUUAUAUGAUCCCCAAUUUAUUUUAUUAUAUGUAAACAUCAACUUUUUUUAUGCACAAUUAUAUUUUUUCUCUCGAUAUCAAAAAAUAUAUUAACAACACUUAUACAUCCAUUCUUUUGUGUUGGAAAAUAUUAUCUAACCCAUAGCGAAGCGAGUUAAAUAAACAUGUCAAUACCUUUUUUUUUGUAUUUAUGAUUAGGUUUUUUUCUUUUGUUAAAAAUACAUUUGAAAAGCAUUCAUAUUUAUUUAUUUUGAUAAAAAACAUUUCUGACCCAUAGUAAAGUGCGAGUCAAAUAACUACUAAUAUGGCUAUAGUGAGUGUCUUUUUAGUAUAUGUGGAUGUAGGAAGCAAUGUGUUAUAUUAUUAGUUAGAUAUAACUUACCUAUUCAUUAUUAAAAAAAAAACAUACAAUAAAUAAAUAUAUUAAUAGAAACCUAAAAGAGAUCGACUGAAACAAUAUAGUCUCCGAGAGAAAAUAUUGUGAAUUCACGCAAUGUUUACUUUCUAUUUUUUUGUCUUUUUUUUAUUUAGUGAUCUUUGAUGAUGAAUUGAUUAAGAUUUGAGAUGGGAAAUGUAUUUUUAUUUGUUUUUUUUAUGGUUAUCUUGCUCUCAGUAUGUGAAAAUUCCUAUGCAAGGAAUCUUUAAGAUAUGAAGAUCUUAUGCUAUAGAAGCAGAGAGCAUAUUUGAAUGGAAAGCAAGAACUGCCUUCAGAAAUAAUAUUGCAGAAUUUCUUAUACAAUCGUACUUCUUUCUGUGUACAUGAAUGAGUAUAUAUAUACAUAUAUUCCAACUAACUAACUAACUUUCUUUAACUAAUUAACAGAAUAUAACUAACUUCUAACUGUUUUAACUGUCAGGAUUUAACAGUAAUGCAUAUAUAUUUAAUCUGCUGGGAUUUCUUCUGCGUCUGCAUGGUGCUGGGAUGUUUCUGUCGUUGUGUUGAUCUUUGGAGGAUUGUGUAGACUCCAAUAUCCCCCCUCAAGAUGAGAAUGGAUAUUUAUCAUUCCCAUCUUGGCAAGGAUAGGAUUAAGAGUGAGAUAUCCAAGGGGUUUGGUGAGGGCAUCGGCUAGUUGAAAUCUAGAAGGGAUAUGAAUGAUAGUGAGUAAUCCAUCUUGCAGUUUCUCACGGACAAGGUGACAGUCAAGCUGUAUAUGUUUGGUUCGUUCAUGAUGGACUGGGUUAGAAGCAAUCUCUGAGGCAGGUUUGCUGUCGGUAUAUAGCAGGGCUGGUUUGGAGUGAGAUAUAUGAAAAUCAUUCAACAAGUAAAGCAGCCAUUGCAGUUCACAUGAGGUAGUGGCCAAUGCACGAUAUUCUGCUUCUGCUGAGGAUCGACUAACAGUGGGUUGUUUCUUGGACUUCCAUGAGAUGAGUGAAUCGCCAAGAAAAACCAGGUAGCCGGUGACACUACGUCUAGUAUCAAUACAUCCUCCCCAGUCACUGUCAGAAUAAGCUUUCAAAUGGAAGGUAGAAUCAGCUUUAAGAAAUAUUCCUUGUCCAGGUGUGGCUUUGAGAUAUCGAAGGACUCUUUCGGCAGCUUGCAGAUGAAUUGUAUGAGGGUUGGACAUGAAUUGGCUUAGUGUUUGGAUUGCAUAGGACAAAUCUGGGCGUGUGAUGGUAAGGUAGAGAAGUCUGCCAAUUAACCGACGAUAAGAAGCAGGGUCUGACAGAGAGGGCUAUCAUCAUUAGCACUGAGUUUUAGUGAGGAUUCCAUAGGAAAUUUAGCUGGUUUAGCUCCAGAAAAACCAGUAUCGGUGAGGAUAUCUAAGGCAUACUUUCUCUGGCAAAGAACAAUCCCUGUUGCAGAUCUAGCAACUUCAAUGCCUAGAAAGUACUUAAGGUGGCCUAAGUCUUUGAUAGGAAAUGUGGUGCGAAGGAACUGUUUAACUUGGUGGAUUGCAGUGAGAGUAUUUGAGGUGAUGAUAACAUCAUCAACAUAUAUUAAAACUGCGAUGAAUGUGGCUGUAGUUUUUCUGAUGAAGAGGCUUGAAUCAGAUUUGGCUUGGAUGAAACCAAAUUUUAAUAGAGAGGUGGACAGUUUGGAAAACCAUUGUCGGGAAGCUUGUUUCAGGCCAUAUAUGCUCUUUUUGAGUUGACAAACUCGAUGAUCAUGGGGAGUGGAGUAACCAGGAGGUAAUUGCAUAUAGACUUCCUCAUGUAAAUCUCCAUGCAAGAAGGCGUUGUCUACAUCCAGUUGAUGUAGAUGCCAGUUGUUAACAGCCGCAAUGGUGAGAAAAACUCUGACUGUUGUCAUUUUGGCUACAGGGGAAUAAGUGUCAAAGAAAUCAAUGCCUUCUUGUUGAGUGUAUCCCUUAGCUACUAACCUGGCUUUGUAACGUUCGACUUUGCCAUUGCUUGAAAUUUGACUUUGUAAAUCCACUUGCAGCCAAUUGCAGAUUUGUUGGGAGGCAGAGGAACUAAAUCCCAGGUUUGGUUGUGUUCGAGAGCUAAAAUUUCAUUAGUCAUGGCUUGUUGCCAAUGUGGAAUGGUGCUGGCUUGUUUGUAAGUUUUUGGUUCAAAAAUUAAGGAAACAGAAGAAGUGAAAGCACGGUGUGGUGAGGAUAAUUGAGAAGUAGAUAAGAAGGAGAAGAGUGAGUGUGGCUUACCAGAAAUGGAGAUAGGGUCUGCUGAAGGAAUCUGAGCCAUGGUGCCACAAUAGUACUGUUGUAAAUAAUGAGGGGGUUGUGUAGUACGUGUAGACCUUCUAAGAUGAGAAAUAUCAUUUGAAGGUAAGGUAGAAUUGGUGGGAACAGGAGGUUGUAAAGGCAAUGUGGGUGAGGAAGUGGAAUGGUUUGGAGGAGGUUGGGAUGUUUGGCUAGGGAAAGGGGCAAAGACCUGGGGAAAAUCUGGAAAUACUAGGGGUGUAUGAACUGUUUUUGGUAUGGAGGGGAAUAUGGAUUCAUGAAAGAUGACAUUACGAGAUACAAAUGUUCUGCAUGUGUGUAAGUCAAGGACUUUGUAACCUUUGAUAUGUGGAGGAUAGCCAAGAAAAAGGCAUUUGGUGGCCCGUGGGUGAAAUUUGCCUCUGUUGUGGGUGAGGGUGCUGGCAAAGCAUAAGCAACCAAAAACUUUGAGGUGUUUGUAAGUUGGUGGUUUGUUGAAUAGGAGCUGAUAUGGUGUUUGUUUUUGAAGAAGGAUGGAAGGUGUGCGAUUAAUAAUGUGGGUGGAGGUGAGGAUGCAAUCGGUCCAGUAAGUUAAGGGGAGUUUGGUUUGAAACAUGAGAGCUCUUGCUACAUUGAGUAGAUGCUGAUGUUUCCUUUCAACUUUGCCAUUUUGUUCAGGUGUCUCAACGCAUGUUGUUUGAUGAAUAAUGCCAUGGUCUUGGUAAAAAGUUGGCAUGUUAAACUCUUGUCCAUUGUCUGUCCUGAUAGUUUUAAUGCUGGUAGUGAAUUGAUUAUGAACAUAGGUGAGAAAGUUGCUUAGAAGACCUCUAGUAUCAGAUUUUGAUUUCAUUAAGAACAGCCAAGUGAAUCUACUGUAAUCAUCUACAACAGUAAGAAAAAAUUGAUGACCAGUGUAUGAAGUAACAGAAAAGGGUCCCCAAAUGUCAAUGUGGACCAACUGAAAAGGCUGUGUAGAUGUAUGCAUGGAUAAUGGGAAGGGCAGCCGUUUUUGUUUGGCUAAGGGGCAAAUGUCACAAAUGGAGUUUCCAGGGGAAUUGACUGAAGGAUCUAUUUUGUGAAGAAUGUUGAUUUUGGAAGUAGGAAUGUGUCCUAAACGAAAAUGCCAAAGAUCAGUGGUGGCAGUACAAGAUUGAAUUAAUGCUGUGGAAGGUGGACAUUCUGUAGAUUGAUCAGUAGGUUUGUGGAGAUGGUAUAAGCCAGAUUCAACUUCAGCAUGCCCAAUCGUCCUCCAUUUGUUGAGGUCCUGCAGGAAGCAUUUUGUGUGAAGAAAGAACAAGCCAACAGUGUUAUCAGCAGUUAGUUUUGAAACAGAAAUAAGAUUAAUAUGGAAAGAUGGUACAUAAAGGGCAUUGUGUAAGGUUAUAUCAGGUGAAAACUGAACCUUCCCUGAAAAAAGAAUAGGCACUUUGUGGCCAUUUGGCAGAUGAACCUGACUUUGUGUUGUGGGCAGAACAAUGGAUUCGAAAAGAUUGGGGCUACAGAUCAUGUGAUCUGUUGCUCCUGUAUCAAGAAUCCAGGUAAAUUUGUUCUGAGGUGAAGAACUGGUAUGGCAUGAAAAGGAUAUACCUGAGGCAAUUACUUCUUUGGCAGUGCUGGUUAUCUUGGAAUUGGAAAUGCUAUUUGCAAGGGUAAGUAAGUUCUGCAUUUGCUCUUGGGAGAAAGUGAUGCUGGGAGUUUCUUGAUGUUGAUCAAGAACAGUAGAGUUAUGUGCAGUAGGCAGUCUUUGAUGAGUCCUGUUUGCAGGUGUCAUAGCAGCAAAUCUUUUUCCUUUUGGCCCCUUCCAUCCAGGGGGAUAUCCAAUAAUCUGAAAGCAUUUAUCAACUAAAUGGCCUGGAUAUCCACAGUGAGAGCAAGUUACCUCAGAUUUUCCUUUUUGUCUAGUAAAUCGAGUCACAUAUGUUGAGCCUGUUCUUGGAUUUGGAUUAUGAUAUUGUGCAGCAGCCAGAGCAUGUGAAUCAACAGGAAUACCUACCAUAUUCGUCAGGGUCCUUUGGCUUUCUUCUUGUAAAAGUAAAGAAAAUACUUUUCCCAUGGAUGGUAAGGGAUUUUGAAGCAGUAGUUGGCUUCUAACUGCAGAGAAGGAAUCAUGGAGCCCUACCAGAAAUUUCAUUACAUAAUCAGAUUGUUGUCGAUCUGUGAGGAGUUUCAGAAUGUUGCAAGAACAUGAAUCAAAGUUUCCACAUUUGCAGGUUGGUAUUGGACGAUAGCUGAUGUAUUCAUCCCAUAGAGCUUUGAAUUCACUAAAGUAAUCUGUGAUAUUUUUUGAGUUUUGAGAGAUAGAACUUAAAGAUUUCUCCAAACUGAAGACUCUUGGGCCAUCACUUUUCAGGUAUCUUACCCUCAAUUCUUCCCAAAUUUCGAAGGCUGUUGUGAAGUAAAGAAGACUGCUGCGAAUAUCUUUAGUGAUGGAAUUCAUUAGCCAUGAUAGAACUAGAUUAUUUGAUCGUAGCCAUGCCACCUGAAGAGUUUGAUUGUUGGUGAUGGGUUGAGAUAAAGAACCAUCAAUGAAAGCAAUCUUGUUUUUCACAGUUAAAGCAAUUUUCAUGGAUCUGCUCCAUGCAAUGUAAUUGUCACCAGUGAAGAUUUCUGAAACCAGUAAUGCACCGGGAUUAUCAGAAGGGUGAAGGUAGUAACAGCUAGAAGAAUCAUCAGAUAGAUUCAUAACAGUGGUGUUGAAUGAAUCAUUGUGGGCUGUAGAAGCAUUUCCUUCAAAGUGAUCAGACAUUUUUGUAAAGUCUGUGAGGGAUUUCAAGAAGAUGAUGAAGGAGAGGAUUUUUGAAUCUUUCUGUUGAUGAGAAACAGAUUAUUUUGCAGAGAAGAAAAGAAACAAAUUUUAGUAGUUUAUGCUCUGAUACCAUGUGAAAAUUCCUACGCAAGGAAUCUUUAAGAUAUGAAGAUCUUAUGCUAUAGAAGCAGAGAGCAGAUUUGAAUGGAAAGCAAGAACUGCCUUCAGAAAUAAUAUUGCAGAAUUUCUUAUACAAUCGUACUUCUUUCUGUGUACAUGAAUGAGUAUAUAUAUACAUAUAUUCCAACUAACUAACUAACUUUCUUUAACUAAUUAACAGAAUAUAACUAACUUCUAACUGUUUUAACUGUCAGGAUUUAACAGUAAUGCAUAUAUAUUUAAUCUGCUGGGAUUUCUUCUGCGUCUGCAUGGUGCUGGGAUGUUUCUGUCGUUGUGUUGAUCUUUGGAGGAUUGUGUAGACUCCAAUACAGUAAAACAUCUUGAUAUUAGAAUGAUGCUUAAAUUCACAAAAAAUAAAAAAUUAUUGUUUGUAAGAAAUUGAAAAUGAGAAGAUCAAAAUUCAAACAAAUAAAAAACCAAUUCUUCUAACUUCUCCAGCAAUGUGAAGCCAAUUUGUAUCAAUGGAACAUUUGGAAUUAUUUGAAAAAUAAAUGCCCAAAUAUAUUCACAUGCUCAUACAAUAACAUUUUUAAUAAUGCAUUAUGCACUAGAAACAGAACAUCAAAUUGACAGAGAAAACAUGCUGAUGCAGAAAAAACUCGAUAAUUGUUCUAGCGACAACUCCUUUAGAUUAGGAAGCACUAUCUCCUUCUCAACAAUUCUUCUUCUUCUUCUUUUACUUCUUUCCACCCGUUAUUUCUGGUCCACUCUCUAUUAAUGCUUGAAUCUUCAGCUACUUCAGAUACCUGUAAACCAAUUCAAGCAUGGCAUGCUCAUUUUAACUUGUAAAUCUUAUUAUUGAGCGAAACAAGAGACAAACACACUAAAAGAGAGGCAAGAAAUCAAGUCAAAUCAGCAGCACCUCUGAUUGAGCACUCAUUGUGUUAAAGAUUAUACAAAACACACAUGCUAAUCAUCCGCUGCAGAUAAAGGAAACCAUGUAUGGUGCAUACAUAUCCUCUGAAGACUCCCUGUCAACAUACAUAUCCUCUGAAGACUCCCUGUCAACAUACAAUUCCAGCUGAAACAAACUUCUAGUCAUUGUAUUUAUAUUACAUACAACUUGUAAUCUAUCUUAUAAAAAGGAACUCACAUUAAUAAAGAAAGUAUGUUCAGCAAUUUUCUAUAUGGUAUCAGAGCCUACCCUUUCUCUCACGAGACUCUCCAAUAUGGCCUCAACUACAGAUGAUGUCAUCAUAAACUCUGAAACUCACAGCAAUGGUGAUACUCACCUCAUUGCAUUCAAUGCUAGUUCUCAACUUCCCCUGAAACUGACACCCUCGAAUUUUCCCUCCUGGCGUGCUCAACUAAUGUCCUUGCUCAUAGGUUACAACCUACAAGGACAUAUUGAUGGAACCACUAGUUGUCCAUCUCAAACAUUACAUGAUCCAAAUACUGGAUUAUCUACUGCAGGUGAUUCAAAUCCUGCUUUCUGGCGCUGGUUUCGGCAAGAUAACUUGCUCCUUCAUGCAAUCCUUGCAUCUGUUUCAGAACCAGUUUUGCCAUUAAUCGCCACUUCCACCACCGCUCGUGAUGCAUGGGUCAAAAUACAACGAUUGUAUGCAAAUCGAUCACGCACGCGUGUCAUGCAACUCAAGGAAGAGUUGACACUUAUACAAAGAGGAAGCCAGUCAGUUUCAGAUUACCUCAACACUGUCAAAAGGCUAGUUGAUGAACUCACUGUCAUUGAUACUCCCAUAUGCAUAGAUGACAUUACGUUAUAUAUUCUCAAUGGAAUAGGAGCAGAAUUUCUUGAUAUAGCAACCAUGAUACGAACCAGAGAAACAUCCUUCACAUUUGAGGAACUCCAUGAUGUAUUAAUCAGUCAUGAAAAUUAUCUCAAGCGCAUUGAUGUCUCCAACUCCAGAUUAAUAGCCACUGUUAAUGCAGCUCAACACAGCAGAUACUUCAAACCAGGACGCUCUUCAAACCCUCCUACUGGUUACUACAGAUCCAACCAACGAAGAUACGUUCCCAGAGACAAAUCCAGUCAGCCUCCACUAAUUUGUCAACUAUGUGAUACCAAAGGACACUCAGCCAAAACAUGUCGCAAGGUAUCAAGGCCAAAAACUGCAAAUUGUGCAGCUACAAAUGGCACACAGGAGAAGAAAUGGCUCAUGGACUCAGCAGCAUCACAUCACAUCACCUCUGAUCUCACAAACCUCUCAAUUCACUCUGAAUACGAUGGAACAGAUGAAGUAGUCAUCGGUGAUGGCUCAGGUUUGAAAGUAACACAUGUUGGCUCCAUGUCAUUGAGCUCAUUGUCAAAAUCCUUUCUUCUGCAUAAUACUCUCUGUGUCCCAAACAUACACAAGAAUUUAGUCUCUGUUCAUAACUUUACCCGUUCAAAUAAUGUCUACAUAGAAUUUCAUCCAUUCUAUUUUCUUAUGAAGGAUCAGAACACGGGGACAACAAUACUUCGCGGUGACUGCCAGGAUGGUGUCUAUCCACUGCCACAACUAUCAUCAAUCAAGAAGCCUUCAGCACUUGCACUUGUUGGUGAAAGAACCUCCCUUGAUCGUUGGCACACACAGGCUUGGUCACCCCUCCACCAAAAUCUGUCGUUCCCUAAUUAGUCGGUUUUCCCUUCCAGUUCUAGGCUCCACCCAAACUUUGUCAUCUCUGUGUUCAGCUUGUCAAAGCAAUAAAAGUCAUCAAUUAUCGUUUUCAAAAACAUCACUCACAAGCACACAUCCUCUACAAAAUAUCUACACAGAUAUAUGGGGACCAGCAGCUUCAACCUCCAUCGAUGGUUAUCGAUAUUAUGUUUUAUUUGUGGACCACUUCACAAAGUACUGCUGGUUCUUUCCAAUUCAUCACAAAAAUGAUGUUCGUCCCAUUUUCAUUCAAUUAAAAGGAUUUGUUGAAAAACAGUUUGGUUUUCAAGUUAAAAAUCUAUACUCUGACAAUGGCGGUGAGUACCAGAGUUUGCGUCAGUAUCUAUCAGAUCAGUCUAUAAAUAUGCUCACCACUGCUCCACACACACCACAACAAAAUGGACAAGUGAACGAUGACAUCGUCACAUUGUUGAGACAGGUCUCACAUUGCUUCAUCAAGCACAUCUUCUAGUGUCCUACUGGACACAUGCCUUUCAAACUACAGUUUAUCUAAUUAACCGCAUGCCAACUUCAAUUCUUCAAAACAAAAGUCGUUUGAAAGCAUCUUUGGUCGUCAACCAAAUUAUCACAAACUGCGCACCUUUGGGUGCCAGUGUUUUCCAUGGCUCAAACCUUACAAUCACAACAAGCUGCAACCAAAGUCCAAAGCAUGCAUUUUUCUUGGUUACUCAAGCACUCAAAACAAUAUAAAUGCAUGGACAUUCACUCAUCCCGGAUUUACAUCUCAAAACAUGUUGUCUUUGAUGAAACUGUUUUUCCCUACUCUGCCUCCACUAGUGUGUCAUCACCAUCACAUGCAGGGAAUCCCACAAUCAUCUCUACCAUCCCGGUGGUUCCACCCUCAAGAAGAUACCAUCCAGGCAAUCAUCAGAGACACCUGUUGCUCCUGUUGUUCCUCCAACUCACCACCAACAUAGAUUCUGAUCCACCCCCUGCACCAUCAGAAACAGGUUAGUAAUACAGCCACCAUUGUCACAAUCACCCACAAGACAACAUAACAUGAUCACAAGAUCCAUGAACAACAUCUAUAAGCCAAAACAAAUCCACCUCACCACCAAACACCCCCUCCCACAACCCAUAGAACCAACAUGUGUCUCUCAAGCCCUGGAAGAUAAAAAAUGGCGACAUGCCAUGUCUGAAGAGUUCAACGCCUUGGUUAAACAUGGCACCUGGGAACUGGUUCCAUCCAAGCCAUCCAUCAUUCCUGUAGGUUGCAGGUGGUUCUUUCGUAUUAAACACAAUGCUGAUGGCACAAUAUCAAGAUACAAAGCAUGUCUGGUAGCUAAAGGAUAUCAUCAACGUUAUGGCCUUGAUUACAAUAAGACCUUCAGUCCAGUCGUCAAACCAGUAACAAUCAGAACUGUGUUAUCCAUUGUUGUUCAACAUCGCUGGUGCAUGAAACAACUGGACGUAAAUAAUGCAUUCCUUCAUGGGUCCUUACAAGAAGAUGUUUACAUGAUUCAGCCCCCAGGAUUUGUCGACUCCACAGUGCCCACCCACAUCUACAAACUACACAAAUCCAUCUAUGGCUUAAAACAGGCACCACGUGCCUGGUAUGACAAACUCAGCUCCUUUCUUCUGACACUAGGAUUCAAGCAAUCAAAGUCUGACUCCCUCCUUGUUUAUCUACUCAAAGCAGGACAUCAUCUUAUUUCUACUGGUAUAUGUUGAUGAUGUGUUACUCACAGGUACUGAUUCCCAGGUUAUGGCCGACAUAAUACGUCAACUUGGUGCCCAAGUCUCACUAAAGGACCUUGGUGACCUGCACUAUUUUAUUGGGAUCGAAGUGCAGCCAACUCGUGAGGGAAUCUUCCUAUCUCAACAAAAAUACAUCAGAGAUCUCCUCAAGAGAACUAACAUGGAAGGAGCCAGACCAAUUCACACACCGAUGUCCACCAAACCAACACUUCAACUCAAUGAUGGUCAUCCCCUUGCAGACCAGAAACAAUAUCGAAGUGUCAUAGGAGCCCUACAGUACCUAGCCAUCACCAGACCAGACAUCGUUUUUGCUGUGAAUAAACUUGCUCAAUUCAUGCACCAACCCAGUCAACUUCACUGGACUUCAGCAAAACAGGUAUUUCGGUAUCUCAAAGGCACAAUCACUCAUGAGAUAUCAUUAACGCCCUCUGUCAAUCCUCAUCUCUCCGGAUACUCAGAUGCAGACUGGGGCAUUGAUCCAGAAAAACAGACACUCUACCUCUGCCUAUCUCAUAUUCUUUGGCAACUGUCCAAUCUCAUGGAGCACAAGGAAACAACAUUCAGUUGCCAGAUCCUCCACAGAGGCCGAAUAUAGGGCCCUAGCCUCAACAACUUCAGAACUCAUAUGGAUUCACAAUUUACUUCAUGAACUGGGAAUCAAGAUGUCCCAACGUCCUAGCAUAUUCUGUGAUAACAUUGGAGCUACUCAACUGAGUCAAAAUCCAGUACUGCACUCUCGCAUGAAACACAUCGCCAUUGAUCUGCACUUUGUUCGCGAUCUGGUAAAGAAAGGCGUUUUAGAUGUCUCCCAUGUCAGUACCCAUGACCAACUUGCUGACUUCCUCACUAAACCCCUUCCACGUAUCAAGUUUCAAGCUAUGGUAAACAAGAUAGGCUUACUCAUCAGCCCGCCUAUCUUGAGGGAGCGUGUUAAAGAUUAUACAAAACACACAUGCUAAUCAUCCGCUGCAGAUAAAGGAAACCAUGUAUGGUGCAUACAUAUCCUCUGAAGACUCCCUGUCAACAUACAAUUCCAGCUGAAACAAACUUCUAGUCAUUGUAUUUAUAUUACAUACAACUUGUAAUCUAUCCUAUAAAAAGGAACUCACAUUAAUAAAGAAAGUAUGUUCAACAAUUUUCUAUACAUUGAACCAUCUGGUGUAGUAGCAAAUUUUGUGGUAAGCUUUGGACAUUGAUGGACCUUCAACUUCUCCAAACGAGGGAAUAAGAAAUAAUCACAUCAUCCGAAACUAAAACAGACAAUACUUGAUAAUUGUUCUAGCGACAACUCCUUUAGAUUAGGAAGCACUAUCUCCUUCUCAACGUUGAUAGGUGAAGCUUGAUCAUUGAAGACAUAUUCCAGUUUACCACACUCUUUUAUGAUGAUAGUUUUUAAUUUUGGGAAGCAAGGAGAUUCUGGAAUUAUUUCCCUUUCACCAUCCUUUUCUCUGAUAAUAUGCUUCAAUUCACCCCAUUUACUUAUCUCAAGUCUUUUUAGCUUUGGCAGACUUUGAGCGAGGGAUGGUGUAAAGAUAAAUGUCAGUUUGUCGAGAUAAUCCAACUUCAGAUGAGCAAGACUUUGGAGGCUGACAUUCCUGGUGGGACCCUUCCAUAUACAUUUGAGCUCAGGUAACCUUUGCAGCUGUAACUCUGUUAAAGAUGACAGCAGCUCCUUCUCCUCACAGCGUCCUUCAUCAGGCAGCUCACCUAAUUCAAAUACCUCUUCCAAUGAUUCGCAGUCCUCAAUUUCCACCUCCCAUAGAUUUUUCAAAGCUUGCAGCAAUUUUGCUGGAAAUGGAGUGCGAACAUCCCCACAAUCGUGCACUCGUACAAUUUCUAAUCUUUGUAAGAAGCCGUUUUGCUGUCCAUGGAUGACCAUCUUAUCAGAGAACAAUAUUAUAUUUUUUCACUCUCAUAAAAACAAUUUAUAUGAUGUAUAAAUAGGAGAAAAAAAGGAUUAAAUACUUCUUAGAGAUUACAUAUUAUUAUUUCAGUUUUUUUCUUAAUUAGAGAUAAGUUGAAUAAUAAUUAGAUUUUUGCGAAAAAAGGUUAAAACAACGCCUAAUAAUUAGUUUCAUGUAAAAAAUAAAAAUAAAAAUAAAAAUAGUAACUAAUAUUUUUAUUUUAGUUAUAAAGUUAAUGAAUUUUUAAAGAUAUUUUAAUUGAAUUAAAUAUUUGAACACAAAUUAAGCUAAUAUGAUUUCUAUGAUUAAUUGUUGGUAUUAAGUUUCUUAUAUUUAUAUAUGUUUAGAUAAAACAAAAAAAUAAGCAGUGACGAAGAAAGAAUAAAUCUAACAGAUAAUAUAAAUUACAUAAACGAUGAGGCAGUUAAAUCUAACAGAUAAUAUAUUUCAAAUGAGGCAGUUAUAUCUAACAGAUAAUAUGUUCUUCCAUAUGAUUAAUUUUAAUUAACGCAAACAACAAUGAGGCAGUUAAGUUUCUUAUAUUUAUAUAUGUUUAGAUAAAAAAAAAAUCAUAAAAAAUAAAAAUAAGCAUUUAUCAAUUACUUUACUUUUAGAAAUUGGGAGGAAGAAAGAAUAAAUUAUCGCAAUUGACAAUUUAAAUUAGUGGAGAAAUAUAAAGUACGUACUUGUAGCUGUGCCAACCAAUUACCCACUUCUUCGUGGCCUUUAAUGGUUAGUUGUUGCAAAGGCAAUUGAGCAUCAAAAUUCGUUGGACCUAAAAAGCUGUAAUUUGAUUGGAGCCGAAGAGACAAUUCUCUUAGCCGAGGGAACUUGAUGAUGCCAUCUCUGGGGAGUGCAUCUCCUUCUCCACCGUAAAAUAUUUGCUUUAAAUUGUCAGCACGAUCAAUCGUCAUCUGUUCCAGGUUCGUAAGACUUGGAGACAUGGAGACAGGGAAGAAAUAUUCCAGUGAAAAACAGAGAGAUAUAUAGAGAGUUUUUAAUUUUGGAAAGCAAGGAGACUCUGGAAUUAUUUCCCUUUCACCAUCCUCUUCUCUGAUAAUAUGCUUCAAUCUAUGACAAUCUUCUAUGUAAAGCUGUUCUUGCUUUGGUAGAUUUCGAGCGAGGGACGGUGUGAAGAUAAAUGUCAGUUUGUGGAGAUACGAAACUUUCAGAUGAACAAGAUUUUCGAGGCUGACAUUUCUGGUGGGCCCCUUCCAUAUGCAUUUGAGCUGGGGUAACUCUGACAGCUGUUAAAGAUGACAGCAGCGGCAGCUCCUUCUCCUCACUGCUUCCUUCAUCAGCCUCACCCAAUUCAAAUACCUCUUCCAAUGAUUCACCGCUGUAAACAAUCACCUCCUUUAGAUUUUUUAAACCUUGCUCAAAUUCUAAUUUAUGUAAAAACAAUUGCUCAAAUGUCUUCGCAUUGAAGGAUGUACCAUCCAAACUUAAUCUUGUCGAGGAUGGGUAUUGUCCUUCAUCUAAUGAUAUGUGCCCAUACCCUAUUAUUAUAUGAUAUUUGCGCAAGCUAACUGGAAAAACAAAAUCUCUGGGAAUGCAUUCAACCUUCGGUAUCCACAAUGAUAAUACGGCUAACUGAGAUACCGAAUGCAUUCAUUCCUCCAGUGCUGUCACAUCCAACAACAUCCCAUCCAUGAAAGCUUUGAUCCCCGAUCAACAGCUGUUCUAACUUCUUCAACCUUCCAAUCAAAUUCACAGGGAUCCUUCUUAGGCUUUCACAACGUGUCACAUCCAACAACCUUAACUCCUUGAGCUCUCCUAUUUCAUCAGGUAAUUCUUCAAUGGAUGAGCACCGCUUAAGACCAAGAAUCCUAAGUCUCUGCAGCUUUCUCAACCAACGAUUGAAGUUUCGUUGAGAGUUCAAGUGAUUGCAACGACAAACACCCUCCCUCCAGAGACAAAACUUCAAUUUCUCUCAUCCCUUCAAAGAACCUCUGAGGAACAUUCAAACCAUAAGCCACUUCUAAUAAUAGAACUUUGAGCCGUGGACAUACCAAUCCUUCAGGAAGUUCAGCUAGUUGAUUGCCCAUUAACGAAAUUGUUGUACAACCUUCAAAGCUUUUACCCGUCCAUUGCCACUUCUCUAACCCUAAGCCAGCCUUUACCAUGAAUCCAUAUUCUUCUGAUGAUGCUAUCUGAAUAGCAAAGUCACGAACAAGGUCAUGCAUUCUCACAUGUUCUUCAGUUUCAGAGCCCAACAGCAUGCAACAAUCUUUGAGGUUUUCGAUGGCCACAGAAACUCGUUUCCUUGCAUCUUCAAUGGGCUCCGCAUCUUGAUGUAACCCAUAGCCAACUGCAUAUCUCGUCAAGUCCUCGAUUGGAAUGUCAUAGUCUUCUGGAAAUAAACAGCAUAGCACGAAACAUGACUUGGUUUCCUCGAGCUUCAAAUAAUCAUAGCUCAACUUAAGACAUGUAUAAGCAUUAUUUUUUUCGUCAAUUUGUUCCAUGCGCGCAAAUUGAGAUUCUUUGAGCUGUCUAGACGCUGAUUCCCACUGAAGUGCAGAUGCAUCUCUUAGAGCCCUUCCCACUGUCACAAGUGCUAUAGGCAAGCCUUGGCAUUCUCUCGCAACCUCCCUUGCCACUGUGUUCAAGGUAGAGUUCCCAUCACGUAAACCUGCAUUGAUUCUGAAUAAAUCCCAUGCUUCUUUUUCAGGUAAGGGACUUAACGACACUCUUUGCUGGCACACCAUUGAAGAACAUACGCCUUGACGACGUGUUGUUAGAAGAAUUUUACAACCCCCGUGAUCAACACCAAAUGGGAUCCCUAUCUCUUUCAAGUCAAUAUAUUCCCAAACAUCAUCUAGGAUUAUAAGCAUCUUCUCCACUUCCUUCAGUCUCUGCCAUAAUCGACCUGCUCUCCCUUCUUUACUCUUUUCUUCAAUUUUCAAACCUAACAUAUCUGCCAUUCGGUUCUGAAUGUCUAUGACAUUUGGAUUCUGCGACACCGUAGCCAUCAAAAGUUCAUCAACCAGCUGCAACUCUUUGGCUCUCUUGCCUACUUCUUUCACCACGGUGGUUUUACCCACCCCUCCCAUGCCGUACAGUCCGAUCAUAUUGGCGUUGUCAUCUUUGAGAGCUUUCAUAAUCUGUUCGAAAGCUUCUUUUGAAGAUUCUGAGGGCGUGAAUUCCUUUGAUGGGAGAAAUUCUAUGGGCUGAGGAGGAGCUUUGUGGGCAACUUUUGUAAACUUUGUUUCUAAAAGUUUUCUGAAAGUCUCCGACUUCUUGGCCAGUGCCUUGCUUAACUUGAAUUGUCGCAUGCAGUUUGGACACCAAGUAAAGCAUUUGCCAUUUUUUCCUAUUUCAUUUUCCAAAUGACUCACAUCUUCAUGAUCAAUUGCUUUGGUUGCAUCUUCCAGCCACUUUUUGACACCUUUCUUAAUUUCUUCAGCAUUCCUUUCAGCAGCUUCGACAUCUUUUUGCAGACCAUCUAGUGCUAAAGCAAGGUUCUCCUUUCGUUCAUAGAAUUCUUCAACAAAAUUGUUGAAACAGAACAUGUAACGGAACUGCAUUCCUACUGGUUCCACCAUGAGUUCUGCUAUCUUAGAUAUAAUGGAUCCACCCACACUUUCGAUAUCCAUUUUCCACCGACCUGAAAAUCAGAGAAAUAAGGAUACACAUAACGUGAGAGUGAGUCACUACAAGUAAAACAGGCGCAGAGAGAAUGGGAAUAGGAAUUUCAUUACCUUAAUUUGGGAAAAUAUGUGAGAAAAGCACUGGCAAUCAAUGAAAUAGCGGGAGGAAGAAAAGGAGAAGGCCUCUAGCUCUGUAUGGAAUCCAGCUUCAAAAGCAACAAGGCAAGGUUCAAACUGACACUUGUGAGUUGAAGUAGUAAUUCCCAUUAAAAAUGCAUCUGGAUGACAUAAUUAAGAUAAUAUAGAGACAGUGACAGAGAAAUAAAGAAAUGAAAGGUUCAGGAUAAUAACAUAGACGCUUCCCUGGAUGAUACCAGCUCGCUUCCAACAACAGAUAUAAUUAACCUAAGCUAUGAUCGUUUUUUUUUUAGUUUUCUUUUCUUUUGUUUUUUUUUAAAAAAAACAGAUCAACAAGGGAAAAGACUUGCAAAGAAGUAGAAUUACUGGAACGAACUCAACAAAGAAUCAAACUCAAAAAAAUAAAAGUAAUUGUCUAUGAGAAGCAUUUCUGUGUCACACACUCAAGUAAUUUGAUUGACCUAUUACAUUAUACAAAUUAAUAAUAAUAAUAAUAAUAAUAAUAAUAGUAGUAAUAAUAAUAAAAGAACUAGGUUUUUGAUGGCAUCCGGAGUGCUGUAACUUUCAAAUAAAGAGGCUUGUGCAUGUGGUGUUAUGCUGUUCAUGUAGGCUAAGAUCUCCUAUGAAUACAAUUGUAAAAUCAUACAAUUGUAUUCUUUUUAUUAAGCUGCAAAUUUAUGCAGCUUUAGCAUGAUAUAAGAGCAGGUUCUUACCUCUUGAAGUCUGCUGCAUAAACCUAUCAGCAGAAGAUCCUGAACCGAUCCCAAAUCACAGCUUCAAUCCCCACCACAACCAAUCUCCUCUUUCCCGUAGUCUUCCGUCCUCAAUUGGGAAAGGAUCCAAAAUCAACAACCCGUCCGGGAGAUUGUUUGUGUGAAAAGAAACGGCUGAAAGAUGAAAUGUGAAGGUUAUGGUGAGAAAUUAAAUGACAAACUUACUUUGUCCUACUAAUGCUUUUGCUUUCAUUGUUUCGAAAGUAAAAGAGACAUAAACACAAUCAUUUCCUUCCUUUAACUUUCCACUUCUUAGAGGGGCCAGUUUUUCUUUUCCUUUCUUUUUAAAAUCUUAUGCCUUGGGUGAGGAAAUUAGUGGAGCAUUAGACUUUAUAAAAGACAACAAAAAGAAGCAAUGUCUGAUCAUCUUUUGAUAUGGUGGUUUUCCAUGAUCAGUUUGUUGAUGAAGAUAUCGAAAGAUUCGAGUCUCCGUUCUAGCUAAUGUUGGAUGCAAGGCUGAAAGUUGAGAUUAAUUAAUUAUUUUUAUCAAAUUAUAGAGACUAAAUUAUAAUUGAAUAAGUGUUUGUGUGGACACUAAAAGAUUUAACAGUUUUACCGACGGAAAUAUUUCGUCGGUGUGUGAUUAGGAGUUCGUCCGUAAAUUAUUUACCAACUAUAUUACCGACGGAAUGCUUCCAUCAGCUUUCCUUUCAUCGGUGAUUUCACAUUCCGUCGCUAUAUCGGUCAGAAAAACAAAAAAAUCAUUUGCCGACGGUUUUACAAACGGAAUUCGCGCGCUAAAAAAAAGGUUUCUCGCUUGAAAUAUGCCGACGAAAUAAAAUCCGUCGGUGAUAUCGUGUAUUACCGAUGGCCAUUACCCAUCGGUAAAUUUAUCGGUGAGUGUUUAAAAUACCGACCGAAUAAAUCCGUCUGUAAAUUCAUCGGUAAUCUUGGCAGCUACUGUCAAAUACCGAUGAAUGAAUUCCAUCAAUAAAGCUGUCGGUGAGUGUAUGAAAAUACCGACCAAAUGUAUCCGUCUAGAAAUUCAUCGGUGAUGGUGGCAACUACUAUCAAAUGCCGACGAAUUAAUUCCGUCGGUAAAACCCUUUGUAAUUAUUUUUUUUUAAUUUGUUUUUUUUAAAAAAAUUUAGAAUACAUAAUAUCAAAUGAUAUAAAUUAAUGGUAAUAAAAACCAAUUAUGCAAAUAAAAUUUAUAUUAAAUAUCAAAAACAAAAAAUCAAAGUUAAAUAAUAUUCAUUACAAAAUGAAUGUGUUUCAAAAAAAUAUUAAAUGAAAUUUUAAAGGUAAAUAAUGUUUAUUACAAAUUAAUAUAAAGGUGGAGCUGGAGGAGGAGGAGGAGGAAAAGGCUGGUUGUCAUACGGCCAAAAAGGAUUUGGCGCACAUGUUCCACCCUAUGCCAUGUUCAUGACCAUUUCGCGAAGCUGUUCAUAAGCCACUCUUUGUUGUUCAAACUCCGCUAUUUGUUGUGCUUGAGACGCUUUGAGUUGUGUGUACGCCUAUGAUAGGUGGUCGUACUUUUCGGUGAGCUGAGUCAUGUGUUGCUGCAAGGCCACGAACUUCUUAGACUGGGAGCUUGAUAUUGAUUGGGAGCUCCCGACGGUUGAAGCACUACGGGCCAACCGCAAGUUGUUGGCCCUAGUGUUGGAGAUCCCGUAAACAUGAUUUUUAUCGGGUCCACCUGACGAUCCAACCUCUAUCCACAAAUCCGAAUCGAAUUCCGAACGGGUCAAAGGAUCGUCCCCGUAUCUCUCCCUCAACCAAUCUAUUAUAGGUCUCCUGAAAAUAAAAAAAGUAAUCAUCAUAUUCAAUUCAAUAAACAUAAUAAUACCUUAAAAAAUAAAAUGGUUGAACAAACAUACCAUGAAAUGUUGAGCACGGUUGUCAACGAACUGUUGCACCCCCUUUUGGUGGUCUUGACUCCGCACGUGUGUCUCCACAAACAGCUCCAUUGGGCUCAGCUCACGUCCAAGAGACGUAGCCUAUAAUGAAAAAAAUUGAUUAACAACAAAUUAAUUGAAUGAGAUAUAUUUCAUUUAAAUUAAUUUUACCAUCCGUUUCGCAUGUGCAGCAAACGAAACGGAGCCGCCGAUGUGCGUUGCCACCGAGCCAUGAAUUGGCCGAUUCUGGUUGCCAGCACCGGACUGUGAGCGUUGUGUGAACCGCUCAGAUGUCACGUGCUCAAGAUAGUGCGGCCAUAUAUCUUUCAACAUGCAUAUCGGUUUGAAAUCCCUCCAAACCGUAACAUCGUUCCAGCCUUGGAACCCGCUAUCCCUCGCUGUUUUUGCCCUUUUAUGGGCUUCGUACCAAAAAUCACACAACCUACUUCACACAACCAAAAAUUACAUUUCGAAACAUAAAUUUUUAUCUAAAAAAAAAGUAGUAUUGCUUUCGAUGUUACCUAGUUGCCGUGUGAUUUUCCCACACCCUCCUCACAACAGUGUUAUGUUCACUGUCCCAGUAGAAUCGAUAGUGUGUAUAAAAAAUUAAUUUUUUAAAAAAUAAUAAUUUAUUUAAAAUUAUAUUAAUAAUUUAUUAGAAAUAAACUAAAAAUUAUAUAUUAACACUAAUCUCAAAUCUGUCAAACCAUGCAUUGAUUUGAGGCAUCCAUUCAGGAUGCCUGGAUAUCUGACUCCAUUGAAACAAUGGAAUCUCCAUCGACGAUUUAAAUGCCGAUGAUAUUACUCGGGCGGCCUCAAUGUUUGUGAACCUGAAAAUAAAUGAAAUUAAUGAAAUAGUGAUUACUUCAUAAAUUAUGUUUUAAUUUUUUUUAAAAAAAAAACUAAAACCUUAACAAACUUACAUUGAAAGGUCGUCCUUCCAAUGUACCUCGUACUUGCGGGUAAAUUGAUUCCGCUGCGAAGGCACACCGCCUCUGCGCUGUGAACCAGCGCUGGAAGAGGUAACAUCGGUUGACGGCGCAGGUGGUGUAGGUGCCUCUUCUUGAGAGGCACCUAAGGAAAUAUCAGCAUCGCUGCUAGAUGAAUUUGUUGCGACCGUAUGUGAACGACCAGCUCUGGAUUUCAUUAUGCGCAUCUACCCAAUUUUAUACAAAUCAUUAUAUAAUUAAAUUCAAAUGUUAAAAAAAAUUCGAUAGCACCUCCCUUAUACUGGAUACUACCCAAAUCCACAAACCUGCAAGUAUUAACAAUAGCCACAACCAAUUGACCCAAUCUAUACUAAUUAUUCCAACAUAUUCAAUUAUUAAUCCUAAGGUAAAUUCAACAUUAACAAUUACAAUUCAAAACAUUAUUCAAUAAUUAUGCCAAUACAACAAAACAAUAAAUUCAAAAAAAACUCUAGACUAACAAUCAAAAUAAAUGGAAACAAUUAAACACAAAUCAUGCAAUAAUAGAGUAAAAUUAAUAAUUCUUCCAACAUAUUCAAUUACUAAUUCUAAGGUAAAAUCAACAUUAACAAUUAUAAUUCAAAAAAUUAUUCAAUAUUUAUGUCAAUACAACAAUAAAAUAUAUUCAAUAAAUUUAAAAAAAAAUUAUAGACUAACAGUUAAAAUCAAUGAAAAUAAUUAAACACAAAUCAUGCAAUAAUGGAGUAAAAUUACUAAUUAUUCCAACAUAUUCAAUUACUAAUUUUAAAGUAAAUUCAACAUUAACAACAAAUAUUCAAUAAAUUAACUAAUAAAAAUUAUGCCAAUACAACAAUUAAAAAUAUUCAAUAAAUUAAAAAAAAAACUAUAGACUUUAGGAAAGAAAUAUGCAUACCUUAAUAAUAUGUUGAAUUCAAAACUUUAUCUACAUUACAAAAAAUUACACCAAAACAAAAAACAUAACAAGAAUAAAAAUAACUAAAAAUAAAAAUAAAAAUAAAUAAAAUAGAAAAAAACACAUACCUUUUAAUGUGAUGAAGAUUCACAACAAAUCUUGCUAGAGAUUCUAGGUGAAAGCUUUGAAGAAAUGAGAGGAAAAAAAUCGAAAUUUUAAGGUGAAAAAUAGAGUAGAAAAAAUAAACUGAAGUGGCGGCUGGUGGGACUUAUAUGGCAGUUUUACCGAUGGACUCACCAACGAAAAUAAAAAAUUAUUAUUAUUUUAAUUAAAUCUGUCGGUAAAGUGUCAAAAAUCCGUCGGCAAUUUUUGAAUUUUGCACUGAAAAUUUUAAUUAACCUCAAUAUUUUUUGCAGUCCGUCGAUAAUCUGACAUGAUCAGAGGAGCAUUCAAUGCACACCCUUUGGAAUUCGCACAUUCCAUCGGUAUGUUUGUUGGUAAAAUUUGUCCACCGACACAUUACCGACAGAAACAAUUACGUCGGUAUAGCCGUCGAUGAUUGUGGCAUUUCGAGUAAUUAUUUUCGAACUCUCUAUGAGAUGCCGACGACGUUAGUCCAUCGGUAUCAUCGUCGGUGAUUGUGGCAUUUCAAGUAAUUAUUUUUGAACUCUCUGUGAGAUGCUGACUGACGUGAGUCCAUCGGUAUGGAUGUCGGUGAUUGUGGCAUUUCGAGUAAUUAUUUUCAAACUCUCUGUGAGAUGCCGAUGGACGUGAGUACGUCGGUAAUUGUUGAACUGUACAAGAAAUGUUGUAUUUGUAUUGCCUAUUUACCUUCCUGCAAAAACUUAAAUGAUAAACUGUCCAUCGCACAAAACAAUAACAACAGUGCUUAAGCAAUAAAUAUUUCGUGUUAGAAAAUAUAUCAUCCAUAAUCUAAAUUACAUGAAAAAAGGGUUUUACACAGGGCUUCAUUUUGAUAGUUAGUUAGAAUUUUCUUCUUCUUCGUCAUCAAUUGAAUAGUCAUCACCUUCAUCGCAAUCUUCAAUAUGAAUAUCAUCUUCUUCAUCGACAUUUGCUUGUCCACUAGAGCUCAAAACAACAUUCAACUCCUCUGCGUCAACAUCAACAAGACUAUCAUCGAAAACAUGAAAAUUUGAAUUUUCUUCUAAUUCAAUUGAGGGAGCAACUCGAUAUGAUUCAACCAACUCACUAACUUGAAAGACUUCAUCUCGCACACUUGUGUCUUCGUUCUCAUCCUCAACAACCUCGACUCGACCCCAGGGUUUCUUUUUUAAAAGGGACAACCAAUCAACUCUUGAUCGAUCCUUUCUAAAUGAAGGGGUGUAUGUGUAAUAAACUUGUUGACAUUGCUUUGCGAAAACAAAGACAUCGUUUAUGUUGUAGAGUCUAGCUUUUGAGUUGAUUUCGACCAGACCAUACUGCGGAUCAACUCUGAUUCCUUUGCCAGUCGUGUCUACCAAUAGCAUUUGAAUAAAAACAAUUUAUUCUGCUCGCUAUGACAUUGCAGUUCGACGACCUCUUCUAAUCUACCAUAGUAGUCAACUUCUAACUCACUACUAGUGGAUCCCUUAACACAAACACCGCAGUUGUAUGUCUUUCUUCCUUACCCAUAUUCUUCAAUAUGGAAAACAUAUCCAUUGACAAAAUACUCGUUGUAGCACUUAACUUUUCUUUCAGGCCCGAGGCUUAGUGAAGACAAUGACUUAGGUGCACUCCUUCCUAUUUGAUAAACCUUGUAUGUAAUGUACAUCAAUAAACAGUAAAUGAACGGGAAUCUCGUAAUGACAUGCAUACGUAUAGUAAUUUUGUAAGUUAUAAUGAGUUUGUGAUAGUGCUUACAUGUGUUCUGAACCACGUGGCAAAUUCCUCAUCUUGUAAUUGAAAGAUCUGGGAUUCGGUCAGUUGUGAGUUAUUGGAGAGCAAAUAUUGUCGAUGGUGCCUGCAAGUGAUAAUGAGUGUAUGAUAUUACACUAUAUAAUUAACAGUAUAUUACUGACAAAGUUUAAUUAGUAUUACACAUAUAUAAACUUACUGAAUAAAAGGUCUUAGCUCAUCACAGUUAAAUAGAACAUAGUUGUGUUCUUGUUUAAAUUCUAUUUCCGACAAAUAUCUUCCUCUUACGGUAUUUUUAGGUGUAGGUCAUCCAGUAUUAGAGAAUAUUAACAAGUUCUCACUGGAAGGCACUUCACCGCCAUCAUCAUGCCGUGGAAUGCAAUUGAUUCUUGUUCUCAGAAGAGGUUCGAAAUAGUACGAGAUAAAUGUUGAGAUCUCCUCAACAAUAUAGGCCUCACAUAUCGAAGCCUCAACAUGCGCCUUGUUCUUAACCUUUUUCUUGAGAUUAAACAAGUACUUGCAUUGAAUUACAAUUCAAGUAUUUUCAAUUAAGAAAAACAUAGAAAAUACUUUAUAUAUGAAUUACAUUGCAACUGUAAUAUCUAACCAUUCAAUUAGGUACAUCCAUCUAUACUGGACCGGUCCUCCAGCUUUUUCCUCGAACGGUAGAUGUAUGGGAAGAUGCUCCAUUGAGUCAAAAAAUAAUGGAGGGAAUAUCAUCUCAAGUUUGCAUAGUGUCUCGAUGAUAUUCAUUUGAAGCCUCUCAAUGUGCUCAACAUUCAACUUGCUGGAGCAUAUAUCUCUGAAGAAAUGACUGAUCUCCGUCAGUGCAUCCCAUAUUCCCUUUGGCAACAAAUCACGAAAAGCUAAUGGGAUGAGUGUUUGCAUAAACACGUGGCAGUCAUGACUCUUCAUUCCAUACAAUCUGCAGUCCUCUAUAUUAACCAGACUUGAUAUGUUCGAUGCAUGUCCAUCUGGAAAACGCAGACUCUUAAGUCAUUUAUAGACUAGCAACAACAUGAUGCAAUUCUUCACCAGAAAGACGCGGGGAUGCAAAAUCUUUUUCAACUCUGCCAACAAAGAAAUCUUUUCUGUUCUUUCUCUACCUAUGAUUAAGUGGCAAGAAGCAACGGUGACAAUAAAAAAAAAGAAGCUUUACCUCCGUUUGCUAGCGUGAAUGCCUUGUUGUUUUCCAUGCAGUAUGGACAUGCGAGUUUCACAUGCCUGCUCCAACUAGAAAGCAUUCCAUAAGAUGGAAAAUCAUUGAUAGUCCAUAUCAAAGCCGCCCUCAUAAGGAAAUUUUUUUUCCUCGAUAUAUCAUAAGUCAGAGCUCCGAAGGACCACAACAACGCCAACUCAUCAAUCAACGGUCGAUGACAAACAUCUAUAUUCUACCCCGGGCUGCUCGAACCGGGUAUGACAGUAGAUAAAAACAUGAACUCUGGCCUUAUACACAUUCCCGGUGGCAAGUUAUAAACUGUGAGUAUGACCGGCCAACAAGAAUAAGGAGCAGCAAAUGACCCAAAUGGGUUGAAUCCGUCUGUACACAACCUAAGACGCACAUUCCUUAAUUCAGCUGAAAAGUGAGGAUGCACACUUUUAAAGCGUUUCCACGCUUCGCCAUCAGAAGGAUGCACCAUCACACCAUCAACCGCAUCAUGUGCUUGGUGCCAUGUCAUGUGCUCAGCAGUCCUUGGUGACAUGAAUAACCUCUGCAGUCUAGGUGUGAUCGGGAAGUAUCUAAGUUUUUUAUAUGCCACUAAAGUCUUUCCCCUGCUAGUUCUGGGUUUGUAACGAGAAUGCUCGCAUGUCAUGCACUCGGUCAUCUCAUCAUUUUCAAGGUAGUAUAACAUGUAAAAGUUAGGGCACAUGUCAAUUUUCUGGUAUCCUAAACCGAGGGGUUUCAUCAUGGACUUCAUAACAUAGAAGUUCUCUUUCAGCCUAUUCCCUUUAGGUAAAAUGCUUCUCGCCCAUUCAAUAAUUUUGUCAUACCUGGCCUCACUCAACCCGUGAUCUGACUUGAUGGUGAACACCUGUGCCAUAGCCGAUAAUUUAUUGUGGUUUGUGCAGCCAUCCUAUAAUGGUUCGUCAGAAUCUUUCAACAAAUCAAAAAACCUAGCUGCAUCUGCAUUAGGUUCUUCUUCUACGAUUGGACAUUGACUGACAUUACCUUGAUUCAUUCUCAUUGCAUCCAUAACCAUAUUUUUGUAAGGAUUAGUGUUGUCAUUUACCGCUUCAUGUAUGUUGCUAGCAUUAGAAGUUGACCCAACCACCGUUUUUUCUAUUCUCCUCUUACUAACAAAUACUUCUCCAUGUGUAUAUCAACACUGGUAAUUCUCCAUAAACCCUUUAUGUAGAAGAUGCAUCAUUACAACAUCUGGAUGCAGAUACUUUUUAUUUUGACACUUCCUGCAUGGACACCUAAUACCGCCUCCAAUAAAAUUUUUGGGAAUAGAUGUUGCGAAAUUAAUAAAACCCUGAACCCCAUUACAAUAAUCCAUCCUCCGCAAUCCUUGUGGUGAAUCUCGAUACAUCCAUGAACGAUCAUCCAUGACUUAUAUAUAUCGAACCUCUAUAAAAUUAUGAUGACAACAUGUAUUAAUUAACUAAGUUAGGUAAAUAAACUUGCAAAAAUAUUACUUUACCUCAAGAUUAUCCAACAAACCAAUCACAACUUCUCAUAAAUAUUAAAUAUUCAUUAUGAUCAUUUAUCAACGUCCAUACGUACAAAUUAAUAUAUAUAAAUUUACAGAAAUUACCACACCGCAAUACCAUUCAUAAAACUUAAAACGGACCCAUUAAGCAAGCUAUUAAUUAUUUCAAAACAGCACAUGUAAUUUGGUAGUUCCAUUAAGUUUUAACGAUUUACAAACAAAUACAAUCUUACAAAAUCUAAAACAAACCAUAACAGGUAUAAAAUUAUACAUUCAUAUACUACAAGUUUGUCUGAGAAAUAACAAUAAAACAUGUACAUCUACUAAAAAAAUAGAUAUACUAAAAAAAACAACAAAAUUGACAUUUAAAUGUUAAAAUUUAAAAAGAUAGAAUUACUUAAAAAUAAAAUCCGUCGACAAAUCAGAACACGGAUGAUGUGACCAAAAAAACUUCAAGAAAUAUAACUUGUUGUGCUGAGAUGAGGGAGAUUUUUGUGAGGGUGUUGGUUGUUUGCAGAUACGGAGAGUUGGGAUUAGGAAGAAAAAGGAGAAAUAGGGGAGGAGAGGGUCGGCAGUAGGGAAUUAUAUUAACUUUUUCUGACAGUUUCACCGACAGAUUAUUCCGUCGGCUAUUCUAUCGGAAAAAUGGACACGUCACCGUACAGAUCCGCCAUUUCAAAUCCAUCGGUAUUUUUAACGGUGAAGCGGUCACGUUACUGUACGGGCCUGUUGUUUUGAAUCCAUUGGUGAUUCCGCCGGAAAAAACCACCCCGUCAAAACCUCCACGUCAGCAACCCGCCUUUUUUUUUUUUUUAAUUAUGAACUUUCCGUCCGUAAUUUAGACGGUAACUACCGAUGGAUACUGUCCGUCGAUAGUUACCGACGGAAUUACGGACAGAAAAAGUUCCAUCGGUAAUGACAACCUCAAAUUACCGACAUAAAUAUUUUGUCGGUAAAUCCGUUGCUAUUAAGUUAAUUUCUAGUAGUGGGAGGAGUGUUUGCAAAUACCAUGGGAGAUGCGAUUUGUAUUAUUUUAGUUGUUGGUAUAAGAGUCCAAAUAUUGUGACGACCAUUUUAUAGAAAUGAGCACAAUGUUUUUAGAAUAUUUAAAAAAAUUGACAUGGGCAAACAAACAGACGCCUUUAUUUCUGGAAGUUCACUCAUCAAACACAGAUACACAAGUCAACAUCUUUCUUUUGGGAGUUCUAUAGCAGUUAAGACUGUUACAAUGUGAAGACAAAUUGAAUGUCCUUGUUAGUGAAACAAUUGAUAUUACUUCCAUCAAUUAAAAAAUAUUCACAGCACCACAGCUCAAAGACAUGAAUCUCCAUGAAAUCGCCUAAUGUCGAGAUGAUCAUGUAAUAGGCAUAUCGCAUAUGUUGAUUUAAUUCAACCAUUUAGAGUUCAAGGAGGAGGAGAGAACAUAAAAACUACAACCAUGUUACUUUGGUUGGGAAAAAAAUGAAUUAUUAGCAUGUUUUUCAAAUUCCAAACCCAAACUAAUCUUCUUACCCCAUCAUCAUCACCAAUCCAGCCAUCUUCCUCUUUCGUCUACACACCCACCUCGGGCUCCCAUUCUCCAAGUGCUGUUUGGCAGGGACAAACCAGUGCUUGAAUCCUCCGCUACUAGAGAUACCUGGAAACCAAUUUGCGAGAGAAGUUGCUUUAGUGGAUACAUCCGGUUAUAGGCCACUUGCUUUGGGUUCCAUAUUUGAUUUAAUUAUGGGCCUAGCGGAUAAUGUUAUAGUCUAAAUUUACUGGACAAGCUCUUGCAGUGCGACAAAAAGAUGCUUUGUCGACUUGAUCUAGUUCGUUCAGGUUUACAUAGCCCAAAUACAAAUGAAGUUUCUUUUUCAUUAAUGCUUUUGAUUUGUUAUUUUAUAUUCGGUAUAAUUCUUCAUUCUAUUAAAGUUUUUGAUCCUUCUCAUCAUUGUUUUGAGAGAGUUACGUUUAUAAAUCUAGUUGUUGUUUAUUCUCAUCCGUGUUACCAAAAAUAAGAUAUUUAAUAGACUUGAGAAGAAAAAAAAUUACUACAAUCAACUACAAGCUCUUAAAAGGCAGACACUAAUUUUUUCAAUGCUGGAGGAUUUAUCCUUCACUCAUUCACAUUGUAAGUUGAUUUUUUUAUAUACCCAUUCACAUAUAUUUAUAUAUCUAUGUAGACACCAGAUUAUUGCACAGUACCAAGUUAACCGAGUGACUUGCUAUAUAUAAAAAUACAACCUUCAAAAGAAAAUUAUUUGUUAUUUUUUUCUCAAAAACUUAAACUUGAGAUUUAAAUAUACGCACACACUUGUAUAAGUAGAAUGGGUAUUGUAAAUCAUCUAGUAAGUGGUCCAAUGGUAAAAGCUUGAAACUAAAAGGUUUACUUUCAUUGUGGUUGCUAAUAUGAUGGCCCGUACACUCAUAUUAAUCAAAAAAAAAAAUUAUUGUAAGCGUGUGUUUGUAAGAACAUAAUGUUGGGUAUUUCCAGAACUCAAACACACACAAAUUUACGUGGUUCGGCAACUUGCCUACUCCACGGAGCUACUGGUUUGUAUUAAUGAAGCUUACAAACAAUACAAACAACAAAACAAGGAGGAGGAGAAAAUCUUCUCUACUCAACUCAACUCUCCCUAGCUCUCUCUGUGUGUUUCUCUCUGUAUUUCGUGUGUUACAACAAGCUCUCAUUAGCAUCCUCUAUUUAUAGCAGAGGUAGGAGACAAUUCUCUCCAACUUUGGUCAAAUAUGGCAACCACCGUCAUUGCCACCUAGCAGCCACUGCCCACCGUCCUUGCCGCCAUCUUUGACGCCGCUAGCAGCCAUUGUUGACGCCGUCAUGCAGCCAGCUUGUGUCCAUACAUAACAAUCUCCCACUUGGACACAAAUGGCUUUAUAUCCAUCUUUUAGUCUUGGAGGCCUACUGAAGCUUUACACAGCUUCAGUUUAUCAAGAGUAACACCUUUGGUUAACAUAUCAGCUGGAUUCUUGCUUCCACAGAUCUUCUCUAGCAUUAGUUGCUCGUCGUCUAGCAAUUGUCGAAUGAAGUGAUAUUUGAUCUGAAUAUGCUUAGUCCUUGAAUGAAAUGUUGGAUUCUUGGCAAGGAAGAUGGCACUCUGACUAUCGCUAUACAAAGUACCUUUUCCAUUCAUCUUGCCCAAUUCCUUCAGGAAACUCUGCAACCAUACUAUCUCUUUUGCAGAUUCCGAGACUGCAACAUAUUCAGCUUCUGUUGUUGAAAGAGCGACGAUCUUUUGCAAGGUAGAACUCCAGGAAACAGCAGUACCUCCUAGAGUGUAUACAUAUCCUGUAGUGCUCUUUCUGCUAUCAAUAUCUCCUGCUAGAUCAGCAUCUACAAAACCUUCAAGUUUCAAACCACCAGCUGUGAAACUAAGACAAGUUUCCGAUGAACCUUUUAAGUACCUCAUGAUCCAUUUCACCGCCUCCCAAUGCUGCUUUUCAGGAUUGCUCAUAUAUCGGCUUACAACUCCCACUGCAUGGGCAAUGUCUGGUCUGGUACAGACCAUAGCAUACAUCAAAGAGCCGAUAGCUGAGGCGUAUGGAAUCAUACCUGUUGAGAACCUUCUUGACAUACUCUGUUUGUGAGAGCUUUAGUAUGCCUUUGUCUUUAUCUCUGAUGAUUCUCAUUCCAAGUAUUUGUUUAGCAGCUCCCAGAUCCUUCAUUUCAAACUGUUUUGACAACUGCUGUUUCAGCUUAUCAAUCUCCUCAAUGCUGGAUCCUGCAAUCAACAUAUCAUCUACAUAUAAUAGUAGAAUGAUGUAGGAGUUGUCAAAAUGUUUAACAUAGCAACAAUGAUCAGCUUGGCAUCUUGUAUACCCGGAACUGCACAUGAAGUUGUCAAACUUCUUGUACCACUGUCUUGGAGCUUGCUUCAAACCGUAUAGGCUUUUCUGUAGCUUGCAGACUUGAUUCUCCUUUGCUUGCAUUUCAAACCUCUCUGGUUGUUGCAUGUAAAUGUCUUCCUCCAAUUCACCAUGAAGGAAUGUUGUUUUUACAUCUAAUUGUUCAAGAUAUAAAUUUUCUGCAGCUACUAUUCCCAGAACAACUCUGAUUGUUGUGAGCUUCACAACUGGAGAAAAUAUCUCAGAGUAGUCAAUUCCUUUCUUUUGUUGAAACCCUUUUACAACAAGUCUUGCCUUGAACCGUUUGCUUCCGUCAUGCUCAGUCUUCACUCUGUAAACCCACUUAAUUUGCAAGGCCUUCUUUCCUUCAGGUAAUGUUGUUAGCUCCCAAGUCUUGUUCUUCAGCAACAAACUCAUCUCAUCCUUCAUGGCUAACUCCCACUUGCUUGAGUUUCCAUCUUGUAAGGAUUCUUCAUAAGUUAGCGGUUCACCACCAUCUGUCAGCAAAAUAUAAUUCAGUAAAAGUGUGAACCGUUGUGGGGGCUUUAUCGUCCUCGAAGACCUGCGAACAGCUGGUUCAAUUGGCUCCGCAUCUUCUUGUGUGGUAGUGGGCACAGAUGUGCUUGAAUCUUCUUGUAAAGACUCUUGAUUGUUGUUCUGCUUAGUAACAUCGGGAAGCCCUUCUAAUCUUAUGAAUUCAGAUCUUUGUGGACUUGUAUCUGAAUCAGCCAUCUCUGUUUCUCCACUUGAUCUGUCUUUGUACAUAACUUUCUCAUUGAAGAUCACGUUCCUGCUUCUGAUAAUCUUUCUAUUCUGAUCAUCCCAGAACCGAAAUCCAAAUUCUUCAUCUCCAUAGCCAAUGAAGAAACAUUUCUUGGAUUUGGCUUCUAACUUGUUGCGAGCAUCAGAAUCUAUAUGAACAUAGGAAACACACCCAAAGACCUUCAAAUGAGAGAGUCGUACCUCUUUUCCUCUCCAUACUUCCUCGGGCAGUCUGAAUUCCAAAGGAACUGAUGGUCCACGGUUGAUCAAGUAAACUGCGGUAUGAACUGCGUCAGCCCAGAAUGUUUGAGGUAACCCUGAAUGCAACCUCAUGCUUCUAGCUCGUUCAUUGAUGGUCCUGUUCAUCCGUUCAGCAACGCCAUUCUGUUGCGGUGUGCCUGGAAUGGUCUUUUCCAUUCUGAUACCAUUGACAACACAAUACUCCUUGAAACCUCCAUCAAUGUAUUCUCCUCCAUUAUCAGAUCUCAAGCAUUUCAACUUUAGACCUGAUUCAGUCUCAACCAUAGCCUUCCAUUUCUUGAAUGUUUCAAACACAUCAGAUUUAUUUUUCAGAAAGUAACCCAUACCUUCCUGCUGAAGUCAUCAAUGAAAGUCACAUAAUACCGAGAACCUCCAAGAUGCUACUGGAGACGGUCCCCAUAAAUCUGUGUGUACCAGUUCUAGCUUUCUUGGUCGUAAGGUCCUGCCAACCUUCAAGAAACUGACCUUCUGUUUUCCAAGAACACAGCUUUCACAAAUGUCUAGAUCGACAUUUUUUAACUCUGGCAGCUUUCCCUUCGACUGAAGUAUCUUCAUCCCCUUUUGACUCAUAUGGCCAAGUCUACAAUGCCAUAGUGUGCUUGAUUUUCUGCUUCAGUUGAGGCAAUGAUGUCUGCAAAUCUUGUGGUCAUAUACAGGGUGCCGGUUUUCUUUCCACGAGCUAAAACCAUUGCUCCCUUUGAUACUUUCCACAUUCCUCCAGCAAAAAGUAUUGAAUGACCACUAUCAUCAAGUUGUCCGACAGAGAUCAACUUCUUCUUUAAUUCAGGAACAUGCCUUACAUUCUGCAAGGUCCAUAUAGAUCCAUUCAUUGUCUUGAUUUGCACAUCUCCUAUACCCACAAUAUUCAGUGGUGUUCCAUCGGCCAGAUAGACUACACCGUGAUCUCCUCCAACAUAAUUUUGCAGCAUUUCAUUGUGUGGCGUACAGUGGAAUGAAGCACCAGAAUCAAGAAUCCACUCAUCAAUUUGACUAUGUACAGCAAGAAUUAAAGCAUCUUGUACCUCAUCUGUGGUAGCGUUUGCAGAGUCAGCUUCAGGUUUCUUCGGUUUUGUGCAAUUCCUACUGAAAUGACCAGGUUUGCCACAAUUCCAACAUUCAACCUGCUUUCUGGAUCCAAACUUGCUUUUACUUCUGUAUCUGGAUUUUGAUCUGCCUCUGGAUGAGCCUCUAUCGUGUCUCCUCCCUCGAGUGUUGAUGUUGAGAGCUGAUCCUGAGCUUGAACUUUCACCCGAGUCUUUCCUUCGCACUUCUUCAGCCAAAAUCAAGUCUCGAAUGUCAUCAUACUUCAGUUUGGAUUUUCCAGCUGAAUUGCUCACGGCUGUCCUCAUGCCUUCCCAACUGCUUGGAAGUGAAGCUAGCAAGAUGAGUGCACGAAUCUCAUCAUCAAACUCAAUCUCAACAGAUGAUAAUUGAUUUGUGAUGGUAUUAAAGUUGUUGAGGUGUUGUGUCACAGAAGUGUUUUCGACCAUCUUCAAGUUGAACAACUUUUUCAUCAGGUGCACUUUAUUAUUUGCUGAUGGCUUCUCAUACAUCCCAGACAAGGCUUCCAUCAAUUUUGCAGUGGAUUUUUCUUUCGUAACAUUGUGAGCAACUCUUCUUGAUAACGAUAGCCGGAUAAUGCCCAGAACUUGUCUAUCAAGAAGUUGCCAUUUUCUUCUUCCAUAUUUUGGUUUGCUUCCCAAAGGGAAGAUGAAGUUUCUUCCCAUAUAAUAAUCUUCAAUUUGCAUUUUCCAGUAUCCAAAAUCUGUUCCGUCAAAUUUUUCAAUUCCAGCCUUUAUUUCAUCUGCCAUUUUUAAUAUUCUCCGAUUCGAAUUUCCAAAUCUGACCUUACAGAUGUGUCCGGAACGGCCAAAAACCUUGGAAAUGACACUGAGAUCACCCCAAUCGGACUUCGGAUGGCUCAGAUUUUAGCAAUCAAAGUUUUGGAUUAACGGACGGCAGAUGCAGCCGCGUGUCAGCCAGAGUACCGCCUGCGUCGCACCGGAUCAAAACUCAGCAGCGGUGCAGAUAAGCCACGUGUCAGCAGAUUAGGGCCUGAGUCGCACUGGAUCAAAACUCACGGUCCUGAUUAAGCCACGUGUCAGCCGAUUAGUUCUGCGUCGCACCGGAUCAAAACCCCUCAACGGUGAUGAUGUAGCCACGUGUCAGACGAUUAGCGUCUGCGGUGCACUGGAUCAAAACCCAGAUGGAUGACGUGGCAGGUGACGUGGCGUUGACCGUGCGACUUGCUGACGUGGCGGUCAGACCGACCCGUUUUGCAGAAACCGGGCGAAGGAAGGAGCGUGGCGCGUACGGCGCGUUGGUGCGCGUGGGCAGUGCUGCGUCGGCGCGUGUGGCGCGUGCGGGCAUGCAGGACGUCGGUUCUUCGCCGGGUUUUCACAGUGGAUUCGUCCGGUUGUCCUCUACACGAUGGUAUGUUCAAAAACACGUUUUGAGAACUUUGAUUUUGAGUUUGGAUCAAACACCCUCUUUUUCAAGAACAAGCUCUGAUACCAGUUGUUGGGUUAUUUCCAGAACUCAAACACACACAAUUUACGUGGUUCGGCAACUUGCCUACUCCACGGAGCUACUGGUUUGUAUUAAUGAAGCUUACAAACAAUACAAACAACAAACAAGGAGGAGGAGAAAAUCUUCUCAACUCAACUCAACUCUCCCUAGCUCUCUCUCUGUGUUUCUCUCUGUAUUUUGUGUGUUACAGCUCUCCUUAGCAUCCUCUUUUAUAGCAGAGGUAGGAGAUAAUUCUCUCCAACUUUGGUCAAAUAUGGCAACCACCGUAUUGCCACCUAGCAGCCACUGCCCACCGUCCUUGCCACCAUCUUUGACGCCGCCAGCAGCCAUUGUUGACGCCGUCAUGCAGCCAGCUUGUGUCCAUACAUAACACAUAAAUGGUGUUUUACAGUAACAUUCAUUCCAGAUCUCAAGCAGCAUUGCUAGGCCUAUUUGAAAACCACAUAAAGAAUUGUAAUAGAAAUAGAACAUCAAAAUUACAAGGAAAACAUGUUGAUGAGGCAAAUACACAAGUCGUAGAGCCAUUAGUUUGAAGAGAAAGGAGAACGAAAAUCCACACAUUAAACAACAUAUUCACACAUGAGUAAUAUUAUGCCCUUGUUUUUGAAGGUCCAGACACUUGAAAAGAAACACAAAUGGGCAAGCAAACAUAUGUCUUUAUUUCUUGAGGUUCGCACAAUAAAUGACUAAGGACGCAACAUGGCAUGCUUGGGUAAACAACACGCAUAGAUAGAGAAAUCAAUAUCCUUCUUUUAGAAAUUCUAUAAAAUUACAAUACAAAUCCAAAGCCAAAUUGUAUGUCAUUGCCAAUGAAACAGUUGAAAUCACUUCCACAAAUUUAAAAACAUUCGCAGCACCAACCAACCAACCCGAUGCAAACAUGAAGAACAAUUAUUAGCCAUAUUACCUGUAUGCGUGGAUAUUGGAUGUGUUGAUUUAAUUUAACCAUUUAAAGAUAAAUAAUUGUAGCUAUUUUACCUGUAAGAAUGAAUUGUUAGCAUGUUUUUCAAAUUCCAAUGCCAAACUUAUCAUCUAACUUAAUUAUCACAACCACCUCCAUCCUCGUCCUCUUGCUCUUCCUCUUCCUCUUCCCGCCACCCAUUAUUUCGGGUCCACAUUCUACAAGUGGUGGUUGGCACGGAGCAACCAGUGCUUGAAUCCUCGACUACUUGAGAUACCUGCAAAACCAAUUCAAGCAAGUCAUAUGCAUUCUAACUUAUAAGUUUUAUUAUUGAGUGAAACAAGAAACAAAAACACUAAAAGAAAGGCAAGAAAUCAGGUUCAAUAAGCAGCACCUCUGAUUGAGCCCGCAUUGAACCAUUUGAUGUAGUACUAAAUUUUGUGGUCAAUUUUGGACAUUGAUGCACCUUCAACGUCUCCAAAUGAGGGAAUAAGAAAUCAUAACAUCCAAGACUAAAGUAGACAAUACUCGGUAAUUGUUCUAGAGACAGCUCUUGCAGAUCGGGGAGUACUAUCUCCUUCUCAACAUCAAUAGGUGAAGCAUGAUCAUACUGUCCAAAUACUCCCAAUAUUUGAGAGGAUUCUCCUACUUCAAGUUUUUGGAGCUUUUUGAGACUUGAAGCCAUGGCUACUGGAAAGAGACUCUUCAACUUGUUACAUCCUCUGAUCUUAAGUUGACACAAAUUAGGAAAGCAUAAAGAUUGAAGAUCACUCCCUGAUAAUAUUUGAUCCUUUUCAUCGUCAUUAUCCUUAGCAAUUAUUUGCUCCAAUUCCACACAAGUUGAUAUCUCUAGAACUUCCAGUUGAACUAGACUAGUAAUCAUAAUGCUUGUGAAUACAUGUUUUAGUCUUUUACAAUUCCUCACCACCAAAGAAGUCAAAUGGCUUAGCACAAUACAUUUCCAUAUACACCUCAUGUCAGGCACAGGUAGGGAGUACACAUGUAAUGUUUCCAAACUUGUUAACCCCUGCAUCAAAAGAAAACAAGGGUACAUAUUUGUUAGAUAUAAUUCCUAUUAAUGUUUGUGCACUUUGUAAUUAUUAUGUAAUUUUGGUAAAUGGAUGAACCAAUUAUACCCAAUACCUAAAUACUUAACAGCAAAAAGAUAUAAAUAGACAGGGAAAUUGGGCAUGGGAAUAUGAAAUCAUAAUUUUUCAUAUUUAUGGUAAUCUAAAUAUAAAUUAUUAUUUUAUACUAGUUAAAUUAAAAAGCAACCAUGAAAAAAUUAUACUUAUUAAUAAAAAAUAGUUUUUUAUAUUUGAUUUAUGAUAAAAAAAAAACAAAUUAUAACAUUAACCAAAAAUUAAUAAAAUACAAAAGAAAAUAAUUUUAACUACAAAAUGCUAUAUUGUUGAUCAUUUUAAUUAUUUUUUUCAUACGAAAAGGUGAAAAAAAUGUAAAGAAAAAAUAUGAAAAAUAUAUAAUAAAUAACAAAUUUUUUAAACUAAAUAUAGAUUUUUUAUUAACUUUUUCAACUGUGUUUUCACUCAAAUUAGGAAACAUAAUGAUGAUUGAAAAUAUAAGUAUUGACAAUUAAAUUAUCAAUUAAAUUCAGUUUUAGAAAUUUGGAGGAAGAAAGAAGAAAUUAUUACAGUUUAUUAAAGUUGACAAUUUAAAUUAGAAACGAAAAAAGAUUAUGGAGAAAUAUAAAGGACGUACUUGGAGCUGUGCCAACAAAUUACCCAAUUCUUUGUGGCCAUGAAUGGUUAACACUUGCAAAGAAGGCAACUGGGCAGCAGAAUUCUUUGGACCAAAAAAACUGCAAUUUGAAAGAAUCAAUUUUCUUAGCUGAGGGAAGUUGAUGACGCCAUCUCUGGUGAGUGCAUCUCCUUCUCCACUGUAAAAUAUUUGCUUUAAAUUGACAGCUAAUUUAAUCUUCAUCUGUUCGAGGUUCAGAAGACUUGGAGACACGGAGACAGGGAAGACAUGUUCCAGUUUAUCACAGCCACUUAUAGAAAGAAUUUUUAAUUUUGGGAAGCCAAGAGACUUUGGAAUUAUUUCCCUUUCACCAUCUUGCUCUUUGAUAAGACGCUUCAAUUCAUCGCAUUGUUCUAUCUGUAGUGUUUCCAGAUGAAUAAGACUUUGAGCGAGGGACGGUGUGAAAAUAAAUGUCAGUUUGUCAAGAAACAACAACUCUAGAUGAAUAAGACUUUGAAGGCUGACAUGUCUGGUGGGCCCCUUCCAUAUACAUUUGAGCUCAGAUAACCAUUGCAGAUGUAACUUUGUUAAAGAUGACAGCAGCCGCAACUCCUUCUCCUCGUUAAUUCCAUCAUCACCCUCACCCAAUUCAAAUACCUCUUCCAAUGAUUCACAUGAACUAAUUUCCACACUUAAUAGAUUUUCCAAAGCAUGCCGCCAUUUUGCUUGAAACAGAGUGCGAAUAUCCCCACAUGCAGUCACUUGUACAUGUUCUAAUCUUUGAAAGAAGUCCUUUUGCGAACCAUGGCCAUGGGUGGUCAUCUGAUCAGAGGACAAUACUAUAUUUUUUAAACCCUCAAUGUCGCUAAAACCAAUUUGAGACACAGUAGGAAACAACUGCUCAAAUGUCUUUGCAUUUAAGGAUGUGGCGCUGAUAUCACUCAAAUAUAACCUUGUCGAGGUUGGGUAUGUUUUAUCGAGUGAAUACCAAUCCCCAAAUAGUAUAUCAUAUUUGAGCAACCUGGGAAAAACAAAAUCUCUGGGAAUGCAUUCAACCUCCGGUAUCUUCAAUGAUAAUACAGCUAAAUGAGACAGCGAUUCGAGUUCUGUUAGGCUCGCAUUCAUUCCUUCUGUGCUGUCACAUCCAACAACAUCCCAUUCCUUGAAGCUCUCAUCCCCGAUCAACAGUUCUUCUAACUUCUUCAACCUGCCAAUCAAAUUCACAGGAAUCCUUCUUAGCAAUUCACAACCUGUCACAUCCAACAACCUCAACUCCUUGAGCUCCCCCAUUUCACUAGGUAAUUCUUCAACGGAAGAGAAACUUAUAAAACCAAGAAUCUUAAGUCUUUGCAGCUUUCUCAACCAAAUGAGGCCCUUGCAUUUACACCUUUUCAACAACAACGAUUGAAGGUUCGUUGAGAAUUCAAGUGAUUGCAAUGACAAACACCCUCCAUCAAGAGACAAAACUUCAAUUGCUUUCAUCCCUUCAAAAAACCUCUCUGGAACAUUCAAACCACCAUCCAGUCCUAACAAUAGGACUUUGCGCUGUGGACACACCAAUCCUUCAGGAAGUUCUGUGAGUUUAUUGCCCAUUAACGAAACUACUGUACAACCUUCAAAGCUUUUAUUGCUCAUUGGCCACUCCUUCAACCCAAAGCCAGCCUUUACCAUGAAUCCGUAUUUUUCUGAUGAUGCUAUCUGAAUAGCAACAUCACGAACCAAGUCAUGCAUUUUCACAUAUUCUUCACUUUUAGUUCCUAACAGCAUACAACAAGCUUUGAGGUUUUUGAUUGCCACAUAAACUCGUCCCCUUGCAUCUUCAAUGGACUCCACAUCUUGAUGUAACCCAUAGCCAACUGCAUAUCUCGUCAAGUACUCAAUUGGAAUGUUGUAAUCUUCUGGAAAUAAACAGCAUAGCAAGAAACAUAACUUGGUUUUCUCGUGCUUCAAAUAAUCAUAACUCAACUUAAGACAUGCAUAUGCAUUUUUUUGUUCAUCAAUUUGUUCGAUGUGCAAACAUUGAGAGUUUUUGAGCUCUUUAAACGCUACUUCCCACUCAACAGCAGAUUUAUCUCUUAGAGCCCUUCCCACUGUCACAAGUGCUAUAGGCAAUCCUUUACAUUCUCUCGCAACCUUCUUUGCCACUGUGUUCAAGGUAGAGUCCUCAUCAUGUAAACCAGCAUUGAUUUUGAAUAAAGCCCAUGCUUCAUUUUCAGAUAAGAGACUUAACAACACUGUUGGCUGGCACUCCAUAUAAGAACAUAUAUCCUUAAGACGUGUUGUCAGAAGAAUUUUACAACCCCUGUGAGCAUCACCAAAUGGGAUCCCUAUCUCUUCCAUGUUAAUAACUUUCCAGACAUCAUCUAGGAUUAUAAGGAUCUUCUUUCCCUGCAGUCUCUGCCAUAAUCGAUCUGCUCUCCCUUUUUUACUUUUCUCGUCAAAACGCAGACCUAAACUAUCUGCCAUUUGAUCCUGAAUGUCUGUGACAUUUGGAUUCUGGGACACCGUGGCUAUCAAAACUUCAUCAAAAAGAUGCAACUCUUUUGCUCUCCUGCCUACUUCUUUCACUAGGGUGGUUUUACCCACCCCUCCCAUGCCGUACAGUCCAAUCAUAUCGAUACUCUCAUCUUUGAGAGCUUCCAUAAUUUGUUCAAAAGCUUUUUGACGAUUCUGAGGGUGUGAAUCCCUUUGAUGGAAGAAAUUCUAUGUCUUGAAGAGGUGCUUUGUGGGACACUGUUGGAAACUUUUUGCUAUUUUCUUCAAGGUUUCUCAAAGUCUCCGUCUUCUUUGCAAGUGCCUUGCUUAACUUGAAUUGUCGUAUCCAAUUUGGACACCAAGUAAAGCAUUUGCCAUUUUUUCCUGUUUCAUUUUCCAAUGGAUUCACACCUUUAAUUUCGUUGUUUGCAUCCUCCAGCCAUUUGUUGACAUCUUUCUCAAUUUCUUCAGCAUUUCUUUCAGCAACUUCGACAGCCUUUUGCAAACGAUCUAGUGUCAAAGCCAGGUUCUUCUUUUGUUCAUUGAAUUCUUGAACAAAAUUGUUGAAACAGAACAUGUAACGAAAUUGCCUUAUUGUUGGUUCCACCAAGAGUUCUGCUAUCUUAGAUACAAUGGAUUCACCAACACUUUCGAUAGCCAUUUUCCACCAGUCUGAAAACCAGAGAAAUAAGGAUACCGACUAUGAGAGUGAGACAUUACAAGUAAAAUAGGAAUUUUAUUACCUUAAUUUUGGAAAAUAUGUGCGAAAAGCAAUAAAAUAGCGGGAGGAACAAAAGGAGAAGGCCUUUAGUAUGGAAUCCAGCUUCAAAAGCAACAAGGCAAGGUAUAAGUAUACCAAUGAGCAACCCUCAUCUAUAAUAUCUUUAAAUUAAUUUGUUAUUAAUUUUAAAUUGUCAUAAUGAUGUUAAUAAAAUAUAGAAUAUUAAUAUGGUUGUAUUGUCAAUCAAAAAACUCCUCUCGCUCACAAAAUAUAGAUUAGAAUAUUAAUAUUAAUAUUUCAUCAAAAGUUAAGAUAUAGAAUAUUAAUAUAUCUUAGUUCUAUUUCACUAGUUGUAUAUGCCACUAACUUUAUUCAUGCAAUCAAUAUAUUUAAUAUUCAUUUGAGUUUGAUUAAUGAAUCUAAAGUUGAGAUAAAAUUAUUAGGAAAAAAUAUGCUUAGAAAAGAAAAUUAUGAAGUUGUGAUAAUUAUGAUGUUUCUUAUUAUAUCAAGACAUUGUUUAUAGUGCUCCUAGUUAAUGCUUUAUUAAUACUAGAAAUUAAUCAAAGUUAUUGAGAUUGAUAUAUAUUUUAUUUUUUUUCUUUAUAAAAUGAAGCAAUUGUUCUAUAAGGUUAAGGUAUAAAGGAUACCUAAAAUUAAUAUGUAGGUAUUUAUUUAAUGAAAAACACACUAAAUUGAGUUGUAAGAGGACUGUAAAGAGAAUUUAUUCUUGAAAGGAGUGGUGAGAGAAAAAUAGAAUUUGAAGAAGUUCAAGAACCAUAAACUAACAUCCAAUUAGAACCUGAGCUCAAAUAUAGCACUAGAUACUUAGCUUAAAGAUCAAGAAACACAAUAAUACCAUAGAUCUAAUAAGAGAUGUCAUACACCAAUGACAUAUGAAUUUUUCAUAGAAGCUAAAAAUGAUGAGUUGCUCAUACUUAAUGAGCCUACCAAUUACAUGAAAGCCAAUAUCUAAUAUUGAUUCCAUGAAAUGACUCACGGAUAUAAAAUUCUAAAUGGAUUAAAAAUAAUUUGGUUAAUUAACCUAAAGGAAUAAAAUUCAUUGGAUGUAUAUAGAUCUUUAAGAAAUAGAUUAGUAUUAAUGGCAAUGUAUAGAUGUAUAAAGCCAGACUAGUUACUAAUGGUUACAAGAAAAGACAAGAAUUGGCUUUGAUGAAACCUUCUAGCUGGUAGCUAUGUAAAAACCUUUUUGAUAUAGCUACAUGCUAAUAUUAAGAAUUCUAGCAAAUAGAUGUCAAAAAUGCAUUCUUGUAUAGGAAUAUUCAUAAAGAUACGUAUAUUACACUACCUAAAGGUUUUGAAUCUAAAUAAUUUCCCAAAAAUGUAUGCCAGUUGUAAAACUUCAUUUAUAGACUUGAACAAGAUUUAUUGGCACUAAUAAUAUACUUGGUUGAGAAUAAAUUUAAAUAUGUUUCAUAUGAAUAUAACAUCAAUAAGCAUGAAGAAUUUCAUGAAAAUUCAAUCAAAAGGUCAAAGAAGGAAGCAAAGUGAAGACUUAGUUUAAGUAUUUAUUUUAGUUCUUAAUUUAUAAAUCUUUAUAUCUUACUUGAUGGUAUAAUUAAAAUAAACUCACACACAUCACUCUGCAUAUAUUAAAGGAUUGAUAUAUCAGAUGAUCUAAGAUAGAUGGUUCUAAGAAUUCACCUAGAUUAAAGUUGUUGAAUAUGGAAAUCUACAUGAGUUGGACGACCGUUUGUUCAUCAGUGAUAAACAAUUGGAAAUUCUACAUUAACCAGACGACUGCUUGUUCAUUAGUGAUGAACACUUAGAAAUUCUACAAGAAUCAGUUGAUUGAUUGGCUUGACUAGUCUGAACUGGUCAACCGUUUUACUUAUUAGUGGGCUACCAAUAACUAGUUUUUCUUAUAAACAUUUCUAUAGCUUGUUUAAUUGUAAAAUUAGCAAUGAAUUCCAAACAUAUAUGAUAAAAAAUCUACUCCAAGAUAAAAUAACAAUAAAAUUAUCAAUCUCUGAUCAUACUAUAACUAGUGCUUUUAAACUAUCAUAUUAUAACACAAAGAGUAUAUAUUUUCAUUCUCGCUACACUUAAAUACUUUUAAAUCCUAUAAGUGCUACUUAGUGAGUGAUAAAGAUAUUAGAACUUCAUUUGUAUGAUCCACUCUAUUGAAAGAGUUUGUUGUAAACAAAAAUCAUACUUGUAAAACCAUGAGAGUUAAGUAAAAACUCUUGGUAUUAGUGAGGGAAUAUCAUCAAAGUAAAAUCUUGAAGAGGAUAUAUCUUCAAGUGAGAAAAAUCUUGAAGAAGGAUUUCAAGUGGUGUAAAAGGCUUGGUGUGGAUUCAUCAGGUGGCUAUUGUACACCUGAACUUAGACUAAUAAAAAUAUAUAAUAUUCAAGUACGGUUUGAUAUUUGAGGUGUGAAUAUAGCAAAUUUGCAGUUCUCUCUCUUAAAUCUUUACUUUAAGUACUUUAAUUAUAUUGUUGGUUAUUAUGUUUACUUGAAAUAAUUUGCAUUAUUUGAUAUUAUUAGAUGUCUUAAUCUUGGAACAACAAUUGAUAUCAGAGUUUAGUUCUCAUAUAUAGGUUUACUUAGACUUUGAGUAGAAAAGCAACCACUAGUUAUAAUCUUCAAAAUGAAGGAUCAUCCACAUCUAGAGUAUAUUUUAUUAAUGGUAAUGAUUAUGCAUAUUGAAAAUGUAAGGCCCAAAAUUUUGGCCCAAGCUCAAGUCAGCUCAAACCCAACCUAAGUUAACCUAGAAAAGGUUGUAAGAGAAUUAUUUUUCUCUUUUUUUUUUCUUGUGGUUGUUGUGACCGUACCCUUAUCAAACUAAUGAUUUAUUUUGGAGAUCUGCAUAAUUGAAGACUAUCAUAUUAGGAUUCUUGGAAUCCUAAUCAAUCGAUCAAUGAGUUGGUCUAGACCAGCCGACUGGUUGGCCUAUGAUAGCAGUCAACCGGUUGGUAAAUCUUGUCAACCAGUUGGCCUAACAGUAGGUUUUUAUCGAGUUUGUUGGGUUCGGUCAGUUUAGGUUAUGCACGGAUUCGAUCGGGUGAAACAGUUCAAUGCUAUAUUUAUGUUUUGGUCUUUAAGCUUAGAGUUUUUAAUCUUUUAUGAUACUUUGCGUUGUUACUCAUUUUUUAGCCCCACAAGUUGGAGAUGGUGUGUAUCCCUCUUGAAGCGAAUGCAGGAGUUUAGCUCAUAGUUGCUGGAAGAUUGACAAAAACGGAGAAUAAAGAAAUGUUUUUCUAACCCUAUUUCAAUUGUUUUCUGCUCUCUUUAUCCUCCCCCUUUGCUGCCAAAAUCUUUAGGAUUCUUAAGCUAAUUAGGAGUCUUCAUAAUGAUUAAUUCAUUCCUUAUUUCUCCUUGUGAUAACAAGUCGAGAACACUUGAAAUACCAAGGGAAAAGUGAGUUUUUAAGCAUAUUGAAUCUCCUUAGAUUUCUAUUUUAGUUGUCUCCUAAUCCACGAGUUGCCAAAGACUCAUGAGAUUACCAUGGAAUAACAAGAACAAGAGGAAAAGUAAAAAAAAAGUUUAUCAUUUAAAAUCAUUCACCAUAUUGAGGGUAAUGAUGAUGAUGAUAAUCAAGAAAGCAUUGAAGAGAAUAUUGCCUUAAUUACAAGGCAAUUCUGAGCUUUCUAAGGAAGAAAUAAGGAGAUAAAAGAUUAUCAAAUUUAAAGAAAGAUGGGGAAUAAGGAAAAGUCUAGCAAAGAACUUCUAAGGUGUUUUAAAUGCAACAAGACAGGACACAUCAAAGUAGAUUGUCCACUUCUUCAAUACAAGAUGAGAAAUCAUCAUUAUAAUACGGCAAUGACAACCACUGGGAGUGACAAUUCUGACUCAAGUUUUAAUGAUGAAGAAAAGCAUGUGGCAAACAUGUGCUUCAUGGCUAUCGAAAAUGAAAAUGAGGUACAAUCUUUGGAUUAUGAAUCUGACCCUAAUUAUAAUGAGUUGCAUGAUGCUCUUAAAUCUUUAUAUAUGAUGAAUUUAAAAAAUUAGAUUUAAAAUAUAGUUUAUUGAAAAAGAAAUAUGCAUGCUUAUUUAUAGAAAAAUAAACUCUAGAAAAUAAACUUGUAUUGUUAUUGAUGAAAAUAAAAAGGUUAAUCAACUUGAAAAAUAAAAUAAAUCCUUAAAAGAAAAGGUUGAAAAGUUGAAUACAACAUUAGCUAAAUUCAAGCAAGGCUCCAAGAUUUUAGAAAAUAUGCUUUCAUGUCAAAGGUGUGUUUUUAACCAAAAAAAAAAAGGUUUAGGUAACCUAAAAGGAACCAAAAGUAUUUGAAAAAUCACUUUGUUAAAACCAAAUAAUCUUAUAACCCUAACCAUAAAUGCAAUUAUUGUAAAGUUAGAGGUCAUGUUAUGUAUGCAUGUUCCAUUGAGAAGGACAAAGCUUAAUAUAACUUAGGUUCUAAAAGGAACCACCACUAACAAUAAAGGAAUGGAAAAAAACCAAACAAGCUCAAGCAAUAAUCAAGAAAUGGUAAGUAACUCCUUCAUGCCACUAAAAGAGCUAAGGUAUGUAAGCUCCCAUCCUCCUGGAUUAAUUAUCGGUAAUCUAUUUAAAGUAACUAGAAUAAGAGCUUCUUCUAGAAACAUUAGUGGGCAUUUUGCAUUUGUUUCUCAAAUAGAACCCAAGUCCUUUCUAGAAACUGAAAAGGAUGAAAAAUGGAGUUUGUCCAUACAAGAUGAGUUAAAGUAAAUUUUUAAAAAAUGAUAUUUAGAAACUAGCCCCUAAACCUAACAAUCAAUCCACAAUAAAAACAAAAUGGGUUUCUAGAAAUAAAGUUGAUGAAUAUGGGACAAUAAUUAGAAACAAAGCUAGAUUAGUUGUCACAUGUUAUAAUCAAUAAAAAGGUAUUGAUUAUAGAGAAACAUUUACAAUGGUAGCUAGACUAUAAUCAAUAAGGAUGCUUUUAGUCUAUGUUUAUCAUGCUAACUUUACACCUUUUCAAAUGGAUGUUAAAAAUACAUUUUUUAAAAUGGUUUUAUUAUGGAAGAAGUGUAUGUUAAGCAACCACAAGGUUUUGAAAACUUUCAUUUUCUCAAUUAUAUUUUCAAACUCAAAAGGACCUUGUAUAGUUUAAAAGAAGCACCAAGAGCAUGGUAUGAUAGAUUAAAAUCCUUUUUUAUUGAUAAUGGUUUUAACAUUGACAAAAUUAUCUCUUUGUAAGAAUUUUACAAAAUGCAUACAAGAUGAAUUUGAAAUGAGGAAGGUGGAAAACUUGAACUUCUUCCUUGUAUUGCAAAUCAAAUACACAAGGGAUGAUAUCUUCACUAACCAAAGCAAGUACAUCAAAGAUCUUCUAAAAAGAUUUAGGAUGGAACAAGUUAAAGUUGUCAAUAACUCAUGGGAACAUCAAUUAAUCUUAAUACAAACAAAAAUGGUAAGAAUGUAAACAUCACUAAAUAUUAAGGUAUGAUCGAAUCUCUUUUAUACUUAACUGCAAGUAUACCUAAUAUCAUGUUUUGUGUAUGUUUAUGUGCAUGUUUUCAAGCUUGCCUAAAAAAUCACAUGUAAGUGUUGUAAAACGUAUUUUUUUUAUUUUUGCAUGGUAAUGUAGAUUUAGAGUUAUGGCAUCUAAAAGGAAGUGAGUUAAACUUGAUCAGAUAUUCAAAUACAUACUUUGUCAGAUGCAAUGUUGAUAGAAAAAAAAUACUAGCAGAACAUAUCAUUUUUUAGGAUUCUUACUAGUAUCUUGGGCUAUUAAAAAGCAAAACUUAGUAGCCCUAUCAAUCACUAAAGUAGAAUAUAUAGUUGCAGGUAGUUGUCGUGUAAAAAUUUUAUGGAUGAAAUAAAUCCUAGAAGACUAUUAACUUAAUUUUGAUCAUAUACUCAUUAAGUGUGAUAACACUAGUUCUAUAAGUCUUUAUAAAAACUCAAUCCAACACUAACGUACAAAACAUAUAUAAGUAAGGCUUCACUUCCUAAGGAAUUACAUUGUAAAAAGAGAUAUUGUACUUAAGCCUAUAAGCACAAAACACCAAUUAGUAGAUUUCACAAAGCCACUAAGUAAAGAUCAAUUUUGGAAAAUACAAGGAAUUUGAGUCUAAAGGUUGGACAAAUUGGUAUAUCAUUACUCAAAAAAUAUAUUUGGAUGAUAAAAUUUUAAAAAUAUAGAUUUUUGUGUGAACCAUUCGAUCGACUCAUAUAACUAGAUUAAUUGGCAGAUCGGUUGAGUCAGAUGAUUGAUAACAAGGCUACUAAUCAUAUUUUCAAUUUUUAGCCCCUCGGUUUCUUUGUCUUUUGGAUAUAAUUUUAUAUGGAAAGGAUUUAUUUUUAGUGCAAAGAAAGGAUCUGAAGAGAAUUUUAGGAAAUUUUCAACUUGGGAUUAAUUGGCCGACCAGAUGAGCUUAACACAAAACAAUUAGUUGGUUGAUUGCUCGGCAGUAUAUAUAUUUGUUAUUUCUCAAACAAAAUUAGAAAAUAAAACAAACCCUAAACCCGACUCUCGCUCAAAAACUCACCAAAAUACAUCCGCUUGAUCAUAUUUUUAGCUUAUUUCUUGAAGAUUCAAGUAUAAUAGCAAGCAAGAAAAGCACAAAAAAUGUGGAAUCAAAAAGCAAAAGGGCUAAUGAUUGAACCUCAUACCAAGGUGAUGAUAUUCAAAGAUUUCAAAAUUCUUCUACAAAUAGGUCUAUUUCUAUAAAAAGAGGCAUGGGAAAUGAUCUCAAUGCUUUUGAUAUAGACAUUAUGUUUUAGGAAAUGGUUGGAGCAUAAUAUAUUAUUUGAAGAAAGUUAGUUAUCCUAAGGUAAUAAAAAUUUUUUUUUGUUAAUAUGAGGAUAACAAUGGAACCAAGGAUUAUAAAGUCAAGAUUUGAUGUUAAGAACUAGAUUGCUACAUAGGAUUAUAGCACACAAUAUAUUUCCAAAGAAAGAGCAAUUUGAUGAGGUAACUUUGAUGGAUAUGUGCUUAAUCGAUUGCAUUAUUAGGAGAUGGCUAAUAAAUCUUCUUUAUAUUAUGAUUAGGAAUACGAUCAUGGCAUAUGAUCAAAAGCAAAAGUCUAUUUCAUAUGGUCAAGCAUUAAUUUCUAUUUUUUAGCAUUUUAGGAUUAUUUUGAUGGGUAUAGAUAGGAAUCCAUAUUUAAAGCUCAUGGAAAUAGAUAAUAAGACCCUAACCAAGAUGAAAUGUCUUAAAAAAAGGAUGGUGUUUGGGUUCCUAAGCACCAACUAGGAGUACAUGCUGAAGAAGAGCAAGAUGAUGAGGAGGAAGAGCACGAGACUAGUAGUGAUGACAUAACUGAAGCUAUGUUUAGGUCACCACCACUUGCUUCCUCUCAUGAAGAGGCUACAUCUAGUACAUGGAAUUCAAGUAUGAGAGUCACCUAAUACAUUGCAAAAGAUAGGGGGAGACAUAUUUUUAUAUCUAAGUUAUAUAUUUAUUUUCAUAAUAAAAAAAUAGGAGAGUGUUUACCUCAAAUGAAAGAAUAUUAAUUAUAUUGAUAUACUAGUUAUUGAAAGGUUAACUCAAACUAUAAAUAAAGUUUUUAAUAUGUUAAAAAUCAUGAUAGGUUGUAAUGCAUUGUACAUAACCUUCAAAUAUAUAUUAAUCAAUUAUUAGAUUGAUGAUAAAUUAAGUUAUUUAAUAUAUCUAAUCAUAUUUUAAUUAGGAUUAUAGUUUAUAAUUGGGUUAAUAUAUUAGGAACAACAAGAAAUUAAAAUCAAGUUUUACUUGACUAUAAAUAAGUUUUAAAAAAUUGAGGGACUAAUGUAAUUUAUAUAAAGGAUUACAAUUGCAGACCUAGAAAAAUCAAAUAUGAACUUAAUCGAAUAUAUUUAUAGUAGUUGUGCCGAAAUCAAACAUAUGAUAUUUUUUAGGGAGAAAAGUGAUAUUUUAUUAUAGUUAGAGUUAUGUUUUCCCUAUGAAUACAAUGAUGUUACUCAUAACUCUAAUAAAGAUAAUUUAUUAAAGAGUUAGAAAAAAGCUAGCCCUCAAGAUUUAACAAUCCUUCAAUCCUAAAAAUUUUAAAAGAUUUUUAAUUUUGCAAUUCAUGUGGAUUAUAAUUAAAGAUUAGAUAAUUUAAUAACUAGUUAUUUGUGACAAUCUAGCUAGAAAGAAUCUAUCAAAUCCUAAAAGAAAGAAUUAUUCUUCAACUAAUCUUCACUCAAAAUCUAAAUGAUCUUUAACUGUGUAAUGAGAUUUAUGGGACUUUGAAAAUAUUCUGAAAUUACCAUUUUUAUUGCGUUCAUGUUUUAUGAGAAACCUAGAAGUUCAUCAAUAUGAACAUAUGGAAGGGUGUCGUUUUAAACAAAAGUAUGGAUAGAUUUUGUAAAUAUUCAUAAAAAUUAGGUUGAAGCAUAAGACCAUAAUACUUCUCAAUUUAGUGAAUCUCUCAAAGAAUGUAGUUUUAUAUGUAUAUCUCUCUCGGUUAAACAUUAACCAACCGUGGUUUAAAACUUGGGCUAUCACUAAUUUAGUUCAAGUAUUGAAAACGUAACGUAAUUGAAAGUUUAAAUUGAAAGAUGUCUUUAAAGUCAAAACUAUAUAUGAAUCUCUUAAAAUAGAAAUGUAGCUUAACAUAUAUAUUUUUCCAUUUGAACAUGAAUGAUGAAUCACUACAAUCCUAUAAAUACAUACAAGAGCAAAAUUAAAACAUUAUAGUCUAGAUGAAUUUAAAUUAGCAUCACAAAGACUUGUGAGUUAAAGAGGUAAUUUCUAUGAAAAAUGCAAUUCCAUGACAUAUAUAUAAAGUAAGGUAGUAUGUGUAAUAUAAAGACAUUAAUAAACAAAUAAAAGAAGAAUAUGUACAAGAAAUUACUUGAUGGUAAGGAGAUAAACGAACGACAAAUUCACGAUGAUUAGUUAACACCUGCAUAGAUGACACAAAUGUAAUUAAUCUAAUAAUCUUAUGCAUGUAACUAUAUCUAUGGUAGCUCAAAAAAGUAAUUUUUUUAUAUAUAUAGAAUAAAAAGAAAAGUCUUCAAAAGGAGUAAAUAAUUAAUUGAAUUAAGGUCCCUCUCUCCCACUUGCAAGGAUCUUGCAGGAAUCAAACUCGAGCUAGCAUCUAAUAAUAACUUGCGUAUGACUAUCCUUAUGAUAUAUAUCCAUGAAAGAGUUUCCUUACUUCAAACUCGAUUUGUCCACGAAGGCCAAAGCCAAAAAUAUUCAUAUUAAAAGGGGAUUCUUUAUUUCAAAUUUGAUCUGCUUUCAUUUUUUUUUUAUUAACAUAUAAGGCUAAAAUGUUCCGAUUAAUUUUUACUUCAAACUAUACUCGAUUAACAUAUAAGUAAUAUUUUAUAUAUUGUUAAAAAAUCCUACACUCUAUUUUGCAUUAACUAGGGAAUUUAUAAGAAUUUUAUUUCUCAUGGACUAACCAUACAAUUGAAUAAUUAACAUAUACUAAGGGUCUUGGCAUUUCAUUGUAGCAAUUAAUAAAAAAAUAUUUUGGUCUUUUUCAAUUUAAUCCUCAAGUUUCUUUAAGUUUAAACUCUCUUUUUUCAAUUUCAUCAUCCAAUGUUGGGUUUAAUGGGUAUUAAACUUCAUGAUUUGUUUUAAAAUUUUUUUAUAAAGUUAUUCUAGUUUCAUUACCCGAGUUUGAUAGGUUAAUCUAGGUUGACUUGAGUUAUUUUUUUAUUUUAUUUUAGUUUAUUUUUUUCUCAACUUUAUCCUUCAACGUUAAGUUGAUUGAGAAUUGGGCAUCAUAUUCAUUUUUUUUUAUGAAAUUAUCAUGGUUUCAUGACCUAUAUCGCGAAUUUUACACGUUAGCCAAGUUGACUUGGGUUUUUUUUUAUCCUGUUCUGAAUUAAAUUUUUUAAAACAAUUCAUCAUUAAAAAUUAGGUUUAUUAGGAUUUUGACUUCAUAAUUUUGUUUUACUUUCUUUGUAUUGAUUUAUCUUGGUCUUAAAACCUGGGUUUGACAGAUUGACCGGAGUCAACCUAUGAUAUUUGUUAAUUGAUUUUUUUUUCAAUUUAUUCUUUCAACAUUGGAUUGAUUAGGAAUUGAGUUUGAUAAAAAAAAAAUUAUUUGUUUUCUAUUAGUUUAUCACAGUCUUAUGAUUCUGGUUGCAAGUUCACGUAGUUGCCUUAGGGUUUUUUUUUUAUCAUUUUUCAAUUGAAUGUUUAUUUUUUUCAAUUCCAUCCUUCGAUAUUGAAUUGAUUAAGAAUUGAGAUUUAUAAUUUGUUUCACUUUGCUUUGUUUAAAGUUAUCCCGGUCUUAUGACUCGGGUUGACUCAAGUGGUUUUUUAUAUCCUUUUUUUAAUUAAUUUUUUUUUCAAUUUCAUCUUUCAAUAUUGAGUUGACUGGAAAUUGGGCUUAAUAUUUUUUAUUAUUUAUUUUCUAUGGGGUUAUGAAGGUCGUAUAACUCAGGUCGAGGAUUUGAAUAUAAUAUAUUUUUGUCUUAAUAUUGUUUUUAAAAAUAUCAUCUUAAUUUGUUUUAGUUAAACUAUAUUCUUACCACUUGUUUGAGUUGUCUUUGGAUUUGUGAAGUCUACUAAAUCGCUAUGCUUAACCCUUGUAUAGUUUUUUUUCCUGCUAGAAAACAUGUUAAGUACACUUGUAUUUUUUUUUAAAAAAACUUUUAUUCGACUCGCAACAUAGCGCGAGAAAUUAUUGAGUGUUGGCUAAAAGGGGAUAUUUCUCUUAACAUCGUACAAAUCCUUGAAGAUUAAUUUAUAGUAUUUAGAGUUUAAGAGGAACUAUGAAUAUACAAAUACGCUUAGCCUAGCAAAUAAUUGCAUAAUAGCUCUAUCUAUUGAAGAUGAUUUGAUUAAAAUGAAUCUAAUUUCCUCAAUUAUUAAGUAAUGGGAAGGUCUGUUCUUACUAUGAAGUUCGUGGAUUUUUGGGCUUUCCAAUUGACAAAACCAUGAGUGAUAUAAUAAUAAUAAUAAUAAUAAUAAAGAAAUGAUGUGUCAAGAUCAAAUUAUGGUGUUCAAAGCUAGCCAUGCACUAUUAAAUCCAAACAUUAUAGUUAAUUAGAAUGUUCUUACAAGAGUACUAUUAUUUAGACUAUUACCCUACUUUAAUUCACCAAACACAGAGAAAUUUUACUCUUGUAAAUUUGUAGCUUUUACAUCCGUGUCAAAUUUAUGGUAAAGUUUUAAUUUAAUUCUAUAUAUGUAUUAUUAAGAAGAUUUUAAAACUAAUUAUUUUUCUAAUUGACUAAUAAAUUAAAACACCAUAAUCUUUUUAAUAAUGGGUAUUUGAUCUGUAUUUACAAUUAUUUAACCCUACAACGAGAUAAAAUUCGAUAUAAAAUUGCAUACAGAAAUUGAGUGAGUCUGGUAGGAGAAAAUAGGAAUUAAAUUGAACAAAUAGCUCACUUCCUUUCUCCAUGGAUCAUACUUGCAAACAUGUAUGAACACAUAAUAAUAUAAUAUAAAGACAAUAACAAAUAACACAAGAAUUAGUAGAAAUACACACCUUGUUUGUAGUACGUAGAGACAGGAACGAAUGGAAGAUUCGCGAUCACUUAGACACCCACAACCUCUCUAUCAAUCGAUUGCAACCACAAAUAUAAUCCUUAAUGUAUGUAGUGUUGCUAUAAUUAUGAUCUCUCAAGGUUUUUUUUUUUUUUUUUUUUUGAAAAUGAUGAUUAGGGGAAAAAAACGAAAGGACCUGAAAAGAAGACAACAAAUAAUUAAAUGAAGAAUACUCUCUGCCACUUCCAAGGAUGAAACUCGAGCUAUAUGAUUGUCCCUAUAUCCCACUCAAGGAAUAUGAUUUGCCCAUAAAGAAAAGGAAAAAACAAAAGACAUUCCUUGCUUUAAACAUGGUUUACUUAUGAAGUAAGCUAAUGACAUCAACAUUUGGAGGCUAAAGAGAGAUUCUCAUUUCAAUUUUAUUUUUUAUUUUAUUUCAUUUGUUGGGUGCAAGCAGGCCAAUGGCUUCAUGGGUAAGCGAAAACAUUACUGCUGCAUGUACAAAAACCAAUUUAAGGCAUGUAAGAGAUGCCCUAAAGCCUUCAAUUUUCUAUAUUACCGUUUAGAGCUUUAGAUACUUCUAUCAUAGGAAGAUGGUAACAAUAAAAAAAACAUUUUUUGUUUUUAUAUUAGAAGCUGGUUUGCGAUUGAACCUGUUUUUAAUGAAAAUUUAAAUUGUUUCCUUCAAAUUAAUUUUUUGGAUUGUUUUAAUAUAUUUAUAUCAAAAAAAUUAAAAAAAAUAAAAAUAUAUAUUAUUUUAAUAUAUUUUUAAAUAAAAAAUAUCUUGAAAAACUACGUUUCUAAAUAGGCCCAAAAUAUGAUUGGUCAACAAAGUGACGUGAACCCAUUAAAUGGGUUUUUUCCUAGAAAUAAAAAAAAUUAAAGUGUAAAUUAAAAACUUUAUACACGCAUAUAAUUAAAUAACUUAAGAACCAUCUAUGUCAACAAAUAAAAAAAAAAAGAGAGACAUUAACGAUAACUAAAUACAUAUCUAGAAAAGUCAAGGGGUGGACCUGUAUUAAGAUAUUUGAUCUCGCAACAUGGUUUAUUUACCUGAUUGUGUUUAAUAAAAUUAAUUUUUUAUUUAAUCAAAUGGUUGUAGAAAUAGACACACAUAAAAUUGAUUAUAUCAAAUUAAAGAAAAAUAUAUAUCUUGCAAGGUUGCACUUACUAAAAAUAUUAUCCAAAAAUAAAUAUUUUUUAUUCUUAAAAAUAAAGAUCAAUUAUAUAAAACAUAAUAGAUGAGUAAGAAAAAUCUCUUUAAAAAUUAAAUACUUAAAAACAAGAAAAUUAAAAAGGCUAAAUGAAAAAAAAUCAAAGAGAAGAAGUAUUAAUUUAAAUAUAAAUAAAAAAAUACUUAAAAAACAAAUAUAUAUAUAUAUAAGCAUGAUUGUUUUUCUUAAAUCCAAAAUUACUAAAACAAAGCCAACGUUGUUGAGCCUAGUAAGCCAGACAAACAUCUGGCCCAUUUAGGAGGGCUUACGUGGGGAUUUAUUUUUUAAAAAUGCAAUUGAGACAAAUAACAUGUCAUCUAUUUCAAUGUUUUUUUUUUUAAAUAAAUAAGUCAGAUGAUGCGUCGCUGGACUUUGCGAAGAUUCCAGCCACUGACCCUAUUUUUCAACCCAUUUUUUACUCUUUAUUUUUUUUUAAGAACUUUGAAACCAUCAUCCAUUUGUGGUGUCUUUUCCACUUUGAUCCCCAGACUUUUAAUUUUAUCCUUAGUAAAAAGAUUUGAUUCAAUUAGAAUUUAAUUUGGCUUGCCAUGGUAUAAAGAUUUUAAAAAAUAUUAUUGUUAUAGAAUAAUAUAAACCAUAUCUUGGGACUUUACCUAAUAACUUAAGUUAUUGGAUUGAGAUGAUUCAUUGGCAUGAUAUCAAAUUCUUGUUGAUCAAACUGUCAUAGGUUCGAAUUUCACUACUCUCAUUCUAGUUGAUAAAAAUUAAACAUAAGGUAAUGUGAGGAUUUGCAAGUUUAAAGCCCAAAAAGCUUUUACUUGAAGGGGUGUGUUAGAUAAUAAUAUAAAUCAUAUCUUAGAGUCUCAUUUAACAGUUUAAGCUUUUAGGUGAAAUGGUUCUUUGAUAUGGUAUCAAUGCAAGUUUGGGUAAGAUGCUUUUUUAACAUGGUAUUAAAGCAAGUUUGGGUAAAAUGGUUGUCAUACUUCUUUGACAUUAAUGAUAAGUAGUCAUAAGUUUGAAUCUCACUAGCCUUAUUUUAUUUUAUCAAAAUUAAGGAUAAGUUAUUAUGGGCAUAUGCAAGUUUCAACAUCAAAUAACUUUCAUUUAAAAGGGUGUGUUGGAGAAUAAUAUAAAUCAUAUAUUGAAGCUUUCAUGUGCAUGUAAAAAAUACUCAACACAAUCUGAAUAAUAAUGACAUAUAUUUGAAAAACAAUAUGAUUUUAAUUCAAGUAAAAAACACUUUUAAAAAGUAUCAUGCAUUAUAAUACUCAACACAAUCUAACUAAUGAUAUAUAUUUGAGAAAUCAUGGUAUUUUAUUUUUGGUAUAAAAUAUUGAGGACAUAAGAAAAUUAAAAACAAAUAAAAGCAUAUACAUUAUAGAUAAAUUAGUUUUAUGUCCUCUUCGUACAGGAGUGAAAUAAUUUUGAUGAUUUUAUUAUUUUUAUGUAAUGAAUUCUUUGAUAAUUUAAUUAUGUUAUUAUAAUCGUGUUCAUGUGUUAUUGUAGUAGUUAUAGUAAUUUUUAUUUAUAUUGUUCCUAUUGGGUUUAAAUAAGAAUUAUAAUACAUAUUAUUAUAUCCAUUAUAAUGCUUAAUCCAAAAUUUCAAUUAUUUUUAUAACAUUUUAUUUAUUUUUUUCAACUUGGUAUCAUUGUUUUUUAAUUAAUUGAAAUAGAAUUUAGGAAAUUCAUAUCCUAGAACUAAAAUAAAAAAGUUGUGUAACUUUUUAAAAAAUAAAUAAUAUACUCAUUCUCUUGAUGCAUAUAUAUCAAAUUUAAAAUUUUAAUUAGUGUUGAUUUUUUUAAAAGAAAUAUACUAAUAUAUCACUUGAUACCCUAAUCUUAUUAAAAGAAUGACUUAAUUGAAAAUAAUAAGGUUCAAUAAUGUAGAUUCAACUCUUAUGCUAUCAGGUACUAUUAAAGAGUUCAAAAGACUUUGAUGUGAGUUGGGUGUGUUUGGCAUUGUAAUGACAAUUGUGGUUCAAAGUGUAUUUUUGUUUAAAAAUAUAUUUUUUUUAUUUUUUAAAAAUUAUUUUUAAUAUCAGCACAUUAAAACAAUUUAAAAACAUAAAAAUAAAAAAUAAAAUAUUUUUUAGUAAAAAAUAAAUUUUCAAAAUUUAAGAGAACUUGCACCGCGAUUUCAAGCAGCAUUGCUAAGGCCUAUUUCAGAACCUCAUAAAGAAUCAUAAUAGAAACAAAACAUCAAAAUGACAGAGAAAACAUGUUGACGAGGCAAAUACACAAGUCGUAGAGCCAUUAGUUUGAGCAGAAAGGAGAACGAAAAUCCACACAUCAAACAAUAAGUGCAUACAUGAGUAACAUUAUGCCCUUCACUUGUUUUUGAAGGUUCAGAAACUUGAAAAGAAACACAAAUGGGCAAGCAAACAUACGCCCUUAUUUCUUGAGGUUCGCACAAUAAAUGACUGAAGACACAACAUGACAUGGGUAGACAACUCAAACAUUCGCCCUUAUUUUCUGGAAGUUCAAUAUCCUUCUUUUAGGAGUUGUAUGGUAAAUAUGACUGUUACAAUGUAAAGCCAAAUUGUAUAUCAUUGCCGAUGAAACAGUUGAAAUUACUUCCGCUUAAAGACAUGAUUCUCCGUGAAAUCAUCACAUGAAGAGGUAACCAGCCAACCUGAUCCAAACAUGAAGAACAACGACCAUUCAGGCAUAUCACAUAUGUUAAUUUAUUUCAACCAGUAAGAGUUGAAGGAGAAGGAGAAAACAUAAAUAACUGCAGCCACAUUACUUGGUUGGGGAAAUAUUGAAUUAUUAGCAUGUUUUUCAAAUCCCAAUGCCAAACUAAUCUUCUUACCUAUCACCAUCAUGAAAAAAACCAAUUAAUCUUAUUACACCCUCUUCUUCCUCCUCCUCCUCCUCCUCCCACCCAUUAUUUCGGGUCCACAUUCUACCAAUGCUAGAACCCUCAGCUACUUGAGAUACCUGCAAAGCCAAUUCAAGCAUGGCAUACACAUUCUAACUUGUAAGUCUUAUUAUCAAGUGAAAACAAGAAACAAAAGCACUUAAAUAGAGGCAAGAAAUCAUGUCAAAUAAGCAGCACCUCUGACUGAGCACUCAUCGAACCAUUUGUUGUAGUAGCAAAUUUUGUGGUCAGCUUUGGACAUAGACGCACCUUCAACGUCUCCAGCCGGGGGAAUAAGAAUUCAUAACAUCCAAGACUGAAGUAGACAAUCCUUGGUAAUUGCUCUAGCGACAGCUCCUGCAGAUCAGGGAGCACCAUCUCCUUCUCAACAUUGACAGGUGAAGCACGAUCAUCCUGCCCAAAUACUCCCAGUAGUUGAGAGGAUUGACUUACUCUAAGUAUUUGGAGCUUCGGGAGACCUGAAGCCAUGGCUACUGGGAAGAGACUCGUUAACUUGUUGCAUUCAUUGAUCUCAAUUCGACACAAACUAGGGAAGCAUAAAGAUUGGAGAUCACUUCCUGACAAUAUUUGAUCAUUUCCAUCAUCAAUAUCCGUAGCUAUGAUUUGCUCCAAUUCAUCACAAGUUGAUAUCUCUAGAACUUUUAGUUGAACCAGACUCAUAAUCAUGUUGCCUGUAAAUACAUGUGUCAGUCUCUCACAUUUCCUCACCACCAAAGUAAUCAAAUACCUCAACACGAGACCCUUCCAUAUACACCCCAUGUCAGGCACAGGCAGGGAGGAUAGCUGUAAUGCUUCCAAACUUGUUAAGCCCUGCAUAAAAAAAUUAUAAUAAUAAAGGUGCCAAUUUGUUAGAUAUAAUUCCUCGUAACGUUUGUGCACUUUGGAACUAUUAUAUAAUUUUGGUAUAUAUGUGAACCAAUUAUCCCCAAUACUUCAGCAAAAUACUUAAUCAGCUAAAAAGAUAUAAAUAGAUAGGGCAAUGGGUCAUCGGAUUAUGAAAUCAUAAUUUUCCAUAUUUAUGAUAAUCUAAAUAUAAAUCAUUAUUUUAUAUUAGUUAAAUUAAAAGCAAUCAUGAAAAGAUUACACUUAUUAACUGAAAAAUAGUCUUUUUAAUAUUUGAUUUAUAAAAAAACAAAUUAUGGCAUUAACCAAAAACAUAUAUAUUAGAUAAAAUAAUUUUAAUUUUACAUAUUAGUAAUAUUUCUUGAAUAUAAAGUAAAAAUGCUUUAUUAUUGAUCAUUUUUUUUCUUGUACAUAAAUUCAGUGCAUAAGAGCUUAUCGAUUACUUUAGUUUUAGACAUUUGGAGGAAGAAAGAAGAAAUUAUAACAGUGUAUUGAAGCAGACAAUUUAAAUUAGAAAAUAAAAAAAAAAUCAUGGAGAAGUAUAAAGGACUUACUUGGAGCUGUGCCAACAAAUUACCCGAUUCUUCUUGGCCAUCAAUGGUUAACUCUUGCAAAGAAGGCAACUGGGCAGCAAAAUCCUUUGGACCGAAGAAGCUGCAAUUUGAAAUAGACAAUUUUCUUAGCCGAGGGAAGUUGAUGAUGCCAUCUCUGGUGAGAGCAUCUCCUUCUCCACUGUAAAAUAUUUGCUUUAAAUUGCUAGUAACUACAGUCAUCUGUUCCAGGUUCAGAAGACUCGGAGACACAGAGACAGGGAAGACGUAUUCCAGUUGACCACAGUAUUCUAUAAGGAGAGUUUUUAACUUUGGAAAGCUUAGAGACUCUGGAAUUAUUUCACUUUCAUCAUCGUGUUCUCUGAUAAGAUGCUUCAAUCCACGACAACUUCUUAUCUUAAGUGUUUCUAGCUGUGGUAAUCUUUGAGCGAGGGACGGUGUGAAGAUAAAUGUCAGUUUGUCGAGAGAAUCCAAAUUCAGAUGAGCAAGACUUUGGUGGCUGACAUGCCUGGUGAGCCCCUUCCAUAUACAUCUGAGCUCAGGCAAGCAGGACAGUUGUAACUCUGUUAAAGAUGACAACAACGACAGCUCCUUCUCCUCACUGCUUCCUUCAUCAGCCUCACCCAAUUCAAAAACCUCUUCCAAAGAUAUACAGUCUUUAAUUUCCACACCCCUUAGAUUUUUCAAAGCCUGCCGCCAUUUAGCUGGAAACAGAGUGCGAAUAUCCCCACAUCCAUUCACUUUGACAUGUUCUAAUCUUUGCAAGAAGUCCUCUUGCGACCCAUGGCCAUGGGUGGUCAUCUGAUCGGAGGACAAUACUAUAUUUUCUAAACCCUCCACUCUACGAAAACUAAUUUGAGACACGGUAGGAAACAACUGCUCAAAUGUCUUCGCAUUUAAGGAUGUGGCGCUGAGUUCACCCAAAUAUAAUCUUGUCUUUGCAGUUGGGUAUUCAUUAUCAAGUUCUGAAUACCCAUUCCCUAACACCCAAAUAUCAUAUUUGAGCAACCUGGGAAAAACAAAAUCUCUGGGAAUGCAUUCAGCCUUCGGUAUCCUCAAUGAUAAUACAGCUAAAUGAGACAAGGGAGUUUAGUUCUGUUAGGCUCGCAUUCACUCCUCCCCUGCUUGUCCCAACGACAUCCCAUUCCUUAAAGCUGUAACACCCGAUUAGCAGUUCUUCUAACCUCUUCAAACUUCCAAUCAAAUUCACGGGAAUCCUUCCUAGAUUUCUACAGCCUGUCACGUCCAACAACCUCAAGUCCUUGAGCUCCCCCAUUUCACCAGGUAAUUCUUCAAUGGAGUCGCACCCUAUAAAACCAAGAAUCUUAAGUCUUUGCAGCUCUCUCAACCAAAUGAGGUCCUUGCAUUUACACUCCAUCAACAGCAACGAUCGAAGGCUAGUUGAGAAUUGAAGUGACUGCAAUGACAAACACCCUCCCUUUAGAGACAAAACUUCAAUUUCUUUCAUCCCUUCAAAAAACCUCUCUGGAACAUUCAAGCCACGAUCCAGUUCUAAUAGUAUAACUUUGAGCUGUGGACAUACCAAUCCUUCAGGAAGUUCUGCUACUUUAUUGCCCAUUAACGAAAUUGCUGUACAACCUUCAAAGCUUUUACUGCACAUUGGCCACUCCUUGAACCCAAUGCCUGCCUUUACCAUGAAUCCAUAUUCUUUAGAUGAUGCUAUCUGAAUAGCAACAUCACGAACCAAGUCAUGCAUUUUCACAUGCUCUUCAGUUUCAGUGCCUAACAGCAUACAACAAUCUUUGAGGCUUUUUAUUUCCGCCUGAACUUUUUCCCUUGCAUCUUCAAUGGACUCCACAUCUUGAUGUAACCCGUAGCCAACUGCAUAUCUCGUCAAGUCCUCAAUUGGAAUGUUGUAAUCUUCUGGAAAUAAACAGCAUAGCAAGAAACAUAACUUGGUUUUCUCGUGCUUCAAAUAAUCAUAGCUCAACUUAAGACAUGAAUAUGCAUUUUUUUGUUCACCAAUUUGUUCCAUGUGCCGAAAUUGAGAGUUUCUGAGCUCUUUGGACGCUACUUCCCACACAGCAGCAGAUUUAUCUCUUAGAGCCCUUCCCACUGUCACAAGUGCUAUAGGCAGUCCUUGACAUUCUCUCGCAACCUUCUUUUCCACUGUGUUCAAGGUAGAGUCCGCCUCACGUAAACCUGCAUUGAUUUUGAACAAAGCCCAUGCUUCAUUUUCUGAUAAGAGACUUAAGAACACUUUUGGCUGGCACUCCAUAUAAGAACAUAUGUCUUUGAGACGUGUUGUUAGAAGAAUUUUACAACCCCUGUGAGCAUCACCAAAUGGGAUCCCUAUCUCUUUCAAGUUAAUAACUUUCCAAACAUCAUCCAGAAUUAUAAGCAUCUUCUUCUCUGUCUUCAGUCUCUGCCAUAAUCGAUCUGCUCUCCCUUCUUUAGUCUUUUCGUCAAAACGCAGACCUAUACUAUCUGCCAUUCGAUCCUGAAUGUCUAUGACAUUUGGAUUCUGGGACAGUGUAGCCAUCAAAACUUCAUCAAACAGCUGCAACUCUUUGGCUCUCCUGCCGACUUCUUUCACCAGGGUGGUUUUACCCACCCCUCCCAUGCCGUACAGUCCAAUCAUAUUGACGUUGUCAUCUUCGAGAGCUUUCAUAAUCUGCUCGAAAGCUUCUUUUGACGAUUCCGAGGGUGUGGGUCCCUCUGAUGGAAGAAAUUCUAUGUCUUGAAGAGGUGCUUUGUGGGACACUUUGGGAAACUUUUUGCUAUUUUCUUCAAGCUUUCUCAAAGUCUCUGUCUUCUUUUCCAGUGCCUUGCUUAACUUGAAUUGUCGCAUCCAAUGUGGAUACCAAGUAAAGCAUUUGCCAUUUUUUCCUUUUUCAUUUUCCAAACGAUUCACACCUUCAAUUUAGUUUUGUGCAUCUUCCAGCCAUUUGUUGACAUCAAUCUCAAUCUCUUCAGUAUUCCUUUUAGCAACAUCAACAGCAUCUUGUAGACGAUGGAGUGCCAAAGCCAGGCUCAUCAUUUGUUCAUUGAAUUCUUGAACAAAAUUGUUGAAACAGAACAUAUAACGGAACUGCUUGAUUGCUGGUUCCACCAAGACUUCGGCUAUCUUAGAUACAAUGGAUCCACCAGCACUUUCGAUAGCCAUUUUCCACCAGUCUGAAAAAUCAGAGAAACGAGAAUAGUAAUUUUAUCACCUUAAUUUGUGAAGAUAUAAGUGGAAAGCAGUAAAAUAGCCGGAGGAACAAAAGGAUAUUAAUAUCUAUCUAUGCCAACGAGCAAUUAAUCCCUUGUCCCCUCAUCUAAAUCUCUAUUCAUGCCAUCUACGAAAGUUACCUAGGGUGCUAUCUUUUUUUGAAGGCUAGAAUAUCUUCAAAUUAAUUCGUCAUUAAUCUUAAAUUGUCAUAAUGCUGUUAAUAAAAUAUAGAAUAUUGAUAUGGUUUCUAUGCAUUUUAAAGACAGAAUCUUUAUGCCACAAAAGUAUACCUUAAAAUUCAUUUAUUUGAAUAAAGUUCUGACUUUCCCAAAUAUAUGAGAAAGGUACGUUUCUAUAAUAAUUUUUAAAUUUGUUUUUACAGAAUUGAAGACGAUGAAGAUUAUAUUGUUAUUGGGUAGAGAAUCAAAAAGUAAAGACAACUUGAAAUUAAAAUAUUAUUUAUGAAAAAUAAACCAUAUAAAUGUAUGAAAUAGCAUGAUGAGAAAAUAUUUUACAUAGAAAAUACUUUUUAAUAGUAGUGGGGAUGGAUGUCAUGAGAUGACAAUGAUUGUGAAAAGGGUGGUGAUGAGAUAGCAAUGAUAACAAGAAAAGAGGUCAUAGUGAGAAGGUAGUGGUGGCGGCAGCCACGAUGGUGGUAAAAAAAAAAUUGGGGGAAAUAAAAUAUGUUAGGGGUGGUAGUGAGAUACAAUGGUGGUUGAAAGUCAAGAUAUAAGAUAAUAAUAUUUUGUUAAAUAUUUUAUUGGCAAGGAUAAACAUUCAUAAAUAAACAGAAGUUUUGAAUUUUGCAAUGCAUGAGUAAAUGUGAUGAAGGUUGUGUGCCAUUUGAAAUGAAAGAAACUUUGCAAAGAUAUUACGUACCUCAAUCAUAUGAAUGAUUGAAUAAAAACUUUCUAGAUGAGACUUUGAUUUUAUUUUAACUUGAUAUCAUAAUUUAUCUACAUGUUAAUGAUUGUUCAUAAUUUUUAAGCAAAAUGCAUAGUUUGAUAGAAGUUAAUAGGCACCUCAAAAUAAUAUUUUGAAUAGCAGAUGUGAUUUUCCAGUUUGAAAAGAUUAUUUUGAUUUAUUUUUUUUAGAUUAACGUGGGUGUCCGGGCCAGCUUGCGCGCACCUCGACUAAUCCCACGGGCCCUGAAGUUAACGACCAUAUAAGCCUCAAGUGGUCAUCAUAUGAGCAACUUAGGGAUCGAACCUGAGACCACAGAGGGAGCAAACCUCUUGGCUCCAAGCUUUGACCACUAGGCCACCACCUAGAUGGUUAGAUUAUUUUGAUAUUUUAUAUGAUGUUUAAGAGAGAUCGAUACUACUUAUGUUAAAACUUUUUAUGCGAUGAAAAAAUAAGCAAAAUUACACUAGACUGGACUUGAAAUUCAAUUUUCUAUUCUAAAUUAAAGAUACAUUAGAACUAGAUUUGGAAAACCUAGGCGCAUAUUAGGCAACUCUUCUUGAAAACCUAAGUUAAGCUUAUAUUUAGCCUUAUGACUAAUGUGAGUUAAAAAAAAAUAUCAAGCUAGUUUGGAAAGUCAUACGUUAAUAUUCAAGGUAAGACUUCACCUAUAAUUAAAUGCAAGAUUGUUAAAAAAAUGAUGCCAAUUAUUUAAUUGCACUAUAAUAGGCUAUGUUGUCAAAAUAUAGAUUUAUAUGCUUGGAUUGAACAUAUUUUAUAAACAAUUGGAGAUUUAAUUGCUUGUUUAAGCUAUAUUGUGUGAUAUGGAGCUCCACAAAAAAGGAUAAAACUAAAGUGAUUACUGAUAAUGAGAACUCCAUCUUUCCUAGUUUAAAAAUUAAUCAAAGGUUUGAUGAUAAAAACUAUUGAUAGAUGAUUAGACUAAAUAUUAGGGCAUGUAAAUCUAAAUUUUAGAGUUCAUUAAUAAUGUUAUUGUUAGUGAAAUAUGCUUUGUAGUAAUUCGGUUCGUUAAAUGUAGCAUUGAUUUUAUUCAUGUAAAACAUAUUUAUUAUUAAUAAAAAAAAAUUUAUCUUUAAUAUUCAUUUAUAUUUAAUUAAUGAAUCUAAUAUUUAAUUAAUAAAUCUAGAGUAAAGAUAAAGCUCAUGAGACAAAAAAGCUUUGUAAAAAAAUCAUAAAGUUAUUAUAAUCAUAAGAUUCAUAUUGCAUUAAAAUAUUGUUCCUAAAUGUUCUAGGUCAAUAUUUUAUUAAGACUGCACAUUAAUUAGAGCUAUUGAGAUUGGUGCAUAUUAUGUUUUUUUUUAUGAAAAGAAAAAUUAUCUAUGUCUAUGGAAAGACUCAUGUAAUAAUUAUGUAAGUGAUCCUUAAACUUGAGAUAACUAAAUAUUAUUGAUUGUGAAAUCAUUGGCCCCGGUGGAACGAGUUUUGAAAAAGAAUCAAUGACUAUAAUGUUGAGAACAAAAAUAAUUUAACAAAGCAGAUAUACUCCAUGCUAUAAUAUCUAAAUAAAAACAUUUUUGAUGAAGGGAUAAUAAUUACACUGAGAAACUAGUCGCUGAAAGGUUAAGUCAAGUCACUUAUGACUUUUAUAAUAUUUAGGGGAUCAUGACAAGUUGUUAGACAUUGUACUUGAUCUUCAAAUAUAAAUCAAUUAAUUAUUGAACCAUUGGCCACACACAUAAGAACCAUUGGUCAGAAAUUAAAAUAAAAUGAUUAAUCAAAUAUGACUUGAUUAUAAAUAAAUUUUCAAAAUUGACGACUAGAAUAUAAUUAAUACAGGGGAUUUCUAUUCUAAACCUAGAAAAAUCAAGUAGGGAUUUUAUUCAAUAAAUUUAUAAAAUUAUCCUAAAAUAAUGUAUGCAAUAUUAUUUAAGGAGCAAAUUGAUGAUUUUAUAUUUAUAGGGUUUUCAAGUUUUCCUAUAAAGAGAAUGGUAUGCCUAUUAUUUCAUAAGAGAAUGUGAGAAGAGUAUGAUACGUAAACACCUAAAACACAAAAGAAAAGAGCUAGCACUCUAAGGUAUAUCAAUCUCUCUCUCCUAAAAGGAUUUAGGAGAUUUCUCACUGGUCAUUAGUGUGGAUUACUAUUAGAGAUCGAAUAUUUAGUCAGCUUAUGAUUUGCAACAACUCAGUGUUGAAGCAAAUUUUCAAAGCCAAAAAGAAUAUAUGUUCUUCAAUUAAUCUUUGCAUAAACCCUCAACAACUCUAGAUUUGUCUAACAAGAUUGUUAGGACCCCCAAAGAUUUUUAAAUUUCCCGUUUUUACUAUGUGUAUGUAUUUUAAGAUACCCAACAAUUAUAGGUGAAGCCUAAUGUUCUUAUUGGAGCUUAAAUAUUCAGUUAUGAAUAUAUGCUUGUAGUAUUUAGAAAAGAGCAGGAAGUUCAUAUUAGUGUGUAUGCCCAACAAUUAUAACUUUAUUUCUUUUUCUAAUUAGGUGGUUGUAUAUGCCACUAACUUUAUUCGUGCAAUCAAUAUAUUUAAUAUUAAUUUGAUUCUGAUUAAUAAAUCUAAAAUAGAGAUAAAGUUUUUAAGAAAACAUAUGCUUAUAAAAUAAAGUUAUAAAGUUGUGAUAAUUACAAGGUUUCUUAAUGUAUCAAGACAUUGUUCGUAGUGCUCCUAGUUAAUGCUUUAUUAAUACUAUAAAUUAAUUGAAGUUGUUUGUCACACUAGAUAUCGCAGUGGCCUUCAAAUUUCUAGGAUAAAGAACAGACAUCUAACAUCUUGUUUUUAAAGAGGAAAAAGAUCUGGUUUAAAAAGUCAUUAUCUACUAUUAUGAUCACUAAAAACCCUAACCGUUCAACAGAGAUUCUAUGGUACGAGACUGGUUAAGUAAAAUAAAAUAUAGUAUCACCUCUAAAAUAUCCUGCCUAAGAUAGGUUGUAUUGCUGGUUUUGUUUUAAAUUGCUAAAGAUAAAGAUUUGUUGUAUUAUGUUUUUUUUAUAUCUGCCUAUAAUAUUCUUGAUUCUCGCACUCAUAAAUAUUCAACUACAAAUACUUCCAACACUAGUGUUGAUAAAUAUUAUGUAACAAAAGAGUAUGGUAUUGUUGACUUUGGUAUCAUUGAAUAUUGAGGAUUCAAAAUAAUUCUCAAUCUUAUUGUCAAUAUUCAUAACUCUUAUGUUAGCAAACAUCGAGAAUAUUUCUAAUUCUGACAUUAGUGAAUAUGAAUAUUCCUUACUCUAACUCCAGUGAAUAAACCAAUAAAAUUUGAAUUGAAAGCAAAAGACAUAUUUUUGUUAUUUUUUUAGAGAAAAAAAAGAUAGAUAUGUAUGUAUUAUAUACUACAAUUGCAUUUCACACUAUAAGUCUACAACUCAAUACUAAGUAAAGUGGUUAAAAAAACGUAUGAGGGAUCCACGAAGAAAUUAAAAGGGUACCCGAAUUAUUUUUAGAAACUUCUUAUAUCUUAAAAGACCUAUUGGGCUAGAUAUCAAAAAUAAAUAAGACUAAAACAGGGAAAAGGACAUAAGGGUGUAUUUUUUCAAAUACACCCUUAACCGAAAGAAAAUUAGGCCUGCUGAGCUUGAGGCCCAGGUCCAACCCUAUCUCAACAGCUUCUGUCUUUCUUUUUUUAUAGGCUAGAUCAAGCCCAGCCAUAUGGGCUGGGCUUCAUCCACCGGCCCAACUUGGUCACUAAGGUUGAACAGUCCUCCUUGGAACAACAUCACUUUUUUGGCUGAAAUGGGUAUCUUUAUUUUUCCCCCUAAAUUGAAAAUAUCUUUUUCCUUUUUAAAAAAAAUUUCACCCCUGGAUCAAUGCAAUUAGACCCUGGAUUUGAGCGUCAUUUACAAAAUAGUUCUUGGUUUUAAAUUUAAUCAAUUUGGCCCUUAAUUGACUCUUUAACUUCUAAUUCUUUCAAAAUUACCCCUGAAAAAAUCAAUUAACCCCCUUAUUGUAUCAACAUCUAUUCACUUUGGUCUCUAGAAUUUAAUUACUUGAAAUUUUAACCCAAAUUGACCCUUAACUUUGAUAUUUCUUCAAUUAAGCCCCUGGUUUCAUUAACUAAACUAAUUCAAAGUUUAAUUAAGUCCCUAAACUUAUCAAUUCUCUUAAGUUUUAACCAAAUUGACAUCCACCUUUAUACUUUCCUCCUUAUUAGUCCAUGAACCUUUAAUUUGUGUUGUCUUGACCCAAUUCUCAAAAUAUUUUUUUAUUUAUUAUUAUUUUUAGUAUUGUUAUUAUUAUGGAAAUUUAAAAAUUGGGUUAUGACAUUGUUGAUAUUGAUACAUAUUUUGUUAUUUAAAAAAAAAAACAAUCGUUCUCAUAGGUUUAGGUGUAAAGAAUAUUUAAAAUUAAUAUGUAGGUGUUUAUUUAAUUAAAAACACGCUGAAAUGACUUCUAAGAGGAUUGUAAAGAGAAUUUAUUCUUUAAAUGAAUAGUGAGAGGAAAAUAGAAUUUGAAGAAGUUAAAGAACUAUAAACUAACAUCCAAUUAGAACUUGAGCUUGAAUAUAUAGCAUUGGAUGCUUAGCUGAAAGCUCAAGAAACACAAUAUUUUCAUAGAUCUAAUAGAAGAUGUCAUACACCAAUGAGACAUGGAUUUUUCAUAGAAGCUAAAAAUGAUGAGCUGCUCAUACUUAAUGAGCCUACCAAUUACAUGAAAGCAAUAUCUAAUAUUGAUUUCAUGAAAUGACUCAAAAAUAUAAAAUUCUAAAUGGAUUAAAUAUAACUUGGUUAAUCAACCUAAUGGGGUAAAAUCCACUAGAUAUAAGUGGAUUUUUAAGAAACAGAUUAAUAUAAAUAACAAUGUGUAGAUGUACCAAGCCAAACUAGUUGUCAAUAGUUACAAGUAAAGAAAAAGAAUUGGCUUUGAUGAAACCUUUUUGUUGGUAGCUAUGUAAAGACCUUCUUACUAUAGCUAUAUGCUAAUAUUAUGAAUUCUAGCAAAUAGAUUUUAAAAAUGCAUUCUUGUAUAGGAAUAUUCAUGAAGAUAUGUAUAUUACACUACUUAAAGGUUUUGAAUCUAAAGAAUUUCCCAAUAAAUUAUGCAAGUUGUAAAAAUCCAUUUAAAAACUUAAACAAGAUUUAAAGAGUUGAAAUAUCCAUUUUGAUGAGAUAAUUAAAAAAAGUGGUUUUAUUAAAAAUAGUUAAAAAUAUUAUUAAGUACUUAAAAAAAAUUAAGAAAAUAGUUCAUGGCUAUUUGAAAGCUAGAUUUAAAUUAGAUAUUGAUAAUAGCAAAUCUUGGUCUAGAUAUAGAGGCACACAUCACAUUUUUAUAUAUUUUGAUGAUAACAAACAAAAUAGAAAAUGGACUAAAAAUAUACUUGGUUAAGAAUAAGCUUUAAACAUGUUUCAUACGAAAAUCACAUCAAUAAGCAUGAAAGAUUUCAUGAAAAAUGAAUCAAACAACCCAAGAAGGAAGCAAAGUGAAGACUUAGUUUAAGUAUUCAUUUUAGUGUUUAAUUUAAAAUGAACUCACACACAUCACUUUACAUACAUUAAAGAAUUGAUAUAUUAGAUGAUCUAAGAUAGAUGGUUCUAAGAAUUCACCUAGAUAAAAUAUGUUAAAUAUGGAAUUAUGCAUGAGCCGGACGACCGCUUGUUCAUCAAUGAUGAACACUUGGAAAUUUUACGUGAACUAGAUGACUAGUUGUUCAUCAAUGAUGAAAACUUGAGCAUUUUCUAAGAAUCUUUUGAUUGAUUAGCUUGACCAAUCUGAAUUGGUCGAUUGUUUUACUUAUUAGUAGGGUUCCAACGACGAGUUUUUCUUAGAAACAUUUAUAUAAUUUGUAUAAUUACAAAAUUAGCAAGGGAUUCCAAACAUAUAUGAUAAACAAUCUACUCUAAGAUAAAACUAAACAAAAGUAUCAAUCCUUGAUCAUACUCUAACUAGUUCAUGGAUAUUUGAAUACUAGAUUUGUUGAAGAAUAGAAGGUUUAUUUUGGGGAUUUACAUAAUUCAAGACUCGUAGAUCAAGAUUCUUGGAACCUUGAUCAACCGAUCAGCUAGUUGAUCUAAGUUGUUUGACCGGUUUGCUUGUUAUUGCCAAUCAACUAGUUAGUCUAAAAAGAUUUGGGAUCAAGAAAGUAUGGGUACCAAAAACCUUAACUUGAUUUUUUGUAUAUAGGAAUCAAAAUAGUAUAGGAAAUGGUUUUUGGAUAAUGUUUGCUCAAAUCAUAUAACUAGAGGUGAUUCUUUAUUUUCAAGCAUUACCAAAAUCAAUGGUGGAAAAGUCACUUUUAGUUAAAAGUCUUCCUCGUAUAGCUUCUAAAAAACAAACGUUAUAUGAUGAAUAUGUAACAAUAAUUAGAAAUAAAGCUAGACUAGUUGCCAUAUGUUAUAUUCAAUAAGGAUACUUUUAGUUUAUAAUCAAGAAGAAUGUAUUGAUUAUUAUGAAACUUUUACACUAAUAGCUAGACUAUAAUCAAUAAGGAUAUUUUUAGUCUGUACUUGUCAUGCUUACUAUAUACUUUUUCAAAUAAAUGUUAAAAAUGCAUUUUUAAAUGAUUUUAUCAUGAAAGAAGUGUAUGUUGAGCAACCUGGUUUUGAAAACUUUCAUUUUUUCAAUCAAGUUUUCAAACUAAAAAAAAAAAAACCAUGUAUGAUUUAAAAGAAGCACCAAGAGCAUAUCCUUUCUUAUUGAUAAUGGUUUGAACUAUGGCAAAAUUAUCUCUUCGUAAGAAUUUUGUAAAAUGCAUGCAAGAUGAAUUUAAAAUGAGCAUGAUGGAAACAUUGAACUUCUUCUUUGUAUUGAAAAUCAAAUAAACAAGGGAUGGCAACUUCAUCAACCAAAACAAGUACAUCAAAGAUCUUCUAAAUAGAUUUCGGAUGGAACAUGUUAAAAAUGUCGAUAACUUAUGGGAACAUUAAUUAAUCUUGAUAUAGAUGAAAAUGGUAAGAAUGUAGAUAUCACUAAAUAUCAAGGUAUGAUUAGAGAUCUUUUAUAUUAAUUGCAAGUAAACCUAAUAUCAUGUUUUGUGUAUAUUUAUGCAUAAGUUUUCAAUCUUUCCCAAAAAAAAUAUUUAAGUGUUGUAAUAUAUAUAUAUAUAUAUAUAUAUAUAUAUUUUACUUUUUGCAUAGUACUGUAGAUUUAGAGUUAUGGUAUCUGAAAGGAAAUGAGUUAAAUUGAUCACCUAUUCGAACGUAGACUUUGCUGUAUACAAGGUUGAUAGAAAAAGUACUAGUAAAACAUGUUACUUUUUAGGAUUCUUACUGGUAUCUUAGGCUAAUAAGAAGUAAAACUCAGUAGCCCUAUUAGCCACUAAAACAGAUUCAUAUAGUGGCAUGUAGUUAUUAUGUACAAAGUUUAUGGAUGAAAUAAAUCCUAGAAGACUAUUGACUUUAUUCUUAUCAUAUACUCAUUAAGUGUGAUAGAAUUAGUGUUAUAAGCCUUUAUAAGAACAUUAUCCAACACUCAAGUACAAAACAUAUAGAAGUGGGACAUCACUUUCAAAUGGAUCACAUUGCAAAAGGAGAUAUUGUACUUAAGUUUAUCAGCACAGAACACCAAUUAAUAUAUAUUCACAAAGCCUCUAAGUAAAGAUCAAUUUUGCAAAAUACAAGGAAUUUAAAUGUUGCUCAUGCUAAAGAUGUGUGUGGUGUCUCCUAUAUGUAUAUGUUAAUGGAAAUAAGUUGGAUAUAUUCAAGUGAUGAAAUAUAUAUUUGUAAGCAUGAAAUGUCUGGAAAAUUUAUUAUGUUGCAAAAUUUUGUUGACUAUCCAAGCUUUGAGACGAAUCGGUCGACUGGUUGAUGCUAAACAAACAUAGGACGACUAUUGUAUGAACAAUAACCUUUUAAGAUUUGAGUUAGAUACCCUUUUAAAGUCAAAAGGGUGGACAAACUGGUAUAUUAUACUAAUGAAACAUAUCUGGAUCAUAAAAUUUGAAAAAUAUUGGUUUUUAUGUGAACCAUUCGAUCGACUCAUAUAACUAUAUCAAAUGGUUGGUCAGUUGAGCUAGAUGAUUGAUAAUGAUGCUAUUAUCCAUAUUUUCAAUUUUUAGCCCCUUGAUUUUUUUCCUUUUAGAUAUAAUUUUUUAUAUGGAAAGGAUUUAUUUUUAGUGUAAAGAAAGGAUUUGAUAGAAUUUUAGGAAAUUCUUAACUUGGGAUGCAAUCGAUCGACCAGUUCAGCUUAACCCAAAACAAUCAGUCGACCGGUUGCUCGACAAUAUAUAUAUUUGUUAUUUCUGAAACAAAAUCAGAAAAUAAAACAAACCCUAACCCCGACUCUCUCUUAAAGACUCACCAAAAUCCAUCCUCUUGAUCACAUUUUUAGCUUAUUUCUUGAAGAUUCAAGUACAAUGGCAAGAAAGAAACGCAUAAGAGAUGUGGAAACGAGUAAAAGGGUCAAUGAUCCAACCUCUUGUAAAGGUGAUGAUAUUCAAAGAUUUAUAAAUUCUUCUGCAAAUAAGUGCAAAUAAGUCUAUUUCUAGAGAAAGAGGGUUAGGCAAUGAUCUCAAUACUUUGAUAUAAACACUAUAUUUUAGGAAAUGGGUGACAACAUAAUAUAUUAUUUGAAGAAAGUUAGUUGUGUUUUUUUUUUUAAUAUGAGGAUAACAAUGGAAUGAAGGAUUAUAAAUUGAGGAUUUGUUGUUAAGACCUAGAUUGCUACAUAGGAUAAUAACAUACAAUAUAUUACCAAAGAAAGGGCAUUUUAAUAGGGUAACUUUUAUCAAUAUGUGCUUAAUCGAUUGCAUAAUUAGAAGAUGGCCAAUAAAUCUUAUAUAAAUUAUGAGUAGGAAUAUGAUCAUGCCACAUGAUCAAAAGCAAAAGUCUUUUCCUUAUGGUCAAGCAUUAACUUCUAUUUUUUAGCAUUUUAUGAUUACUUUGACGGAUAUAGAUAGGAAUCCAUAUUUGAAGCUCAUGGAAAUAGAUAAUAAGACCCUCACCAAAAUGAAAUAUAUGUUAAAUAAGGAUGAUGUUUGGGUUUCUAAGAACCAACUAAAUAAGAGUACAUCCUAAAGAAAAAAAAACAUGGUGAUGCAGAAGAAGAGCAAAAGACUAGUAGUGAUGACGAAAUUGAAGUUAUGUCUAGUACAAGGAAUUCAGGGAUGAAGAGUUACCUAAUAUAUUGCAAAAGAUAGGGGGAGACAUAUUUUUAUAUCUAAGUUACAUAUUUAUUGUUAUCAUAAACAAAUAAGAGAUUGUUGACCUUUAGAUUCUUUUAUAAAAGAAAAUAGAUAUUCUUAUAGGUUGUGAUAUAAGGUAUAUUUGAAACUAAUAUUUAGGUGUUUGUUUAAUGAUAAGUAUAUUGAUUGCACAAAGAUUCCAUAUGAAAAGAUUACUUGUGUAUAUGAAAAUACUCUUUUGAUAAUUUUGAAAGUGAUUUUUAGUGAUGUGAACCCUAGCAGAAUUGCAUGGAAUUCGCGAACCCAAGAUCUAUCUAAUCCAAGUUUUUGCUGAAAAUAGGAUGAGUUUAUCACAAUGGAAGACCUGCUCCUAGGCAACAAGACUAUAAAUCAACCCAAUCACAACGCCUACAUCUAGAGAUGAGCAAAAGGAGUAUAAAUUCACAACAAAAUGGGUCAAUUCUUUGAAAAGUUGAAAGUUCAAUCAAGAACCAAGAUUGACAACUAAAGGUCGGCAAAAACCAUAAUGGUAUUAGCCAAAAAAAAAAAGUAUGCUGAGAAUUAUUCUCAAGAGUAUUUAUACCCAAGCCAAAAACCCUAAUUUCUCUAAUAGGUCACAUAUAAACUCAAUUUAAAUAAUAAUCAACCCAAACUAAAACAAGCCCAAACUAAUUAAAAUAAAUAAAAUAAACAUGUCUAAAACCCAAACAAGUGUUUCCUCAUAAAAUAAAGAAAGUUUAAUAGCUCAACUAAUUUAAUAAGACAAGUUCAGUUAUUCUCGUAUUCUGUCUGGCAGCAACAAAUCCCAACUUCACAUUAAUAGUUCUUUCUCAUCUUAAAUAAUUAAAAUGUGUGUCAUGAACUGUUGGAAAGGUAUGGAAGUCUAGUUUCCAUUCCAACUAGAAUCACCUAAACAUUCGACUUGUAGCUCGAUUUAUGAUAAAACAAAAGGUAGCGAAAGGUCAAACUGACUGAAUCUAGUCUUCUUCUCUCAAUCCUUAUGUAAUGAUCUUGGUUCCUCCAACAAGCCCUUCGGCCACAACAUCGCCACUUUGAGCCAUCAUUAACGACAACAUCACCACCACCAGGUCAGCCUCAUCUCCUCCUCUUCCUCCUUCUUCUCCUCUUUCUCCUUCUUCUUCUGCAUCAUUUGUCGCAGUCUCCAUUGUUUUGUAAAGUGAACAAUGGAGAGUUUUAUCAUUGUUCAAUGGGUCAGACCAGGUCCAACCCAAAUCAAAAUGGUUGAGUCGGGUCUGGCCCAGUCCAAAAAAAUAUAUAAAUUUUUUUUUUCAAAAAUCCUUUCAAAAUUUAUGAUUUUCCCGCGUAUUUUUCUAUCAACUUUGCUUAAUAUUGGUUUGUAUUUUUAUAUUAUAAAGAUACGAAUCUGGUAUUAACAUACCCCAUUUUUUCUAAAAUAUUGUGAAAACUUUAAGAAAAUGUCUUCUUUACAUGCAUACGAUUAAGUCUCUCAAAGAUUGAAAAAAAAAUAUAUCAUAUUUUCAUACAAUAAAAAUUCAAAAAAUAUAUUUUAGCACGUAUUAUAGAUUUUAAUACAAAAUUAUUAAAGCCAUUAGAACUAUGCUAAUAUUUCAAAAAUACUAAAAAAAAUUAUUUUGUUUUCUUUUAAUAUCUAGGAUUAUGAAUUUACAUGUAAGACAUAUUCUCAAUAUUAAAAAAAUAGUUCUUUUAUAUAUAGACAUUAGAACGGUUAGGUUUUACACAAUAAGAUAAAAAUCUCCUUACUAAGAAAGACUUAUCUUAAACUUUAGACAAACCAACAAUUAAAUAACACAAAUACCUUAGCAUUUAUCAUACAAUUAAACAAUGUAGUUUACCUUAAGUAAGGCGUAUUUGGGGUGUUAAUAUCUUCUCUUUACGCAACCAGUCCCCGAGCCCGAUCUCUGAGACCAGUUAGGGUUUCUAGUGACCAUAAUAAUAGGAGAGGACUCAUUUUCUCUCUUUACACUAAUAAAAGACAAGAAAUCCUUAUCUUCCCCAUUUUCCGAUAUUAUACAAGAGUGGAUGCAUAUUGGUCGCAACGCCGCAAACAUGCAACGCUCUUCUAAUGAUAUUUAAUAUGUAUUUACAAUUAUUUAACCCUACAACGAGAUAAAAUUCGAUAUAAAAUUGCAUACAGAAAUUGAGUGAGUCUGGUAGGAGAAAAUAGGGAUUAAAUUGAACAAAUAUUUCACUUUCUUUCUCCGUGGAUCAUACUUGCAAACAUGUAUGAACACAUAAUAAUAUAAUAUAAAGACAAUAACAAAUAACACAAGAAUCAGUAGAAAUACACACCUUGUUUGUAGUACGUAGAGACAGAAACGAAUGGAAGAUUCACGAUCACUUAGACACCCACAACCUCUCUAUCAAUCGAUUGCAACCACAAAUACAUUCCUUAAUGUAUGUAGUGUUGCUCUAAUUAUGAUCUCUCAAGGUUUUUUUUUUUUUUGUUUAGAAAAUGAUGAUUAGGGGGGGAAACGAAAGGACCUGAAAAGAAGACAACAAUUAAUUAAAUGAAGAAUACUCUCUGCCACUUCCAAGGAUGAAACUCGAGCUAUCUGAUUGUCCCUAUAUCCCACUCAAGGAAUAUGAUUUGCCUAUAAAGAAAUGGGGGGGGCAUAAAGAAAAGGUGGGGGAAGGCAUUCCUUGCUUUAAAUUUGGUUUACUUAUGGAGUAAGCUAAUGACAUCAACAUUUGCAGGCUAAAGAGAGAUUCUCAUUUCAAUUUGUUUUUUUUUUUUGGGUGCAUGCAGGCCAAUGGCUUCAUGGGUAAGCGAAAAAAUUGCUGUUGACCAAUUUAAUUUUCUAUCAUAGGAAGAUGAUAACAAUAAAACAUUUUUUUGUUCUUAUAAUGAAAGUAUUUUAAGUUGGCUUGGGCUGUGAUUCAACCUGUUUUUAAUUGUUAACGAUAUUAUCCAAUCUCCUGAAGAUAAUAUUGAUACUGAAGAUAAACAUGAUCAGGGAUUGAUAUCCCUGACCUGACCUGACCUGACCUGCUCAUACCUGAUCAUAUCUAAACAAGAGAGAUUACUACUACUGAAGAUAAUCGUAAUCUCUGUUAAUAAUAUUAUCCAAUCUCCUGAAGAUAAUACUGGUACUGAAGAUAAACAUGAUCAGGGAUUGAUAUUCCUGACCUGACCUGACCUGCUCAUACCUGAUCAUACCUGAACAAGAGAGAUUACUACGACUGAAGAUAAUCGUGAUCUCCAAGCAUAUCUACAAUAAAGAUAAUAUUGAUAUUGAAGAUAAACAUGAUCAGGGAGUACGAUAAUUAUCAAGAAGUCUGGAUACUGAAGAGAUCAUGAUCAGGGAUUGUUAUCCCUGAUCAUACCUGAUCAUACCUGCUCAUACCUGCUCAUACCUGACCUGACCUGCUCAUACCUGCACAAGAGAUAUUCAUCGAAUCUGAAGAUAACGUGAUCACAUUAGAAAAUAUGUGUAUAUCUUAUCAUUAAUUGUACUCUUGAUUAUAGGAUUCAUUUUGAAUUUAAGAUGGUAUUAUAUAAGACCAUCAUGUAACAGUAAAUGAUUAUUCAACGAAAAUACAUUCUUCUGUAUCCCUCUAGCCUUCCCGUCUACAGCUCUUCUCUUCUUCUUCUCCUAUUCUUUUAUCUUACAUGGUAUCAGAGCCAUUGACUCACGUCACACAAAUGGCCUCCUCUACAGAAAAUACCUCUAAUGCUGCUGCUAUUAGCAUUCCUGCUCUUGUUUCCCCUCCUGCUAUAAAUGUCACAAAACUCUCAAAAGACAACUAUCAUGUCUGGAAAGCCCAACUAAUUCCCUUCUUCCGUGGGCAAGGUAUUUUUGGCUACCUUGAUGGAACCAUUCCCAUUCCAUCUAAAGAAAUUUCUGCUGCUGCAACUUCCUCUGUCAUCUCCAAUCCUCUCUAUGAACAUUGGCAGCGCCAGGAUGCUGUUAUAGUUGCCAUUCUGUUCUCUACAAUCUCCGAAAAUGUUCUUAUUCAAGUGGUAUCUUACACCACCUCAGCUGCUAUUUGGUGUGCUCUAGCCAAAUCUUUUUCCUCUCAAUCACGUGCUAGAGUUAUUCAACUCCGCACUGAACUUGUCAACACCCGUAAAGGGUCACAAUCUGCCCAUGAUUUCUUUAUGGAGAUCAAACGCAUGACAGAUGAACUUGCUGUUGCCGGUCAUGCUCUUCAUUGUGAUGAAAUUAUCUCCUAUCUACUGUCGGGUCUUGGCCAUGAUUAUGACUCUCUUGUCACUGCCACAUCCCACAGACAUAACACCACCUCCAUCCAACAAUCACCCGAUGGUAACCAGAUCAAAGAACCACAUUUCCAAACCAAAAAAAUCCUCUGAUGGACAAACCUUGUAUCCCCUGCCCCAUGCACUGCUAGCUACUGCUUCUCCUCCCUACAAAGAACCAACUUCGUUUACUGAAGCCUCAAAAUCUUCUCACUGGAGGUCUGCCAUGAACACUGAGUUUGAUGCCUUGCUCCGGAAUCGCACCUGGGAACUGGUUCCUCCAUCUCGCAAGGUAAAUGUCAUCGGCUGUCGCUGGAUCUUCAAGCUAAAGAGGAAGGCUGAUGGUUCUAUUGAAAGAUACAAGGCACGCCUUGUUGCUAAGGGGUUUCAUCAACAAUUCGGGGUGGACUUCAAUGAAACCUACAGCCCGGUAGUGAAGCCUGCAACAAUCCGGUUGGUUCUGUCAAUUGCAGUAUGUAAACACUGGAAAAUUCGUCAGCUGGAUGUCCAAAAUGCCUUCCUUCACGGCACACUUUCAGAAGAGGUUUACAUGGAUCAACCACCAGGUUUUAAACAUCCUCAAUUCCCUGAAUAUAUCUGCAAACUCAAGCGGUCCUUAUAUGGACUUAAACAGGCGCCUCGUCAAUGGUUUUCUCGGCUUGCUGCUGUGCUGCUACAACUAGGAUUUGUUGCCAGCAAAGCUGAUUUGUCACUCUUUGUUCUAAACGACACCACCAGCAUCCUCUAUGUUCUUAUUUAUGUUGAUGAUAUUAUCAUCACCGGCUCUAAUGAUGUUGUUGUCCAGGAUAUUAUACAGCACCUACACAUAGAAUUUGCUAUUACUGAUCUUGGUUUUCUAAGUUUUUUCUUAGGCGUUGAAGCCUUACGUGAUACUACAGGUCUCUAUUUAACUCAACGCAGGUACAUUAUUGAUCUGCUCACUAAGUCCAAGAUGGAUGGUGCCAAGCCGUGUUCAACUCCAAUGUCCACUUCUGUCAGCUUGACAGCAACAGAUACAACAACGUUUGAAGAUCCUACUCUAUACAGAAGCAUUGUUGGUGGCUUGCAUUAUCUGUCUUUCACUCGGCCUGACAUUGCUUUCGCAGUGCAUCGUGUUAGUAAAUUCAUGCAUCAACCCAAGCUAUCCCACUGGUUGUGUGUUAAGAGGAUCCUGCGUUAUCUCAAGCAAACAAUAUCAUACGGCUUACUGUUGUCUUGCUCCAAUUCAUUCACAUUUCAGGCAUUUUCUGAUGCAGAUUGGGCAGGGGACAUAGAUGAUCGUCGCUCUGUUGGUGCGUAUUGUAUAUUCCUUGGAUUCCACUUUAAUUUCAUGAAGCAAAACAGCAAGCCACAGUCGCUCGUAGCAGUACUGAAGCGGAAUACAAGCUCUCGCGGACACGGCAGCCGAACUCCAAUGGUUACAAUAUUUAGCUGCCGAACUUGGUCUGCCACUCUCCACAAGUCCCACUCUUUGGUGUGACAAUAUAGGUGCUACUUAUCUAUCCUCCAAUCCGGUGUUCCAUGCCCGCACAAAGCACAUUGAAAUUGAUUUUCACUUCGUCAGAGAUCUGGUCUCUCAACAGAAAUUGAUAGUCAGGUUUUUAUCUACUCGUGAUCAGCUAGCCGAUCUUCUGACCAAACCACUCUCUACAGCACGGUUUAAUUUUUUGUGCUCCAAUCUUCACGUUUGUGACCUCCCGUCAAGAUUGAGGGGGCGUGUUAACGAUAUUAUCCAAUCUCCUGAAGAUAAUAUUGAUACUGAAGAUAAACAUGAUCAGGGAUUGAUAUCCCUGACCCUGACCUGACCUGACCUGCUCAUACCUGAUCAUAUCUAAACAAGAGAGAUUACUACUACUGAAGAUAAUCGUAAUCUCUGUUAAUAAUAUUAUCCAAUCUCCUGAAGAUAAUACUGGUACUGAAGAUAAACAUGAUCAGGGAUUGAUAUUCCUGACCUGACCUGACCUGCUCAUACCUGAUCAUACCUGAACAAGAGAGAUUACUACGACUGAAGAUAAUCGUGAUCUCCAAGCAUAUCUACAAUAAAGAUAAUAUUGAUAUUGAAGAUAAACAUGAUCAGGGAGUACGAUAAUUAUCAAGAAGUCUGGAUACUGAAGAGAUCAUGAUCAGGGAUUGUUAUCCCUGAUCAUACCUGCUCAUACCUGCUCAUACCUGACCUGACCUGCUCAUACCUGCACAAGAGAUAUUCAUCGAAUCUGAAGAUAACGUGAUCACAUUAGAAAAUAUGUGUAUAUCUUAUCAUUAAUUGUACUCUUGAUCAUAGGAUUCAUUUUGAAUUUAAGAUGGUAUUAUAUAAGACCAUCAUGUAACAAUAAAUGAUUAUUCAACGAAAAUACAUUCUUCUGUAUCCCUCUAGCCUUCCCGUCUACAGCUCUUCUCUUCUUCUUCUCCUAUUCUUUUAUCUUACAUUAAUGAAUUUUAAAUUUUUUUUCAGAUUAAUUUUUUUGAAUGGUUUUAAUAUAUUUAUAUCAAAAAUAAAUAUUAAAAAUAAAAAAAUUAUUUUAAUAUAUUUUUAAAUAAAAACUAUUUUAAAAAAUUAUAUUUUUAAUAUUCAAAAUAUGAUUGGUUAACCAAGUGACGCGAAUCCAUUAAAUGGGUUUUUUCCUUAGAAUAUCAGGUUUAAAAUUUUAGUAUAAACCAUAUAAAAUAUGUUUUAUAUGCAAACGAAUCUACGGUGCAACUAGAUUUUGCAUGCCACUCGUGACCUGUAUUUGAGAAAUCAUGAUAUGGUAUAAAAUACAGAGGAAAUAAGAAAUAAGAAAGUUAAAAGCACGCAAAUUAAUUAGACGUCUGCCCCUGUAUUAUGGAAGUGAAAUAAUUUUGAUCGUUUAACUAUUUAUAUAUAAUAAAUUUUUUGGUAAUUUAAUUAUGUUAUCGUAAUUGUGGAUGUAUUGUUAAUUAUAAUUAUUUCUGCAUACAUUGUUUCUAUUGGGUUUAAACAAAAAUAGUAAUAUAUUUCAUAUUCAUAAUUAAAAUGCAUAACAGUUGCCUAGAAAAGAAAAGAUAGGUUUUAGUUCUUUUUAAUUGAGAGAAAAGAGAGUUCUAUUAGUGGUGGUUAUAAUUAAUCGCUAUUUUACUCACUCUUUGUUAAGGACCGGGUUUUGUUUUAUCAACAAAAAAAUUAAACAUAUAAACUUUUAUGACAUAUUUUUUUACAUAAAAAAAUAUCAAGUGUAAAUUAAAAAAUUUAUACAUGUAUCUAAUUAAAUAAAUUAAAAAUCAUUUAUGUCAACAAAUGAAAAAAAAAAACCAUGAGGUGGGUGUAGAUUAAAAUAUUUGAUCUCGAAACAUGAUUCAUUUACCUGAUUGUGUUUAAUGACUCUGAUUAUUAAAAUUAAUUUUUUUUAUUUAAUCAAAUAAUUGUAGAAAUAGAUACACAUAAAAUUGAUUGUAUCAAAUUAAAGAAAAAACAAAUCUUGCAAGGUUACACUUACUAAAAAUAUUAUCCAAAAAUAAAUAUUUUUUAUUCUUAAAAAUAAAGAUCAAUUAUAUAAAACAUAAAAAAAGGCUACAAAAUACUUUAAAAAACAAGAAAUUUAAAAAGGUUAUUUAAAAGGCUAAGUGAAAAAAAUCAAAGAGAAGCAAUAUUAAUUUAAAUAUAAAUUAAAAAAAAUAAAAAAACACAUAAAAAAGCAUGAUUGUUUUUUUUAAAGCCAAAAUUACUAUAACAAAGCCAAACUCUACCGGGCCUAAUAAGCCAAGGCAACAUCUAGCCCAUUUAGGAGGGCUCAUGUGGGGACCUAUAUAUAUAUAUAUAAUUGAGACCAACAACGUGUUAUCUAUUCUAAUGUUUUUUUAAAAAAAUAAUAAGUCAAACGGCAUGUCAUUUGACUUUGCUAAGAUUCCAGCCACUGACACAAUUUUUCAACCUAUUAUUUACUCUUUAUUUUUGUUAGAACUUUGAAAUCAUCAUCCAUUUGUGGUUUUAUUUUUUACUUUGGUCCCCAAACUUUUAUUUUUAUCCUUCGUCAACAAAUUUGAUUCAAUUAUAAUUUAAUUUGGCUCUUCAUGAUAUAUAGAUUUUAAAAAAUAUUGUUUUUAGAGAAUAAUAUAAAUGAUAUCUUGGAACUUUAUCUAAUAACUAAAAUUAUUAGAUUGAGAUGAUUCAUUAAUAUGAUAUCAAAGUCAUGUUGAUCAAGUUAUUAUGAGUUCAAAUUUCAUCAUCUUUAUUCUAUUUGAUAAAAAUUAAACACAUGUAGUGCGAGCAUCUGCAAGUUUAAAGCCCAAAAAGCUUUUAUUUGAAGGGGUAUGUUAGAUAAUAAUAUAAAUCAUAUAUUAAAGCCUCACCUAACAGCUUAAACUCUUAGGUGCGAUGGUUCUUUGACAUGGUAUCAAAGCAAGUUUGGGUGAGAUGCUUCUUUAACAUGGUUAUUUGACAUUAAUGAUAAGUGAUCACGAGUUUGAAUCUCACUACCCCUAUUCUAUUUUAUAAAAAUUAAGUACAAGGUAUUAUGUCAUGUGCAAGUUUCAACAUCAAAUAGCUUUCAUUUGAAAGGAUGUGUUUGAGAAUAAUAUAAAUCAUAUCUUGUAACUUUUAUAUACAUUUUCUUCUUUUUCCUUUUUUCUUUUUUGGUUGCAAAAUCAUAAGCUUGAACUCGGAUGUGUACAUUGCCGAUAAAUGCAUAUAUGGGUCUGCAACUUCAUUUUGCUUGUAAUGCUAUUUUGUUUUUAUGUUUAAAAUUUUGUUUUAGUGUAUUCUAAAAAUAUAUAUAAAUUUAAAAAUAUUAAAUUGAUAUUUUGUAGUAUGUUUUUGAUAAUUUAAAUGUAUUGAUAUAAAAAAUAAAGAAACUUAAAAAAAAAAUAUUUUAAUUCAAGUAAAAAAAUACUUUUUAAAAAAGUAUCAUGCAUUAUAUUACUUAAAACAAUCUAAUUCAUGAUAUAUAUUUGAGAAAUUAUGGUAUUUUAUUUUGGUAUAAAAUAUUGAGGACAUAAGAAAAUUGAAAAAAAAAAGAGCAUAUAAACUAUAGAUAAAUUAGUUGUAUGUCCUCUUUGUACGGGAGUGAAAUAAUUUUGAUUAUUUUAUUAUUUUUAUGUAAUGAAUCGUUUGAUACUUUGAUUAUUUAAUUAUGUUAUUAUAAUCCUAUUUAUGUAUAGCGAUAGUAGUUAUAAUAAUUUUUAUUUAUAUUGUUCCUAUUGAGUUUAAAUAAAAAUAGUAAUACAUAUUACAUCCAUUAUAAAUGCUUAAUCCAAAAUUUCAAUUAUUUUUAUAACAUUUUAUUUUUUUCAACUUGGUAUCAUUGUUUUUUUAAUUUAUUGAAAUAGAAUUUAAAAAAUUCAUAUCCUAGAACUAAAAUAAAAAAGUAGUGUAACUUUUUAAGAAAUAAAUAACAUAUUCAUUUUCUUGAUGCAUAUCAAAUUUAAAAUUUUAAUUAGUGUUGAUACUAAUACAUCACUUGAUACCCUAAUCUUAUUAAAAGAAGGACUUAAUUGAAAGUAAUAAGGUUCAAAUAAUAUAGAUUCAACUCUUAUGCUAUUAUGUACUAUUAAAGAGUUCAAAAGACUUUGAUGUGAGUUAGGGUGUGUUUGGAAUUAUAAUGACAGUUGUAGUUCAAAGUGUUUUUUGGUUAGAAAUAUAUAAAAAUAAUAUGUUUUUUUAUUUUAAAAAAAAUUAUUUUUGAUACCAACACAUCAAAACAAUUUGAAAAUAUAAAAAAAAUAUUUUUUUUAAUAAAAAAUAAAAUUUAAAAAUUUAAAGAAACUUGAACUGCGUUCUCAAACACACUUAAUCUAGUUCAAAAGAUAGUAAUUUGUUCCGCAUUACCAAAAAAAACUUAAUCUAGUUCAAAAGAUUUCUCUUGAUAUUUUUACUUUCACGUCUUACCGAGAAACAUUCAAUAUGCAUCUUAAAUCGAAGUUUUUGAUACGAUUAAAGUAAAAAUUAUUUAAUAAUAAGUAUGUUUCAAAGUUUUUAGUUAAAAGUUUUUCUCCUACAUUCUUCUUUUCAAUCCGGUAUCAAUGUUUAUUUUUUUCAUUUUAUUUGCAUAUGUGGCAAAAAAAAACCAAUUUAUGAAUUAAUUUUCUAAUAUAUGAUAAAAUAUUAAUGAUUAAAAUUUAAAUGUAUUGACACAUAAUCAAUCAAUGUAUGUUAAUUAUAAAAUAAACUUAAAAUUGCUUGAUUUUACUAUUAUAUUUUGAUUAGUAUUGAUGGUUGAUUCCACUAAUAGUUGCUUUGGCAUAACAAUAGCUCUUGCUAUAACUAGUGUUGUUUUUGUGUUUUUUAAUUUUUUUUAAAAAAUAAUUUCAUCAUACCAAAUAAAAUACAAAUGCAUCAUUAUUUUUAUAUUAUAUCAUUAAAAAAUAUAACUUGCGAUUAGAUAUGAUACGCAUUGCCAGGUUUCAUUGAUAAAAAGAUCUAAAUAUGUUGAGUUGUAUGUAUCCUCUUUAUCUAGCCAGAAACAAUUACUAGACAUUUAUUGGAAAAGAGAAAAAACUAGAUCAUAUAUAUAAUUACAAGAUCUAGAUCUAAACUAACUAUGUAACCUGCUGCACUCUGCACUCUGCACUCUGCAUCGGGUUGAAUAAAAAAACAAUUGAAGAAAAAAAAGAUAUUCAGCAAAUAAAAAUGUGUUUUAAAUAAGGAAAAUAAAAAUAAAAACAUAGUCGGACAAUGAAAACAUGAAAAAAAAAUAUCAACUAUGUUAACCUAUUAAACUUGAUAUCUUAAUCAUUUGACCAAAAGCAAUAAACUUGAAAAAACAUUAAAGCCCAAUUCAAUUAACCAAACAUUAAAGCAUCAAAUUAAAAAUAUAAAUAUACAAAAAGGGAAAAAAUAGCAGUUAUAAAUUAAAAAAAAAUACCUAAGGCUGAUGAGUCAACCCACCUAAUCUAUAGACCAAGUUAUAAGACCGAGAUAACCCGAUAAAAAAUAAAAUGAAGAAAAUGACAAAACCUAUUUUUAAAAAAUGUUUAAUGUUGAAUCAUGAAAAGGAUUAGAAAACUAGCAAUUAUAAGCUCAAAAAAGGGUUAAGCUUACCCAGGUCAACUCACCACACCCACGAGUCUGGUCUUAAAACUAGAAUAACCCUACAGCUAAAAGAAAAUGAAGAUAAUCAAGAACCCUGAUUUUCUCAAGAAAAUCAAUAAAAAAACAAUGUUGAAUUAUAAUAUGGCACACAAAUAAGUAAAAAUAAAAAAUGAUCAACCCUUGUAAGCUUAUAAAACCUAAGCCCUGGACUAUUUGAUCGAAAGCACAAUAUAUAUAUAUAUAUAUAUAUAUAUAUAUAUAACCCUCAUAGAUCAAUCAACAAAUUAAAUAUUGAAAGAAAAAAAUUAAAGAAAAAAAUCAUAACACAAAAGUAUCUAAAAGGAAUUAAAAAAAGUUAUUAAAAGGCAAAAAAAAUGGCGUGAACUAUCUAGGUUGACCCAUCAAACCCACGAGUUAUGUCUAGAGAUUGAGAUAACUUAAAAAAAAAAUAAAAAAAACCAUGAAGCCUAUUUAAAAAAAAAAUCAUAGUCGAGUAAUGAGACCAAAAAAGAAAAAAAGUCUAAAAAAAAAAGAGAAACUCAUGUUAGCUUACAAAACUCAUGACUCAAGCCAUUUGAUUAAAGGCACCAAAUCCGGAAAAACCACAAUUCUUGAAUUUUAAAAAAUUUAAUGUUAAAUGAUAACAUUGAUUGAAGAAUAAAAUUGAAAAUAAUUAAAAACUUAAAAAAAAAAGCAAGGAAAAAAUCAUGAAAAAAAAACCACGACCAAAUUUGAAAUUUUAAAAAAUAAAAAUUCUAGAUUGAAAGAUGCAAUAAGAAAAAAAAACUUACAAAAGAGCAAAGGAUAAAAAUUGACAAAUUCAAAGAAUAAGGACUGCUACGCAAAUAUACUCAACUAAGAAGAUUGGCAUGAAAUUUUAAAUGCUAAACAUGAAUCCCGAGGGAGGAUAAACAGAAGAAAACAAAGGAAGCUUCUCUGACUACAUGAGGGAUCCAAUGAUAUGGUGGAAGGAAUUGUUAGUCAUCUUAUGAAGGUACAUGUGCCAUAUCCUAUACGCUUGACAACUUUUUUUUAAUCACUUCAAAAGACCAAUCUACCUCUCAAUUAACUUGCUUGUAGCUAAAAAAAAUUCACGUGUAAACACGAAAUUGCCACUAAACCAUGCCUAAAUGUUUUUGAGACAUUAAGAUUUAGCCGCACUAAGAAUAGUGAAAAUACAUGAAAGCCCCCAAAGCAAACCUUAAUUAAUUCUAACAUAAAGGAUAAGGUAGUAAUUAAACUUUGCAAAAAGACAUGAAAUCUCAAAAAAAAAAAAACAUAGCAACCAAAUAUCUUAUUAUUUUAUUUUAAGGGUAGUAAAGGUUUUUCACUAUUAAACAAAUAUGAAAAUAUGUUUGUAUCCCCACUAAAUAUGAGAAUAAUAAAUGGAUCACAUAUAAAAAAAAUAUUUUACCUCUAAACUUAGUUUUCUGGCCAAAUUGGAGGAAGGACAAAAAUGUUAUUUUACUAUUAUAAGAUAUGAUAAAUCUUCUCUUAUGCUACAAUGUUUUAUCCAUGCCCUAUAUAUUUUUGGUAAACAUAUAGUGAAUAAAAAGAAAAUUGUUGCCAAACAAAUGCUUAAUAAAGCUAGGUUUUUGGGUAGUUUUGAAGGAAAAUAAAAAAAGAGUGCAAUUAGUAGAGGUUAUAAUUAUAAAGUUAUUUGGUAAUGAUUGCUCUUAAAAGUUUUUGCAUAAAAAAUACUCCAAAACUUCAUUUUGAUUAUUUAUUUCCAAAUAAUUUUCAAAACGUUUUUCCAAUUUUACCAAAGCAUUGUUUUAUAGUGAUUUUUGGAACAAAACAUCAAUUUUAUUAUAUAAAAAAAGUAAAAAAUUCCUUAUUUUAUUGUUAAAUUAACAAAAACUAAUUGUGAGGCUCACAAAGCAUUGGGUGGGUUUUUUUUUGCUUAUUUUAGAUUUUUAUUUUUAUUUUAUAAUUCAACAUUAGGUUUGUCCAUUAUAGUCUCAUGAUCUAGGUCACAUUUUGUUUUUUUUUUUUGUUUUUUUUUUUUUUCAGUUUCAUCAUUUAAUGUUGGGUUUAUUGAGAAUUGAGCUUCAUAAUUUAUUUUGAUUUGUUUUCUAUAGGGUUAUUCAAGCCACAUGAUUUGGGUUACGGGCUUCACAUAUUAACCUAGAUUGACUCAAGUUGUUUGUUUUUUGGAUUUUUUUAAUUGAUUUUUUUUAAUUUCAUCAUUCAAUAUUGAGUUGAUUAGAAAUUAAAUUUUAUAAUUUUUUUUAAUUUUUUUCUAUAAUCAUUUUGGUCUCAUGAUCUAUGUCUCGUAUUUGACAUGUUGACUUGGUUGACUUGGGUUUGAUCCAAUAUGUUUAUGUGUCAAUAUUUUUUUUUUAAAAAAAAUAUCAUCUUGAAAUAGUUUUUAGUCAAUAUAUUUUUAACAAUUUUCUGGGUUUUCUUUGAAUCUGUCAAGUUAACUAGGUGACAUCGGAUUAACCCCCACAUGAUUUAAAUUUUUUCUACUACAAUACUCAUUGGCAACACUUGAAUAUUUUUUUCAUAUAUGACCCGUAGCGUAGCGCAGGGCAAUCAUCUAAGUGUGUUCUUAGGGGGUGUUUGGGAUUACGGUUGAACUCUGCUUUUAAAAAACUUAAAUUCUUUUUAGGUUUAAUUUUUUUUUUAAUCAUUAUAAUGUACUUGGUGUCAAAAAUAAAUUUUAAAAAAUAAAAAUAUAUUUUUUUAAUAUAUUUUAAAAAACAGCACAUGAAACAUACACCUAAAGAAGUAACCGAGAUUCUGCCAUUGACUCCAUCUCCUGCUGUCAAUACAUAAAAGUUUUUUAAAAAAUGUUAUCAUGUAACAGGAAAUAAGAGUACAAACAAAAUACACACUCCCGCUCCUGGCAGGGAAACAAAAUCUGGGAAGGAAAAUUUGAAAUAUUUUUUCAAAAUUUGUAGGCGGAUUUUCCAAAUCAAAUAAGCAUGAUAUGUAAAGUAAGGUACUUUUUGGCAUAAUUCAUACACUAAAAACUUAAGCCCAAUCCUUGCCACAAAGAGUUGCAAGGGUAGUAUGGGAGAGGUGGGGUUGUCUUUUCACUAUGAUGUAUUUGACAUUGAAUGAAUGUUUAGGGAGAAGAUGGUCACUUCAAGUUUUGGUAGGGUUGCCCUGGGCGUCCGCUAGGCCCACGGCUCCACGUGAGAACACCUGGUGCUUGGGAUGACCUGCCCUUGCACUAGGUCAGACCCGAUCGCCAUGUGGUGCUGGGCUAGCUUGCCCUUGCCCUGGGCGUGAGUCAACCCAAGCCCCCACGUGGGGACACCUAGCGCUUGGGCUGCCUGCACUUGUGUUGGGUUAGACUCGAGCGGCAGAUGGCGCUAGGGCUGGCUUCCCUUGCCCUGGGCAAGAGCCAAGCCUGUGCCCCCAUGUAGGGACAUAAUUAGUACUUAAAAGUGCAUUUUUAUCAAAGUUUUAUAUCAUCAUUUUGCACUUGAAGUAUCAAUAAUUCCUUAACUAGAACAUAUUUUAUAAUAACAAGUCUGAUAAUAUAAGAUAGCUUUCAUUUAUGGUAAAUGCACAUUUUAAAUGCAGGCAUAUCUCACAAUUCAAAAAAUUAAUUGAUGUGAUUAACUAUUGAAAGUGAAAGACAAAGAAAAGACUAAACUUAGAAAAGAGAAGUUGAUUCAAUUCAAAUUGAAACAAUGUUUAGUCAUUGGGUCAUAUUUGGAGCUGUAGAUCUUGGAUUUCAGUUUGGUUUAUAUGGCUAGAAAGCUAAGACAUGGACCUAAAACAUUCAUAAGGGCCAAGACUCAAUUCUGUUAUUUGGAAGUCCACAUCUUAGCAUCAAAAGAGAAGUCUGAAUUUGUCAUAUAGCCCAGACACUAUUCAGUGUUCAGCCCAUAUCUUGAGUUUUAGAAGUCCAAAUGACCUCAUUCUUGUUUUGUUGGAAAGCUGAGAUAAUUUUCGAGAACUUUCAUGUUGAUAUUUUAACACAAAAGAAAGGUUUAUUAAUAUCUUGUUUAAGAGGUAUUGAGAAUAUAUAUGAAUUUAAUGAGAGUUUGUUUAUCUGGAUAGAUUAAUGGAAGUUGAAUGAUGAAUGCCUUGCUUUGUGGAAUUUGCAAAUAGUUUUUCUAUUUUAACGCUUUGAUUACUAGGGACUAGUAAUAAGCUGGUUGAGAGGUGUGAUUAGUACUUGAAAGUGCAUUUUUAUCAAGGUUUUAUAUCAUCAUUUUGCACUUGAAGUUUCAAUAACUUCUUAAUUAAAGCAUGUUUUAUAAUAACAUAUCUAAUAAUAUAAGAUAACUUCAAUUUAUGGUAAAUGUUCAUCUUAAAUAUAGGCCUAUCACUUAAAUGAAAGGAUUGAUUGAUGAGUUUAAGUAUUGAAAUUGAAAGGACAAAGAGAGGGCCAAACUUAGAAAAUAGAUGUUGGUGCAGUCCAAACUGAAACACUGUUCGGUACUUGGGUCAUAUCUCGAGUUCUAGAUGUCUAAAUGAUCUCCAUUUUUAGGAAAGAUUCGGUAAGACAUAGGCAUACAACUUUCAUGUGGAGGCCAAGAUUUAAAAAGGCCAUUUCAAGUCCAAAUUAUAGCAAUAACGAAGAAGUCUGAAUCUGUCCUACAACUCAGACACUAUUCAUUGUUCAGCCCAUAUCUCGAGUUCUAGAAGUCUAAAUGACCUCAAUUUUUUUUCCUAGAAAGAUAAGAAAAUUUCCUAUAACUUUCAUGGUAUAGGUGAUUUCAGUUCUGAUUCUAGCAAUGAUAUUUUAUUUAGAAAAGAAGAUAAGGAUUUUCACCAAGUCAAGAGUUGGCCACCCACUCAACAAUUAUUCAUCAAAUCAGUAGUUUUAAAUUUUGGUCUAUAAAAGAAGGCAUUUGCCAUGCAUUUAAGGGCUUAGUUGUUCAGAUCAUUGUUCUUGCUCUCUCUCUUUAUAUAUAUAUAUAUAUAUAUUUUUUAAUUCUUAAGUUUUGCUUUCAUUAAUAUCUUGUUUAUGCUUUUCAUUUCCUUUCAUUUACUUAGUUAACUUGUAUCUUAUUUAUGUUCUUGUUUUAUUUAUUUAUGUUUCUCUUCUUCAUUAUGUUUAGCUAAGUUUAUUAUGUGAAGGUGAAAAGGUUACACUAAUGGUGUAAGAAUAAGUAUAGUUAAACUCAACAUGGACCUUAAUAUUUAAUAUUAACAUGUCUUAUCUUUUUAUCUUACUAAUUCUUAAUACCUUGCUUGCUAAAUGGUUAAUCUAGAUUUGUGUUAUAUAACAGUUGGUACAACAAAUGCUUGGCACUCUUAUAGAAUCAAACAAAACCCACGGGUAGGCUACCCAAACACAAGCCAAGGAUAGGUUACUAUAACACAAGCCAUAGGCAGGUAAUUGAAUAAGAGACCACAAAUAGGUUACCCAAUCACAAACUUACUUUCUAAAAUCUUUUUAAAUACUUUAAACUAUAAGUAUUGUAGAGAGAGGACAAUUGUCAUAACCUAAUUUUAGAUCUUCCAAAAUUGUUUUAUAAAAAAUGCAUACAUAUUUUUAUUCAAAAAUAAAAAAACAGAAAAUACAACAAUAUUUUUAGGACACUUGGAGAUAAGUGUUGCACGUAAAAAUCCGCACGGUGUCCGAUGGCGAUUUUUCGUUUAUUUUGCUGAUUUGGUUCUUUAGAGUCGUCACCUAGUAUUUUGGUCAUUAGGAACCCUAACUGGUCUUUCAGAGAUUCUAAGGCAAGGGACUGGUUGCGUAAAGGGAAGGUAUUAGCACCCCUACUACGCCCUACCUAAGGUAAGCUGCUUGGUGUUUGGUUUGCUCUAUAAUUGCUAUGGUGUUGGUGUUUUCUAAUCCCAUCAAUUUUCCUAGGUUUGAUUCAAAUAAAAUUUAUUUGGAUAGAAAUCCAAGGAGAUUCAUUGUGCUUCGAAAGCUCAUUUUUCCCUUAGUAUUUCAAGAGUUUUGCGACUCGUAAAUCACAAGGAGGAAGGAUAAAUUGUUUUUUUUAGAAAUCUAAGGAAAUUCAAGGCGCUUUAAAGCCUAUUUUUGCCUUAGUGUUUCAUACUCUCACGGCUCGUAAACCGUGGAGUAAAAAAUUUUGAAAUGUCUUCGAUUAGAAUCAAGACUUCUUUCACGGAUGUGUGCGGAUUUAUUACUCCCAAUAAUAGUUUGGAUAUUCAUCCCUUUGAGAUUUCUUUAUCCAAACAUUAACGGUGAAUAAUAAAUGAAUUCCCCCCAAAAUAAGACUUUUAUAUUUUUUUGGAAUAUUGGCCAAUACCCUUUGGAGUUUUACAAACAUGUUGUAAAAUAAAAAAAUGCAAGAAAAUAAUUUUUUUGUUGUGUUUACGAAAUCCAUGCGAAAACACCUUUUUAAAAUUUCCAAUAUUUUUUUGUAUAUAAAAAAAACAUUCAAAACAUGUUAGGGUAUUAGUCGUAUGGAACACAAAAAAAAACAUUUUUUAUAUAUUUUUGUAUAUUUGCCGUAUUUUGCAUUAAAAAAAAAACCGGUAUUCUAAAUGCGAGAUUGAUAUAAUGUUUUUAUUAUAUAAAAAAAAAUACAGACCUUAAAAUCAUCAAUAUCUCUCUCUUUCUUUUUUUUGAAAAUAAUAAUAAUAAUAAAAAAAAAAAUAAAACCAGUACAUCCGGGCAAGUGACCCGGCUGCACAAAAAAAGAACUCAGCUACUGUUCAAGUGAAUUAUAAUUCACUUGAACAGUAAACACAAAAGGCAUGCAUAGUAGAUAAGUAAUUAAAAUGCAAAGUGAAGAGAAUGCAUGGAAACUUACCUGGCGCUGAAACGGGCGAAGAUGAUGCUGCUGUUGUUUCUUGCGCACAACCGAUCAUCACUGAUUCUGAAGAUAAUGACGAACGCUGGUAACUGGUGUUGGUCUCUGUCUUUCUCGUCUUGCUGACGCUUUCUCUGGAGACGGCGAAGACGAUGAAGGUGUGAUGUGCUGGUGAAAUGGAUGUUCUUCCCUCUGUGCUUUCUUGCUCCUUCUCUGUUUUCUUGUGAGCUGCUGCUUCGGCUAUUACAUAUGAAAGAAAACGUUGCACCGCUGGAGGAGAAGAAAACUGGAGACGGAAACAAAGAGACGAAGGCGAUGGUGAGGGCGUGCUGGUUGGUCCCUCUGUGUUUUCUUCUAUUUAUGAGUUUUCCUUCUGCUCGUCCCUGUUGUGCUCUUCUUCGUCCGUUCGUUUCUCUGGUUUUCUUUCCCUUGCUUCCCCUGUUUCUCCCUCUGUAUUUUCUGUUCAUCCUCCCUCUCACUCGCAUCCGUUUUUGUCUCUACUGAAAAGAGAUGGUUACUGCUGCUAUGGCUGGCAUGCUCACGGUAAGAAAAGGGGAGUGGGGGCUGGUGCUUAUGGGGGAGAUGGUGGUCUUGGUUUGGGGAAGAUCGUGUGGGUGUACAUGGGCUGCUGAUUUGAAUAAAAAAACCGGGGCUGUUGAGGGAGGCUGGGAUGGUUGGAGAUGACGGGUCCGGCUACAGGGAGAAGAAAUCGAUGCCUCAAAAACCUAAAACAGGGUUUCUCCUCUGUUUUUUUUUAGAGAGCGAGGCGGCUGCAGACAAGAGGGUUUUUUUUUAGGUUUAGGUUUUUUCUUUUUUUUCCUAGUCAAUUUUUCUCCCCCUGUAUAUAAGGCUGCAUGUUCAUUUAUAUAGAAAAUCUCUACAUGUGUUUAUUUAAGGAAAUAUUGCAAUAAUUAUUGCAGAGAUUAUCUUCUAUAAGCAUCCCCAACAAAUCCCAUAUAUAUGGUAUUUUAUAUUGCAUUGAUUAUUUUCCAUAACCAGCACGAAUCAAAUCAUAUAUUCAUGGUAUUUUAUAUUGCAGUAAUUAUAUAUGAUUUAACAAUUAUCUCCUUGACAUAUUGCUUUCUUAAUAUUCUCCCUGAUGCUCUAUGUUAUCGUCACAUGUAAAUCUUUAUUUUUUAUUUUUUUUAUUUUUUUUAUUUGUGAAAAUUUAUCGAAACAUGAGUCAAAAAUUGGGUAGCAAGAGAUGCCCCCUCUUUACAAUGCUUACGAAGCAAAACUCCUCAAUGUUUUGCAUAGUAAGCUUGUAAAGAAAAAAAGUCUUCCUUACUGGUUGAGUGAUCCACUCAUCCAAGGACUUCACUUUUUUUAAAAAAGAAAAUUGGUCUAUUUUCACCGGCGAUCUGCCCACACACACUUAACCUGGCCUAUUUUCAGGGCCGACCUACCCAUAUACUCAUGCUGGUCUAUUUUCAUGGGCGACCUACCCUUUUGAUUGGGUUAAACUAAGAUCCCAUCUAGCGAUCUUCUUUAACUCGAAGCAAAGUCGGUGUGUAGCUCAGUCGACCUGAAAUCCCAUCUGGUGAUACCCUUUAACUAAAACUAAACUCUGUGUGCGGUUUAUAAUGGGUGACCUACCCAGGUAAAAAAAGAUGGAGAAUAGUCUCAUUCUAAUGGGUGACCUACCCAAAAAAAAUGGUCUCAUUGUGAUGGGUGACCUACCCAAGUGGAAAAGAGGAAGAGUGGUCUCAUUCUUAUGGGUGACCUACCUAGGGGAUAGAAUGACCUCAUUAUAAUGGGUGACCUACCCAGGUAAAAAAAAAGGUGGAGAAUGGUCUCAUUCUAAUGGGUGACCUACCCAGAAAAAAUGGUGUCUCAUUGUAAUGGGUGACCUACCCAGGAAAGGGAGAAGUGGUCUCAUUCUUAUGGGUGACCUAUCCAGAAAAAAUGAUGGUCUCUUAUAAUGGGUGACCUACCCAGGUAAACAAAAGAUGGAGAAUGGUCUCAUUCUAAUGGGUGACCUACCCAGAAAAAAUGAUGGUCUCAUUGUGAUGGGUGACCUACCCAAGUGGAAAGGGGGAAGAGUGGUCUCAUUCUUAUGAGUGACCUACCCAGGGGGAAGAAUGGCCUCAUUAUAAUGGAUGACCUACCCAGGUAAAAAAAAGAUGGAGAAUGGUCUCAUUCUAAUGGGUGACCUACCCAGAAAAAAUAGUCUCAUUGUGAUGGGUGACCUACCCCUCUUAAAAUUCUUAGAAAACUCCACGCUUUUCUAAGAAACGGUUUCAAUAUCAGGUGACCGACCCAUCUUAAAAUUCUUAGAAAACUCCAUGCUUUUCUAAGAAACGGUUUCAAUAUCAGGUAACCGGCCUCUCUUAAAAUUCUUAGAAAACUCCACGCUUUUCUAAGAAACGGUUUCAAUAUCGGGUGACCGGCCCAACCUAAAAUUCUUAUAAAACUCCACUCUUUUCUAAGAAAUGGUCUCAAUAUCGGGUGAUCGGCCUGACCUAAAAUUCUUAGAAAACUCCAUGUUUUUCUAAGAAAUGGUCUCAAUAUCGGGUGACCGACCCUUCUUAAAAUUCUUAGAAAACUCCACGCUUUUCUAAGAAACGGUUUCAAUAUCAGGUAAUCGGCCCCUCUUAAAAUUCUUUAGAAAACUCCACGCUUUUCUAAGGAAUGGUCUCAAUAUCGGGUGACUUGCCCAUCUUAAAAUUCUUAGAAAACUCCACGCUUUUCUAAGAAAUUGUUUCAAUAUCAGGUGAUUGGCUCAUCUUAAAAUUCUUAGAAAACUCCACACUUUUCUAAGAAACGGUUUCAAUAUCAGGUGACCGACCCCUCUUAAAAUUCUUUAGAAAACUCCAUGUUUUUCUAAGGAAUGGUCUCAAUAUCGGGUGACCUGCCCAUCUCAAAAUUCUUAGAAAACUCCACGCUUUUCUAAGAAAUGGUUUCAAUAUCGGGUGACCUGCCCACCUUCAAAUUCUUAGAAAACUCCACGCUUUUCUAAGAAAUGGUCUCAAUAUCGGGUGACCAGCCCUUCUUCAAAUUCUUAGAAAACUCCACACUUUUCUAAGAAACGAUUUCAAUAUUAGGUCACCGGCCCUUCUUAAAAUUCUUAAAGAAAACAUCAUACCUCGAGGAAUGAAACAGUGCUGGUUCACAAUUCCUAUAAUUUUCCGUAGUUUCGUUGAGCUGAGAUUUUGUCUCUUAGCAGUUCCCAAAAAACUUGGAACUAAUUUUUUGUUACCUAUCUUGGAAACAUAGGUCCCCCUUUCCGUAGUAAGCUUCUUCGAGCUCUUGUUUCCAUUUGUUUGUCCAACCUGUUCUCUUGGACCAGAAUACACUCCACGCGCUAUAUUUCCUAUCCUUUUGUGCUUGGUGAAGAGAUCUCCAGUUCCUAAUGGGGCCCUUUCUUGCUCCAUUAAACGUUGCUUUGUGUUAUACUUUUGCCGAUGUUUUAAUUGUCUUCUUCAUUUUUUUGAGAAAUUAUUUUUAAAAGGAAAACUCAAAAAAUUUGGUUUUGUUCAUGAAAACUAAAACUUCAAUGCAAUCAUCAUAUAUAUAUAUAUAUAUAUAUAUAUAUAUAUAAUUAUAUAUAUAUAUAUUUAGCAACUCUCCUAAAAGGCGUUUUAGAAGUUCUAUAAUGAUACCCCUUUUGGCUUUGGUUCACUAUAGACCCCUAUGUGCACUUUUUGCCCCAUAGUGUGGUGUGCAAUACCUAUCAGGUUUAAAUUUGGUCUGGAUCCCUCUAAUUUAAGAAUUAAUGGAGUCAUCUUCUUAGUCAUGUGUAAAAACAAUUCUUUUAAGUAAAAGAUUUUGAAUGUUAUGAGAUAUGCGCUUUAUGAAGAAAAGGUUCUUUAUAGAGAGAAGUCACGGCCGAACUUUAUUUUAUGGAUCGGGAAGCAUAGUAUUUCUUUAUAGAGUCAGAAUUCACAGGUCUAACUAGAUCUUCUCCAUCCAUUCUAGAUAACAAUAAAGCUCCUCCCGAGAAUGCUUUCUUUACCAUGUAAGAGCCUUUAUUGUUUGGCGUCUAUUUACUCUGAUCUUCUCCUGGUAAAGGCUAUAUUUUCUUCAGUACAAGAUCUCCUUCAUGGAAUCCUCGAGGUCGGACCUUCUUAUCAUAUGAUUUGGUCAUCCGUGAUGAUGACAGAUUGCAGUUAUCCUCUUUUUACUGAUCAGAUUCAACUAUUCAUAUCUAACUUUUACUCAUUCCACCUCUUCUAAACUCAAAGUCUACCAAUACUCUUAAUGAGGGGGUUUCCAUUUCUAAAGGCAUUACCGCCUCCAUUCUAUAUACCAAAGUGUAUGGGGUGGCUCCUAUUAAGGUUCGGACUGCGAUGCAGAACGUGUGAAGGGCCAAUGGCAACAUCUCAUGUCCAUCCUUAUAGGUGAAUAUCAUCUUCUGAAUAAUCUUCUUGACAUUCUUGUUAGCAAUUUCUACUGCAUCAUUCAUCUUUGGCCUAUAUGGCGAGGAAUUGUAAUGCUUGAUUUUUCAUCUAGGGUAGAGUUCUAUUAUUAUCUUGCCAUUGAAGUUCUGGGCAUUGUUAGAUAUAAUCUUUUUCUAGUGAACCAUAUCGACAAAUCAAAUCUCUUUUCGUAAAUUUCCUCACCACUUUUUGCCUCCAAACAUCUCAACAAAGUCUUGUCAGAUGAUUUCUUAUACAAAGUUUCAUCACCAAGAUAAAAUUUCAUUGCCGAUCUCCUCAAAGUCUUCUUGUUGAUUUUGGAUGCCCCCAUGGGAUAUGUUUGGUUUUGGAUGAAAUUCUUGAUAUCAUAGUACCAAGGGUUUCCAUCUAUUUCUCUUUCAACUGAGCAACAAUGAGCUAAUUUAUUUCUUACAUCAAUAUGUACCGGUUGUACCUUAUGCCUAAAGUCUAUUCUAGCCCUAGAAGCUGGCGUGACCAAAGCGUUAGAAUGGUUUCUUUCCUUUCCUAGAUGGGUGAAAUUUAUUUCCUCAAAUUCUCUAGCCAAUUUAGACAGGUAUUCUUAGUAAGGUCUCAACUUCUCAUCCUUGGUUUGCCAUUUUCCUUUCUCUUGGCAAAUAAUCAAAAUUGAGUCUCCAUACAUAUCUAUCUUUCUAAUAUUAUUCUCCAAUGCCACCUCUAAAACGAGAAUGCAAGCUUCAUACUCCUAUGUUAUUAUUGCACCCAAACUACGACUUAACUGAAACCGGAUACUGUUUCUUAUCAGGAGAGAUUAGCACUGCCCCCACUCCGUUACCACAGCACUAUCAAAGUAUAUAAUCCAACAAUCUGAUUUCCCUUCCUCGACUAAAAGCACAUCUUCAUCAAGAAAAUCAAAUUAACAACUCAUAAACUUUCACAACAUGGUCAGCUAGGUAAUCGGCGAUGACAUUCACAGCUUUCCUUGUCAUAUAUACUAUGUCGUACUCAGCCAGUAGAACUUGCCAUUUUACAAUUCGGUUUGAUAGAUAGGGUUGGAUUUAAUAGGUACUACUUGAUUUUCGUGAAAGUUUCUUCACACUCUUAUUCCGAAUUCCAAGAUUCUUCUUCCUUAACAAUUGAAGAUGAGGUCAUAAGUCGUGGUUAAUUGGAAUAUAAACCGAGCAAUGUAAUUCAACAUUCCCAAGAAACUCCUUACAUCCUUUCUCAGUCUUGGGAGUUGGCAUAGAUUGAAUAACCUUUACUUAACCAGGGUUCACUUCUAUCCCUUUGUCACUCAUCAUAAAUCCCAACAACUUCCUAGAUUUCACCCCGAAUGAACAUCUUGCAUGGUUAAGCCUCAACUUUGUACCUCCUUAGUUUUUUCAAAUAAUUCCUUCAAUAUUUGGACAUGAUUCUCUCCCUCUUUAGAUCAUGUCAUCCACGUAUACUUUAACCUCUUUUUGCAUCAUAUUGUGUCAUCCACGUAUACUUUAACCUCUUUGGUAGGUGGCCCCAAUGUUCUUUAACCCAAAUGGCAUGACUUUAUAGUAAAAGGUUCCUCAUGGUGUUACAAAGGUUUCUUCUCACUAUCCUCAAGUCAUUUUUAUCUGAUUGUAGCCCAAAAAUCCAUCCAUAAAGCAAUAUGUGGAGCUACGUGCUACAUUGUCAAACAUAUCUAUGUGUGGUAGACAAAAUUGUCUUUAGGGCUAGUCUGAUUUAAGUCCCUAAAGUCCAAACAUUGAUUUUAUCUUUCUUUUUGGCAAGACAACUAUGUUGGACACCCAUUGUGGAUACUUGACUAUUUUUAGAAAAUCAGCGUUCCACUGCUUUUCAAUUUCUGCCUUUAUUCGGAUUUGUCUUUCUCAACCUUUACUUAACCGAUUCGGAUUGGUCUUUCUCAACCUUUACAUAAUCUUGGAGUUGUGCAAUCAAUUCUUCUCUUUCUUUAAGGGUGAUCAAAGUUCGUAUCUUCAACUCUCUUUUGAUUUCUUCAUCGCCCACAUCUAUGGUUUUUAGCCCCUCUCUAGUGGGUUUCCAAUCUUGUUCAUGUUAUUAAUUUUUAUCAAACCCCUAAUGUUAUUUUCCUACAAUUCUUCCUCUUCUACAACUAAUAUGUAUUCUUUAAAGUCCGACCAUUCAUUCUCAGUGUAAAGUGCAGGUGUAGUUAUGAAAGAUUUGCUUUGAAAAAGGAAAGUGAUGUGUAAAAACACAAAGAUGAACUUUUGAAAAUGCAUAAUCUCAUUCAAGGGAAACGUUCGGCUAAAAAAAACAACAAGGGUAAAAAUCCAUUGACAUUUGGAACCUCGAUUUAAAAAGUUGAAAAAGGCAAACAACACAAUAUCAUGAUCAAACAAGCAUUGUUGAUUAAAUUUUUAACACGAAUGGAGCUUCUUGGAUCUCCCAAUUCUGGAACAUCUCUCCCUUGGCUAGCUUUUGAAUGAAGGUCUUGAGAUUCUAAAUGCUUUGAGAUUAGGCUUGUUUGGAUGCAAAAAGAUAUUAUGGAGCAUACAUCUUAAGGAUUGGUUCUAUUUCCUUUAUGUGAGACAUUGGGUAGGUUUACUACUUGGUCUCUAAAAAGGGUCUCUUGUUGUCCUAGUGAUCACCCUCGUAAAGGCAAUAUAGGGGUUCAGUAGAUAGUGGGAUGGCACGUGUACCAAUCACUAUCAGUCUAAACACUUAGCAAAGAGUUGGGGUUUACACAAACUUAAACCUUGACUCAAGUCAUAAGGCAAGCUGCUAGUUCCCCAUUUAACUUAAAAUUUAAUAUGUGUGCUCUCAAAAAAGAAAAUAAUAAUAAAGUGAUGAAUGACUACAUCAUGUAUGACAGAAUGUAAAGAUACUUGCUAAAACUUUUAAACAAAGUAUCGUUCACAGUAAAAAAAACAACAACACAUAGCAUAAUAAAAAAACAAUUACCAAGCUUAGUCCAAGGAUCCCAAGCGGAGUCGCCAUUCUGUCGCACGUAAAAAUCCGCGCGGUGUCCUAUGGUGAUUUUUCGUUUAUUUUGCUGAUUUGGUUCUUUGGAGUUGCCACCUAGUAUUUUGGUCACUAGGAACCCUAACUGGUCUUUCAGAGAUUCUAAGGCAAGGGACUGGUUGCAUAAAGGGAAGGUAUUAGAACCCCUAGUACGCCCUACCUAAGGUAAGUUGCUUGGUGUUUGGUUUGCUCUAUAAUUGCUAUGGUGUUGGUGUUUUCUAAUGCCAUCAAUUUUUCUAGGUUUGAUUCAAAUAAAAUUUAUUUGGAUAGAAAUCCAAGGAGAUUCCAUGUGCUUCGAAAGCUCAUUUUCCCCUUAGUAUUUCAAGAGUUUUGCGACUCGUAAAUCACAAGGAGGAAGGAUAAAUUUUUUUUUAGAAAUCACAAGGAAAUUCAAGGCACUUUAAAAGCCUAUUUUUGCCUUAGUGUUUCAUACUCUCACGGCUCGUAAACCAUGGAGUAAAAUUUUUUGAAAUGUCUUCGAUUAGAAUCAAGACUUCUUUCACGGAUGUGUGCGGAUUUAUUACUCCAAAUAAUAUUUUGGAUAUUCAUCCCUUUGGGAUUUCUUUAUCCAAACAUUAACGGUGAAUAAUAAAUGAAUUCCCCCCAAAAUAAGAUUUUUAUAUUUUUUUGGAAUAUUGGCCAAUACCCUUUGCAGUUUUACAAACAUGUUGUAAAAUCCAAAAAUGCAAGAAAAUAAUUUUUUUGUUGUGUUUACGAAAUCCAUGCGAAAACACCUUUUUAAAACUUCCGAUAUUUUUUUGUAUAUAAAAAAACGUUCAAAACAUGUUAGGGUAUUGGCCGUAUGCAACACAAAAAAAAACAUUUUUUAUAUAUUUUUGUAUAUUUGCAGUAUUUUGCAUUAAAAAACCGGUAUUCCAAAUGCGAGAUUGAUAUAAUGUUUUUAUUAUAUAAAAAAAAAAUACAGACCUUAAAAUCAUCAAUCUCUCUCUCUUUCUUUUUUUUGAAAAAAAAAAUAAUAAUAAAAAAAAAAAACCAGUACAUCCGGGCAAGUGACCCGGCUGCGCAAAAAAAGAACUCAGCUACUGUUCAAGUGAAUUAUAAUUCACUUGAACAGUAAACACAAAAGGCAUGCACAGUAGAUAAGUAAUUAAAAUGCAAAGUGAAGAGAAUGCAUGGAAACUUACCUGGCGCUGAAACGGGCGAAGAUGAUGCUGCUGUUGUUUCUUGCGCACAACCGAUCAUCACUGAUUCUGAAGAUAAUGACGAACGCUGGUAACUGGUGUUGGUCUCUGUCUUUCUGUUCUUGCUGACACUUUCUCUGGAGACGGCGAAGACGAUGAAGGUGUGAUGUGCUGGUGAAAUGGAUGUUCUUCCCUCUGUGCUUUCUUGCUCCUUCUCUGUUUUCUUGUGAGCUGCUGCUUCGGCUAUUACAUAUGAAAGAAAACGUUGCACCGCUGGAGGAGAAGAAAACUGGAGACGGAUACAAAGAGACGAAGGCGAUGGUGAGGGCGUGCUGGUUGGUCCCUCUGUGUUUUCUUCUAUUUAUGAUCUUUCCUUCUGCUCGUCCCUGUUGUGCUCUUCUUCGUCCGUUCGUUUCUCUGGUUUUCUUUCCCUUGCUUCCCCUGUUUCUCCCUCUGUAUUUUCUGUUCAUCCUCCCUCUCACUCGCAUCCGUUUUUGUCUCUACUGAAAAGAGAUGGUUACUGCUGCUAUGGCUGGCAUGCUCACGGUAAGAAAAGGGGAGUGGGGGCUGGUGCUUAUGGGGGAGAUGGUGGUCUUGGUUUGGGGAAGAUCGUGUGGGUGUACAUGGGCUGCUGAUUUGAAUAAAAAAACCGGGGCUGUUGAGGGAGGCUGGGAUGGUUGGAGAUGACGGGUCCGGCUACAGGGAGAAGAAAUCGAUGCCUCAAAAACCUAAAACAGGGUUUCUCCUCUGUUUUUUUUUAAAGAGCGAGGCGGCUGCAGACAAGAGGGGUUUUUUUUUAGGUUUAGGUUUUUUCUUUUUUUUCCUAGUCAAUUUUUCUCCCCCUGUAUAUAAGGCUGCAUGUUCAUUUAUAUAGAAAAUCUCUACAUGUGUUUAUUUAAGGAAAUAUUGCAAUAAUUAUUGCAGAGAUUAUCUUCUAUAACCAUCACCAACAAAUCCCAUAUAUAUGGUAUUUUAUAUUGCAUUGAUUAUUUUCCAUAACCAGCAUGAAUCAAAUCAUAUAUCCAUGGUAUUUUAUAUUGCAGUAAUUAUAUAUGAUUUAACAAUUAUCUCCUUGACAUAUUGCUUCCUUAAUAUUAUCCCUGAUGCUCUAUGUUAUCGCCAUAUGUAAACCUUUAUUUUUUAUUUUUUUUAUUUGUGAAAAUUUAUCAAAACAUUGGUAAAAAAUUGGGUAGCAACAAUAAGCAUUUAAGAUAAAAAGAUCAAAUAAUAGAAGAAUACCUAGAUUGGGAGAAUUCAACAAGAUGAGAUGAAGAAAAAAAUGAGGUUAAGGUUGAAAUACAAAUUUGAUGAAAUUUGGAAGAAUUAAUCAUGUUUAAGGACUUUAUUAAACUUCUAAAUGGCAUAGUUGACUUAAUUAAGGAAUUAAUUAAAGUGAAGAUUAUGUUUGAAAGUUUAUUGAGAAAAAAAUUAGAAGAAAUAUUUAAAUUUAAGGACUUCUAAAGGGUUUUGUGGAUUUAAUUAAGAGCUUAAUUGAAAAAACUAAGUUUCAGGACUAAUUUGGAUAAAUUUUCAGAGAUUGGAAGAUCAGGGAUAUAUUUGAAACUUUGAAAAAGUUAAAUUGGUGCAAUCAGGAGUUCAAAUACAAGAAAUGUGAAGUUUGAAGGCCAAUAAGGGGCCAAAAGGUGUGCAAUAAUGGGGCUAUAUUGUGCUUUUCUAGGUGUCGCACGUCAAAAAAAUCCGCGCGACAUCGAUUGACGAUUUUUCUCGUGUAUUGCAUUUGCUUUGAUUGGUUUGUUGGAGUCGCCACCUAGUAAUUGAUUGCAGGCUACUAGGAAACUGGGUAUGCUGAUCUUGUCAGAGAUUCGCGGGUAAGGGACUGGUUGUGUUUAGGGAAGGUAUUAGCACCCCUAACACACCCAACCUGAGUUAAGCUGCUUCGUGAUUUUGACGUGUUAAAGAAGUUUUAAAAUUUGUCUUUUCAUCAGAUAUUAGAAAUACAACUUACGUAUAAGUUAAUAAUUCUUGACCAUGAUCCAAUCAAAAUAUUAAAUUCUUCUUUAAUCUUUGCAAUUUUAUCAUAAAAAAAAAAACAUUCAUAAAACAAAUACAAACACACACAUACACUUUCACUAUUUUUGUUUCUUUUCUUUUUCUCUUUUUGUUUUUACAUCCACAUUUACAAUAUACAAAUAAAAAAUUCAAAACUAAACAAAAAUUACAUCACAUGAUUGAAAAAUUACAGAAUAGUCCCUAAAAUUAAAGAAAACAAUUCUGGGAAGCCUUAUGGACCACCAUAACACUGGCGGCGCGUUUCCUCCAGGCGCCCCCGCCACUGGCGGCGCCUGGGUUCACACGCCGCCGCGAUCAAAGGCUGAAAAACGGGUGGAUCUGGCUCAGCCUCUUCUCCCCUUCCUUUCCUCACCGGCGGUAACCUGCAAGAACAACCAAAAACGCCACAGGCAGUCAAUUUUAUUUUUUUCUUUGUUUUCAAUCUAUUUUUUCUUUCUCUUCUUCGUUUCGGGUCUGCUUUACUUAUGCUUUGUCUCUGUCUUUUGGAAGUUGUUGUCUGCCUCGGGGUCGGGAGGAGAAGCUGGGAGGCGGUGGCUUGCUUCUAUUGAGGCCGUCGAGGACGGCGCUGUUGCACCUCUUCUUUGGUUUUCUGUUCUUCCCUUCUGCCGGUGGCGGACAAUUCUGAGGUGGAGGAGCUCGGCUGCUAUUGUGGGGUUCUUCAGGUGUGGCUGGCGGCUGGAAGGGAAAUGGGGCUGCUGUUUUGGCUGCUGCUAUUAGAGGCUGAAUGGAGAGGAGAGGGCGGUCAGUUCACAGUGGUUGAGAGGGAAGAUAUGGUGCUGGCUUUGUGUUGAUAAGAGGGAGAGGGGACAGUGUAUGGGCCUCCGGCUGAAGGAAGAAGAAACCAAAUCAAGGGGGGCGUCGCCGACUGGUUUGUAUCUGUGAAUGGGAGUGGGGCGGCUGGUUUCGGAGUUAGAGGCAAACUAGAGAGGGGAAAGAAUUUUGGCUUGUCGGACAGAUAUGGCCAGGUGAGCUGGCGGUUGGAGGAGGGGAGCAGUUCGGUUUUGGAGGAGAAGGGGUAAUGGCCAGCCGGUUCAGAUUUGUUGUGGGUGAGGGGGGAGUGAGCAGCUGUUGAUGGCUAGAGAAGGGGCUGGCAGUGUGAUAGUCCGGAAAAAGGAAGAAGAGAAAAAUAAAAAAUCAAAGGGGUGGGGGCUGGCCAGCGGCGGCUUAGAGAAGACAUAGAUUUAGGGUUUUUUGUUUUUGUGUUGUCUCUCCCCUCAAAUCUCAAAAUUGGCCCCCCAAUUUCUUUCUUUUUGUAAAUUUGAUUUUUCUUAACUUUUUUGUAUUUUUUGAAAACGAGCAAUAUCAACGUCGACUCGAUGAGGAAAAACAAUGAUUUUAAAAAAUGACGGGUGAAAAGUCGAACGCGUUCAAAAGACCCUUAAAAAUUUAAAUUCUUUUUUAGACGACGUCGAAAAUGCUAAAAUGACGAGAAUAUAUUAAAAAACAUAUUUUUUGGAUUUUCAUUGUUUUUUCUCUAUUUUUGGAUUUUUUUUGAAAAUUUAUCAAAACAUGGGUCAAAAAUUAGGUUGCAACACUAGGUACUAAUUUGAAGAAAAUCAAAGUUUAAGGUUUAAUUGGGGGCUAAUUAAAACAAAUUGGAAACCAAAGGCUACUUUGAAAUAGACGUCAAACUUUAGGGAUCUCAUUUGAUUUUUGGCAAAGGCCUAAUUGCAUAAGAUUAGCCAGUUUUGUCUCAAUUAAAGACGUUUGAGCUUAAAUUAAAAAAACAUGUCAUUCAUUUUUAAUAAAGAUAUUGAGUGACAUGCCAUCCAUCCCUAUUUUAUUGUCUUUUUUAGUUGAAAAGGCUGACCACAUUGCCAUGUUCAAGUGAAUGAAUGUGGCAUUUCCGACUACUUUAGGGACUUCAACCACCACCAUUCAACAAAAAAAGGUUCUCCUCUUCAAGUUUAUGCCACCCUUAUUUGAUGUUUAUGCUUUGCCUACCAUGUGGAAGGCCUCAACAUCUUGUCCCUGAUCAGCCAUUUUGCAUUAAUAGAUUGAAGUUGAUCAAGGGCCAAUCUUUCAAACAAUGAAUGUGAAGUUCUAAACCUCCAAAUCGAGUGUGGUUUUUUUCUGAAGGUAGUAAGCAUCCCUUUUACUUGUUAAAGGUAGGCCAAGGAUAUGACUAUCUCCUAAUUUGUAUGAUGACUUCAUCAAAAUAGCACACUUAGUCAACCAUGACUAAUGAAAAAACACUCCCUUGAUUGACUAACUUUGUGGCUACCUUCUCUUGAUUAAAUUGAACCUACAAAAUAAUAAAAACAAUGAGAACCCUUUUUCUAAGGAGGCUAGGAAAGGAUGGUUUUUAUGCACAACCAUCAUAGUUCUACAACUGAUGGUUUUAAUUUGAUUAUAAAAGAGUAGUUUCUCUUUGAGGAAAAUGGGGUAUUUUUUUUUGGAAAGGAAAAGAGUAGAGAAAAAUAAAGAAAACACCUAAAGAGUUAAAAAGAAAUCCUAUAAGUGAUUUAAGAGAGAAACUAGAGAGUUAGUGUACCAAAGUGAGAGAAAUAGAAUAUAGAUCAGUUAGAGGUGAAAAAAGGAGCUGAAAAUCAAAGGGAAAGAAACCAAUGAUCUAAAGGAGAAAGCUAUAUCUUCUUCAUAAUGUAAGCCCUCAAGCUUUGAUGAGGGAUGUAGCUCAUUAAGCACACCUAUCCUUUUUAUGUAUUCAUUCAGCUUAUCAAUCCAUGUUUAGAUCAUUGUUUUUAAAUAUGUGUUGUUGUUGUUGCUAGCAUCAGAUGUAAUAUAGUUUUGUGCUUAAGAUAUCACUAUUCCAUGACUCAAUAUAUAUAUAUAAGUUCAUUAUGAUUUAUGCAUAGUUUGUUGUGUUACGAAUGUUAAUAUAAUGAUAUAUUUUAGCUUAAGAGAUUUUAUAAAGUUUUUAACUAGUUUUAUUACUUGCUUUAUUGGUUAAAUCAUUUAGGAAGUUUAGUUUUAGGUUUGCCUUUUUUGGUGUAUUUUUUAGUCACAACAAGUAUAGGUUUGUGUUUUUAAAGUUUGAAUGAUAUGGCAAAUUAAUGUUCUUAGAUUGUUAUAUUUCAAAAAUAUGUUCGCUAUGAAACUUGAUCUAAUUACUCUUUUUUUAAUGGUGUUUUUUAUGUUUGUUGAAGUGUACAUGAGUGUGCUUAAAUGAGGGCUACUAUAUUACUUAAAAGUGCAUUUUUAUCAAGGUUUUAUAUCAGCAUUUUGCACUUGAAGUAUCAAUAACUCCUUAACUAAAACAUGUUUUAUAAUAACAUACCUAAUAAUAUAAGUGUAAAUGUUCAUCUUAAAUGUAGGUCUAUCACAUACAUGAAAGGAUUGAUUGAUGAGUUUAAGUAUUGAAAUUCAAAGGACAAAGAGAGGGCCAAACUUAGAAAAGAGAUGUUGGUGCAGUCCAAACUGGAACACUGUUCGGUAAUUGGGUUAUAUCACAAGUUUAGAUGUUCAAAUGACCUUACUUUUUUGGAUAGAUUUGGUAAGACAUGGGCCUACAACUUUCAUGUGUAGUCCAAGAUUUAAAAAGGCCGUUUUGAAGUCCAAAUUAUAGCAACAACGGAGAAGUCUGAAUCUGUCCUGCAGCCCAGACACUGUUCAGUGUUUAGCCCAUAUCUCGAGUUCUAGAAGUCCAAAUGAUCUCAAUUUUUUUUCCCGGAAAGAUAAGACAAUUUCCUAUAACUUUCAUGAGUAUAGGUGGUUCUAGUUCUGAUGCUAGCAAUGAUAUUUUAUUCAGACAAGAAGAUAAGGAUUUUCACUAAGUCAAGAGUUGGCUACCCACUCAACAAUUAGUCAUCAAAUCAAUAGUUCCAAAUUUUAGCCUAUAAAAGGAGGCAUUUACCAUGCAUUUAGGCAUCUGUGUUGUUCAGAUCAAGAUCAUGCUCUUUAUAUUUUCUUUAUAUUUUUGUAAUGUUUAAGUUUUAUUUCAUGUUAUAUUUUCCUUAAUCUCUUGUUUAUGCUUUUCAUUUCCUUUACUAUACUUAUGUUCUUAUGUUGUUUAUUUAUGUUUAUCUUCUUCAUUAUGUUUAGCUAAGUUUAUUAUGUCAAGGUGAAAAGGUUUCACUAAUGAUGUUAGAAUAUGUAUAAUAUAAACUUAACAUGAACUUCAAUAUUUAUAUCCAAAAAAGUUUGUUAUUAACAUGUCUUAUCUUUUUAUCUUACUAAUUCUUAAUACCUUGUUUGUUAAAUGGUUAAUCUAGAUUUAUGUUCUAUAACACUUGGUACAACAAAUGCUUCGCACUUUCAUAGCUAACUAUAUGGUAUAACCUACACCUGUGCUAUGAAAGGAACUUGAUUUGUUGUUAACACAAGUUAACAUCAUGAAUUCCUGACAAUAUUUAAAAGUAUGGUGUUACUAAAAUAAGAUAAUUAAUAUGAUCGUGUUAAAAAUUUAUAAUGAACUAUUAAGGAUAAAUCAUCCAAUUGGAACCUCCUUUGUGUUUGGUUUUCAGUUGAUUAAUAAAAAGAGUUUAUACUACACUUAUUUAUAAUACUAUUAGUGGAUCCUGCAUCAAGCCUAAGCCUAACCAUAAAACAUCUUAAGUUACAUGACUUGUGAGUGAUAAGAUGAUCAUCACUGCUAAAUUUACCAAUGUAGAAUAUACGUAAAUUCUGAAUUGUUACAACUAUCAGAAGAAGGCUGCCCUAAAUAUAAUGUAAGGAAACUAAAAAAAGGGUAAUGAGAUGUUGUACACAAUUAUUAUAUAUAUGGUGGUAGACCAAAUUGAAACAAAGAAACCAGUCUUCAAUAAUUUUUGGUGGUUUAACCAAAGGCCUUUGAAGUUAGUGGGAAAAUAAAGAAUGAGGAAACUUGGGCGAUCAAGGCUGGAUGAAGAAGUUGUAAGAGUUGCCUAAUAGAAAUUUCAAUUGGAAAGCCCUUUGGGUCACAAUAGUAAAUAUCGUAAUGAUUUGUGGGCAUAGACGUUGGGUACCUUAGGUCAAGAUUACAAGUUAUGUCAAUUAUUCUUCGGCUCUUGGGGCAAGACAACUAAGGAGCAUAAAAUACAUCAUGAAAAUUGUUGGACUUAUUCAAUUUUCUAAGUUAUUCAAAGAUCAAUCUGUACGUGAGGUCCAAAGAGUAGAAAUGAUUGUCCUACUACAAGAAUAUACAAAUUUUUUUAUCUGGUCUAACAAGGAUAUGUUAAGGAGAACAUAUUCUACAAAACGAAUAUGGAUAUGGAUAUCGUAGUACAUAGGGUAUCAUAAUGAUAUUUUUUUAUCCAAGAAUAAGUUUGGAUAUGGAUAUCGUAGUACAUAGGGUAUCAUUUAUAGACGAAUACAAAACGAUCAAAUAAAAGUUAAGGAGAACCCUCCUAGACAUCCUGAUUAAGUCAAGGAAGAAAUUAAGAAGUAAUAGAGUGCUGACUGCUUAAAAGUACUUAAAUAUUUGCAAUGGGUAUCUAGUAUAGUUGCCGUACCAUAUAAGGAGGGGAAGAUCAGAGUUUGUAUGGACUUAGGUAUUUGAACAAUGCUAGCCCUAAAGAUGACUUCUUAUUGCCAUAUAUAGAUGUUUUGAUCGACAACGUUGCACGCAGUUUCACUUAUUCUUUCAUGGAUGGCUUCUCAGACUACAACUAGAUAAAAAUAUCUUUGGAAAACAACUUUUAUCAUACCCUACGGAACAUUCUACUAAAAGGUUAUGCCACUCAAGUUAAAGAAUACAGGGUCCACCUACUAUAUGGCUAUGAUGACUUUAUUCCAUGAUAUGAUGCAUAAACAAAUUAAGGUGUAUAUGGAUGAUAUGAUUGCCAAGUCUAGGAAAUGAGAAAAUCAUGUCUAGGUUUUAAGGAAGUUGUUCCAGAGAUUAAGAAAGUACAAAAUAAGGCUUAACCUUGCAAAAUGUUCAAUUAGAGUUAAGUUCGAGAAGUUACCGGGAUUCAUGGUAAGUGAUGGAGGGAUAUAAGUGGAUCCUGAUAAAGUAAAGACCAUUCAAUUUAUGUCAUCUCCUAAAAUAAAAGAGGAGGUGAGGGGAUUGUUUAGGAAAUUGAACUAUAUUGUCUAGUUCAUAUCUUAGCUAACAACAACCUGUGAACCUAUCUUUUAGCUAGUGUAGAAAAAAAAUCCUAGAACUUGGAAUAGAGAGUGUCAAGAAGCCUUUAAAAAAUUAAAUAGUACUUACAAAACCUAUAUUUACUUGUUCCUCAUGUACCAUGAAUGCCUUUAAUAUUAUAUCUAACAGUGACUGAAGCAACUAUAGGAUGUGUACUAGGAUAUCAUAAUGAAAUAAAAAAGGAGCCAUUUAUUAUCCAAGUAAAAAGUUCAUAAAAUAUGAGUUCAAAUACACGGUGAUUGAAAAGUUAUGUUUUGCAUUGGUGCGCGUGGUUAAACAAUUAUGACAAUAUAUGUUGUAUCAUACUACAUGAUUGAUUUCAAAGGUUGAUCCCUUGAGGUAUAUAUGUGAGAUGCCCUAACUAUCAAGUCGAAUUGCAAUGUGAAAAGUUUUGUUAGGGGAAUACAACAUGGUGUAUAUGACAAGGAAAGUUGUGAAAGGGAGCGCAAUUACUGAUCAUCUAGCUAACAAUGCCACUGAAGAUUAUGAGUUAUUGGAUUUUGACUUUCCUAAUAAAGAUGUGUUGUUGGUUAAGGAAUAAGAAAAGAAGAUAAAUUGGUGUACCAUGUUUUUUGAUGGGGUAAUAAAUAUAUGUAUUAAUGAAGCUGAUGCAGUAAUUAUUUCUUCUAAAAAGAAGUAAUACCCGGUUUCAAUUAAGCUAUCAUUUGAAUGCUUCAACAAUAUAAAGCUGAGUACGAGCCUUGCAUCCUUAGUUUAGAAGUUGCAUUAAAGUUGAAGAUUAGAAAGAUAGAUACGUAUGAUGACUUAAUGCUAAUUAUCUUCUUGGUGAAAAGUUGAGACCCUAUCAAUAAUACCUAUCCAAAUUGGAAGAAGAGUUUGAAGAGAUAGAGUUCACCUAUCUAGGUAGAGAAGGGAACUAGUUUGCUAACACUUUGGCCACGCUAGUUGCUAUUUGCUAGAAUUGACUUGUGGCAUAGGGUACAAUUGAUACACAUUGAUAUUAGAAAUUUCACAGUUCAUUGUUGCUUAGUUGAAUGAGAGAUAGAUGGAAACCCUUAGUACUACGAUAUCAAGAACUUUGUGUAAAACUAGGAAAAUGAGUGGCAAACUAUGAGGGUCCCUAUCUAAAAUGGAUAAAGAAUAUCUGGCUAGACUUGUGAAUUCCAAUUCUAUAAAGAAAUACAACAUAUUAUGUAUCCAUUUUCUUUCAAAAUCAAUAAAGUGAAGUUUGGCCAUGUAUUCUUUGUGUAAAGAACCUUUCUUUAUAAAUUGCAUAAUCUCACAACAUUUGAAAUCCUUUUCCUAAAAAAAUCUUGAAAGAACUGGCUUUGUGUAUGAUUAUAAGGAAUAUAUCAUAAUAUGCUCAAGAUGAGGUUUAAGCAAUUCCUGAUUAGUAGGUGACCAAACCAAACAAACCAAAGCUAACUAUAAAUGGCAUUUUAAAUUACAUGGAUAAAUUAUUGGUAGUGACUCUAUAAUCACCUGCAAUUUAUUUUUGAAAAAGAUAAAGUUUGUCGAUAUUAACGAUGUGUGUUUGAAAUGAGAGAAGAAUAUACCCCUUGUGGUCUUUAUUUUGAGCCUGAGCAAGUUGUUCUUCAUCAAAAUCCUGACUAGGAUCACACUUCAUACUUGGGGUAAGAAAGAAAUACGAGUAAACUACUAAAAUGUAUACAUGGAUCUAUAAAAGUCAAAACCCAACACUAGGGGGCAUCAUCAUAAAAAGGAAAAAAAAAGAACCAGAAAGAGGAAGCAAAAAAAAAAGAAAAGAAAAGAAAAGAAAGAAGCGAGAAAAAAGAUACAAGAAAACAACUGAUGCUCCAAGACUAAAGAAAGGAUCUUAAAGUGAGACUAUUUAUUAAGAAAGAAAUUAUAUCCAAAUAAAGGCCAUGAGAUGACCUUAUAAAAGAAAAGAGGCUAAAUAAAAGUGAUCAUAAGUAUUUAAACCCUUAAACACUUUUUUAUCUUACAUUUCACACGAAGUGAUAAAGGAGUAAGGACUUGCUCUUAUUCAAGCGAAAAAAAUAUAAAUUCUAACACGAGGCAAACUUAAUAUAUAUACACACACACACACACACACACACAUGAAAUCUCUUUGAAAACUAAAGCAGAAGGUCGCCUUUAGUAAGAACCCCACCAAAAGAUAACCCACGCUCUAAAAAUGAUAAAACACUUGGAGAAUUGCUUGAAGAACUCUUUUAAUGCAUACAUUGAAAGUUUCAGUUUUCAUGAACAAAACCAAGUUUUUUAAAGAUUUCUUCUUGAAAAUAAAUAAAUUAUAUGAAACAAAAAUGAAAGGCCCUUAAAAUGGAAAAAAACAAAUAAAGCAUUGACAAAAGCAUGAUGGAAAGCAAUGUUAAAUUACAUGGUCAGUGGAGCAAGAAAGGGCCCCAUAAGAGACAAAGCUGGAGGCUUCUUUCUAAGAAUGAAGUGGGUAAAAGAUGUAGCAUAAGAAACAAAUCAUAAGUCAAGCAUACAAAUUCAAACAAAUACUGUCAACUUCUUCUCAACUCUGUUUGCCAAGCCACAAUGCAGAAGAAUUGAAAUGGGAGACUCAGGGUUCUCUAAAAUUUUAGAAGAAAGAUCAGUUUGGUUAGAAAGACUACUUCUAUUGGAGGAAGUGAAGCAAGCCGUAUGGGAUUGUGAUGGUUCAAAAGCCCCCGGUCCUGACGGGUUCACCUUCUCCUUCUAUAAAAAGGAAUGGAAUCUUAUCAGCCCCAACAUCUUUGUGAUGGUCACAUAAUUUUUCAAAAUAGGUAAAUUACGAAAGGGGACUGGCUCGUCCUUCAUGACUUUGAUCCCAAAGACCAAGAGGUCGAGCAGAUUCUCCUAAUUUCGACCGAUUAGUUUGAUUCAUGGGUUAUAUAAAAUAGUGGCAAAGCUCUUGUCCGCUAGGCUCCGAAACAUUCUACCGGAUGUGAUAAGUGUAAACCAGUCUGCUUUCAUUGACGGGCAUCAGAUUCUAGAUGGGUUCAUGAUAUUAAAUGAGGUUGUCCAUAGUAUUCGUAGCAAGAAGGACCACGGGUUUUAGUAGAUUUUCAUAAAGCCUUCGACUCGAUUUUAUGGGAGCAUAUCGAUUCUACCAUGGGUUAUAUGGGUUUUGGAUCUCACUGGAGGAAAUUGAUCUUUGAAUGCAUGUCCACAUCUAAAUUAGCCCUCCUAAUUAACGGCUCACCAAGCAAAGAAUUCAGUAUGGAGAGGGGUCUCAGGCAAGGGGACCCCCUCUCUCCUUUCCUUUUUGACAUAGUAGUUCAGGGGCUAACAGUUCUAUUCAACAGGGCAUCGGAUUCAGGUUACUUUAAAGGUUUGAAGACUUCGCAAGGACAUCACAUAACCCAUUUGCAAUAUGCAGAUGACACGUUGAUUUUCCUGCCAAAUGAUUAUACCUCUCUACUGCAUGUCAAGAGGAUCCUCCGCUGGUUUGAGAUUAUUUUAGGACUGGAAGUUAAUUUCUAUAAAAGCUCACUUAUAGGAAUUAAUUUGGAUAGCGAAUACACUUCAGGUCUGGCUAACACAAUUUUCUGUCGCAGUGACUCCUUCCCAGUCAGAUACCUUGGGUUGCCUCUUGGUGCUAACCCAAAUAGGCUCUCCACUUGGAAACCGGUAUUGUCCACAAUCAGAGCAAAGUUAAGCAAAUGGAAAGGAAGUUUUUGAGCAUGGCUGGAAGGAUAUGUCUUAUUAAAUCUGUCUUAAACUCUCUACCUCUAUACUAUAUGUCGGUCUUUACUAUGCCAAAGGGCAUUGCAAAAGCAAUAUCCUCAAUCAACCAUUGUUUUCUCUGGAAGGGCUCCUCAAAUUCACAUGGUACUCAUCUUAUGAAAGUACCGGCCAUAUUUUACAAAUGGCUUUCCUGUGUUUGCAGGUUCUUUAUCUCCAACUUGGCGUAGCAUGGUAUCUGCAAUUUCCUUAAACCACAGCAUAGCCGCUCCCAUCCAAUCCAAUGUUGGGUUCAAGGUGGGUGAUGGGAGAAACAUCAGGUUUUGGUCUGAUUCUUGGCUAGGCUAUGCAGCCCCUCUCAAGUUCAUGUUUCCUAGGCUCUACAACCUCUCCCUACAGCAAUCCUUAAGGGUUGCAGAAGUUCAUAACCCAACAGAUAAGUCAAUCAAUCUUUCUUGGAGAAGACCCCUUCGAUCCCGAGAACUCUGCAUGUGUGAAAGCUUGAUAGCAGAAGUGGAACGUGGCCUAGUCUUCUCUGAUGAUGAAGUCAACAAGAUUUGGAAACACCAUAGCUCCAACAAUUACACAGUCUCCUCUAGGUGCCAUCUCUUUGACGGUUUUAAUGUUUCAGGACAUCUUCACUCCUCUGUUUUGCUUUGGAAAGGGUUUGCGCCUCCAAAAAUAGAUGUGUUCAUAUGGCUUCUUUUCAAUGGGAGUGUCUGCACAAAGGGUUUCUUAGCUGAGAAGAGAAUCAUCAAUUAUGAGGAAGCUCUUUGUCCUUUUGUUGCAAGGAGAUUGAGACUAUACAUCAUCUCUUCCAUCUUUGUCCAGAAUCAUGGUCUCUUUGGGGCAGACUAUUUAGUUGGUUUGGGUGUGUAGGUUGUCUGCCAAAAGACCCAUAUCAUAACCUUCAGGAAUGGUCCAACAUGGUAAAAGGAAAAUUUCAGCGUCAGGCAAUUACCCUUCUCUGUAAAGGAUUAUACUGAUCAAUUUAGAUAGCGCGCAACCACAUGAUCUUUACCAACAAAACUCUAGACUGGGAUGUGAUUUUUGACCUCACCUUUCAUCGGUUGGCCUUUUGGUUGAAGUCAUUUGUUAAAAACUUCAGCUAUACAGGCUCUGAUCUUUAUAGGAAUCCUGAAUGUAUCAUGAACUGGACUAACUAGUCAGGUCUAUAGAUUCCUUGUUUUCUUAAUGUUUUUUAAUUCUCAAUGUAAUCUUCCUUAGCAGCCCUCAUCUCCUUAAUGGGGGCGUAUUAUUUAUAAUAUUCUCGAUUACUAUAAAAAAAAAAAACACAAACCUAUGUUUCAGCAAGAUGCUGAAAAAAAUUUCCUUCAAACUGAAGCUUCACGACAUAUAGGGUUUGUUGGUAUGGAUGCUACCAGCCUUGUCGAGUGCCUCAUGGAUGUGGUAGGGUUUCUUUCUUCUCUCUCUGUUUAAGUUUUUAAACAUUAACUCAUUUAAUCUAAUGAUGUUAUCAAGUUUGGAACGCAAAGGAUAGUUGUUUUUCUUAUUUUGAUAAACAGAAGCAAUGGUCAUCAGUUUUUUCUAAUAUCGUCUCAAGAACAACUGUACUUGGAGUCUUGUCAAGAGGAGUAGCUGGGAACUACAACGAAACGUUACAAGUGGUAAUUUAGUUCAUCAAGCUGUUUCAGUAUCAUCAUCCCCUUAUAUUAGUGAAAUGGAUUCUAAAUGCCAAUGGAAUGCAAUAUUGUUGAUUUCAUUAGUUAGAAUUGAGUUCAUACUUGCAAUGGGAGCUUCUAUACUACACCAUGAAACGUAAAUAAUCGCAAGGAGUCUUCAAGUAUCAUUGGAUGUUCGAUGAAACUAGUAAACUGUCUGGAAAUUAUACUGACAGAUUCAACAAAACAAAAAAAAUUGUUUACAGGUACCCUUUGGAUACUUUAAUGUUUUUUUUAGGAAUCUUCAAGUAACUCAAGCAUUGAUUGCGAAUAAUACCCUUAUGAUCUGUUGCAAUUAUAUGUAUUGGUAUGUGGGGGACAGUGUAGUUCUUCCAACCAACAAAAUGUGCAUAUGAAUAAUCGAUUUCAUAAGAUGUUCUCAAUGCAAUGCUUUACAGAUGAAGGCAGAGUUUCAUAUGCCUACACCACUUGUUAAUAUUCGAGAGAGUCAGUUUGCAAGGUAUUGUAAGCAGAUAGGGCCUGGAACUUGGGGAGUUGUUGAUGUAUCCUUGGACAGUCUAUUCCCUUAUCCACUAGUAAUUUUUCGGAGAAGACCAUCAGGUUGUUUAAUCGUAGAAAUACCGGAUGGAUACUCUAAGGUGAUUACAUGUGCCAAUUGGAAAAGCAUCCCUUUCUGUAGUUUACUUGAAUUAAGCCUCCUAUUAAUUAUAUUUCCAUGUUCUUGUCUUCAUCAAAUUCUGCAGGUUAUUUGGGUUGAGCAUGUGGAAGUCGACAAUAAAUUUGUCCAUACAAUGUUUUGGCCAAUUGUUCUCCCUGGUUUUGCAUUUAGCGCCAUGCGUUGGGUUGCCAGCAUAGUCCGACUUUGUGAGCCAGUUGGGAAUAUAAUCUCUACUUCCCUUGACAGUGGUAAAAACAUUUCAUUUUCUUCUGACUUUAAGCAACAUAUAUAUUGGUUAACCUGUUACAGUUUUGGUUUGAUAUUGCACAGCAACAAUACCCCGAAAUGGGAAAACAAGUGUGUUGAGGCUUAUUCAAAUAUGCUAUAAACAUAUCCGAAACUUCAACUAUAUGAACCACACAUUAACAAAGAAAAGAUUUCUUGAUUAUGCAGUCUGCUCCGAACCGGAUAGAAAUCUUGUACUUGCAAGAAAGUUGUUGUAACCCAUUUUUGGGUCCCCAUAAAAAAAAUAAUAAAUAAAAAAAAAAAAAAAAAAAUAUGUGCGCAGUACUGGUCGCAGUAACCCGUAGAUUAAUUCUCUGGUUACUGUACACACAGUAACCCGGUUACUAUGUGCACAGUAACCAGCCCAUGCAAAAAAAAAAAAAAAAAAAGGGCUAAACGGUGCCGUUUUGAACGGCACUGUUCCCCUUUCUUCCCCGCCUAACAUACAGCAGUAAAGAAGGAAAAAAGAUGUAUAUUUAAUGGCGUUGGUCCCUCCAGCCCACCGACCGCCGGUCCCUCUAGCCCACCGACCGAAGACAUUGGCCGACCGCCUACCGCACCGCCGAAACUGAGGGAGGCACGCCUGGACAGCCACGCCCGACCAGCCGCCGCAUGACCCCACGAUGAAAAAAAAAAAAAAACACAUGCUCACGGGCUAUAAAUGGAGGAGAAGAGAAGAGAAGAGAGGGGGAGAGAAGAAAGCAGAAGAAGAAGAAGCAGAGAAGAGAGUCCAACAUCACCACCGCAGGUAGCCUUUCCCGUCGUUUUUCUGUUCUGCAUGCAGAUGAAAGAUUAAUUAGCGAACUCGCUAAUUAAUUCACGGUUACUGUGCAUGUGCACAGUAACCCGCAGAUUAAUUCUCUGGUUACUGUACACACAGUAACCCGGUUACUAUGUGCACAGUAACCAGCCCAUUCUUUGGGCCAGGUUCGGCCCAACCCAUAUAUUUGGGCCUGAUCCGGCCCAUUUCAAAGAAAAAAAUCAAAAAAUAUUUGUUUCAGCAUUUUAUAAUUUUUCCGCGUAAUUUUUAUGUCAUUUUGAUUAAUAUUUGGUGGUAUUUUUUUAUGUUGUUAAAAAUACAAAAAUCUGAUUUUUAAAUACCCGGUUUUCGUCAAAAACUUCCACAAAAUACAAAAAAAAUUAAAAAAAAAAAGUUUUUGUGCAUACGGCCAAGUGUCUCAAAGCUAAAAAUUUAUGUUGUAUUUUUUCAUACACCAAAACAAAAUGUUUUAGCAUGCAUUUUGGCUUUAAUAACCAGUUUAUUAAAGUCAAGAGAAUAUUGGCCAAUAUUUCAAAAACAACAAAAAUUUUAUUUUGUUUGUCUCUUAGUAUCCGGGGUAUGACUUUACACGUAAUGCAUAUUCCGGAUAUUUAAUUCUUUUUUUUUUUUGGACAAUAGAACCUGGGGUAUGACAUUACAUGUAAUGCGUAUUCCGAACAAUAAAAAACCACAACACGACCUUAGAUUUUAUCAGACAUUAAAACAAUGCAGCUUACCUUAGGUAGGGCGUAGUUGGGGUGCUAAUACCUUCCCUUUACGCAACCAGUCUCCGUACCCGAUCUCUAACGACCAGUUAAGGUUCCUAGUAACCAGAAUACUAGGUGGCGACUCCCAGUCCAUAUUUUCACUUGUAGAGACAAGAAUUCCUUGUCUCUCCAUUUUUUCUUAAGGAAUAAAUAUUUCCGAUUUUUUCCAUGAGGGUGGACGAUCGCCGCGCCGCCGCACACGUGCGACAGAAUGGCGACUCCAUUGGGGACUUUGUGGACUAAGCUUUGUUUUUGUCUGAUGAUUGUGUUUUUUUGUUGUGGUUUGCGUGUUUAUUUUGAAAUAUGCAUUUUCUUUAUAUAUUUGUUCAUAUUUAGUUGUUCGCUUUAAUUUUUGUACAUAUUUAUCUCAUGCAUCACAUAGUUAAUUUUUUUUAAGCACACACAAGCUUCAGGUUAGGGGGGAACUAGCAGCUUACCUUAUGACUUUUAGUCAAGGUUUAAGUUUGUGUAAACCCCAACUCUUCGUUGAGUGCUUAGACUGGUAAUAGUUGGACACGUGCCAUCUCACUGCCUACAAGCCCCCAUAUUGCCUCCACGAGGGCGAUCACUGGGACAACGAGAGUCCUUUUUUAGAGACCAAAUAGUAAACCUACCUUUUGUCUCACUUAAAAAGAUUAGAACCUGCCUUUAGGAUGUAUGCUCCGUAUACAUUGUUUUGCAUCCGAGCAAGCCCUUCUUGAAGCAUCUUGAACUCCAGACUUAUGGGUGACACAAUGACCGUCGCUCAGAAAAUUUUCAUUGUAGAGUUUGUGCAAGAAUCAAGAUUCUUGUUUCAUCAUACAAGAGUUGCGACCAUAUGUCACCCCUCGAAGGGCGAGUUCGUCAUAUAGAUUACAUGUUCAUACAUUUAACAUGCAUACAUGUCAGAUUGAAAUAUAGGUCCCCAAAAAGUCUACAACACCCGACUUCGAGCAAGAAACAUGGAAGAUGAAGAGCGUGCUCAACGUGAUGCCUAUUUGCACGAGGAGUUGGAGUCUCUGAAAAUAAGUGUGGCUCACCUCACUAGCUUACUCAAGCAAACACUAAGAAAUACCUCUGAUGAAGGUCCUUCUAAUCAACCGAUCACCUUUGAUCCGGCUCCUACUUCAGUUCAGCCUGAGGAAAGAAUGAGCGAACAUGGUCAAGAACCUCAGCAAAAUCCAACAUUUGUGCAGUCAACGACACCUGCACCAUCCCCAACAGUUGUGAAGGCAUCUGCUAAUGAGUCCCACAAGGCUAAGUCAUCUGAUAGCAUUGAUCAAGCUAAGAUAGAGGCGCUGGAAGCCAGACUCAAAGCCAUUGAAGGGGUAGACUUAUAUGACCCGGUACGGGCAGCAGAGAUGUGUUUGGUCCCAAACGUGGUUAUCCCAAAGAAAUUUCGUGUUCCUGAAUUCAUCAAAUACAGUGGAACACAAUGCCCCAUGACUCAUCUCAGGUCCUACUGCAAUAAAAUGGCUGAGGUAGUACAUGAUGAAAAACUACUAAUGCACUUUUUCCAAGACAGUUUAAGUGGGGCAACUUUGAGUUGGUACAUGAGAUUGGAUAACACAAAAAUUCGCAACUGGAAAAAUCUUGUGGAUGCUUUCGUCAAGCAAUACAAAUACAACAUGGACAUUGCGCCCGACAGAACCAGUUUGUCCAAUAUAGAGAAAAAGGAUAAAGAAAGCAUAAGGGAAUAUGCUCAAAGAUGGCGAGAAUUAGCUGCUCAAGUACAUCCCCCACUUCUGGACAAAGAGAUGGUCUCUUUAUUUGCCAACACACUCAAAGCACCAUAUUACGAACAUAUGAUGGGUAGUUCAGCCCAACAAUUCACUGAUGCCGUGAUAGUGUGUGAACGCAUAGAGCAAGGUGUCAAGAGUGGUAGAAUUUCUGCACCAACCGAGAAAAGAGGCUUCGAAAGAAAAGAGGUUCACCAUGUUGAAGAUGGCUACAUGGGUAAAAAUAAUACAUCCCAAAAUUACCAUACUCCAUCCCAAAUUGCCAACAUCCAAAAACCUAAACCCCAAAACUUUCAAGCCAAAAGCCAAAUUGGAAAUUUCCAAAGGGUUCAAGAACAACUGCCUCCACUACCAUUACCCCUGAAUGAGAUGUAUCAAAAGCUAUUGAGCAUUGGGCAAAUAGCUCCAGAACCUCUAACACCUCUGCAGCCACCUUAUCCUAAUUGGUACAAGCCAGAACUCAAAUGUGAAUACCAUGCCGGUAUUACUGGGCAUAGCAUCUAUACCUGCAACGCCUUCAAGAGAAAGCUUCUGCAAUUAAUCAAGGCUGGUUGGAUAGAGUUGGAAGACACCCCCAAUGUGAAUACGAACCCGCUGCCUAAUCAUGCUUGAAGCAUAUUAGGAUGGAAUGUUUGGGGAAUUGGAAAGCAUCAAUGGUCCAGCAUGAUAGCUUGAAUUUUUGACCGUGGUGUUGUUCCGCAUUGUCUUUGAGUCCUCUACGCAGAGCUUUUGAGAAGAGUUUAGCCUAUGAACAGAUUCGCCAAAAUAGAGGAAUGAAGCCUGCCUUGUUAUUUCCUUUUGUUAAUGCUUUUGAAUAAGACUUUCUCUGUUAAUGAGCUUCUCUUGUGAAAUAAGAUCAUGCGUUUUCUUGUGUUCACAUCACACUCUUCUUUGUUGUUAUUACAUGUAAAUAACAUUUUGAGCGCAACUUUGCUCACAACACUACAACAUGAAGAAUCCUUUGGUGUUCCUUUCUUCCAAACCCAUACAUUAAUCUCAUAUGUUUUCAAGGAUAUUUUUUGGGACCUCCAAAGUGAGUACAAAAAAAAAAUCGUGUUGAUAUUUGUCCAAAACAAAUGCAUUUUGAAAAUUCAAGUGAUUCCUUAAAUAGGUACACAUAUACCUAGAAAACUUGAAAGAAAAAAAGACAAUAAAGACAAACAACACUAUGAGGUGACUCAAAAGCUGAGUUUUAUUUGACUGAAUAAAUCACUUUGCAUACGCGCAUGAAAGCAAGACCUAUCGAUCCUCAUGCAGUUUGAGAUGAGGAAAGGCCAUCUUUGAUAAUCCUUUCACAAGCUGAAAUAUAUCCUUUGCAGUCCCAUUUGAGCCUAGUAUUUUUUGGAAAUAACCUUGACUAGGAUCACACCCCACACUGGGGGCAAAAUAAGAGAGUUUGUUGUUUUUAUCAUCCAAAUGAAACAGUGAAGAUAAAUACUGCGAUUGGUUAAAAGAUUUGAGCUUCUCAUAAAACAACUGAUAUGAUUGUUCUCAACGAAACAAAAACGAAGAAAACAAAGAGAAAAGCCCAAACCCGACACUGGGGGGCAGGACAAACUUUUUUAAAAAUAAAAAAAACAAUCCAAAAGAAAGGUCAGGAAACAAGCACAAGUGAUCCUAGUUUUUGAAAUCCCUUAAACACUUUUUGAGCCUGCAACAUAUCCAUUUUCUUCGUAACCAAUAGCCAAAGCCUACAUUACAUACCUGAUAAAGCCCUUUCUGAUCAAAGGCAAGCAAUCUGGAUCGUAUGCAGUCUCACAUGCGAGUCAAAUAAUUAUUCAUGCAAAUAAAAUAAAUGCUUUGAAUCGAUUUCGGUUCUCAAUAACCCUCAAAUUGAAAUUUAAACCUUUUGUGACCAACCAGAUGUCACUUCAUCUUUAAACCAAAAGCAAAAAGCUUUCAUCACUUCAAGAAACCUGUCCAUAGGAAUCACUUGAAUUUUCUAGAACAAGUUUAUUUUGAACCAAUGUCAAAAUCAUUUUUGUGAUUGGAAUAGCUUGGACGUUCCAAAAAUUUUGCAUGAAAACAUUUCAUUGUACCAAAAACCCACUUUCACAUAUCCUCACCCCAAAUUAAACCCAAGUUGAACACUUGGUGGGCAUGAUCAAGCUGGGGGGCAAUCAAAAACACAUGGUAGGGCUGGCUCCAUGAUUCCUGUUCUAAGGAAAAUGUCAGGCAAAAUUGGUAACUCUUGAGAUAAUGGGUGAAGGACAAAGAUGUAUGAUGACAUCAAACCCUUCCCAGAGGUCAAGAUCACAAGAUGUAACCCGAGUAAGCAAAAGUGGAAAAGCCAUCAAAGUUUACUACCAAUACUACAACUUUUGAGAGAAAAGAAAGACACCAUGAAGAAAUGGGGGCCUAUAUUUCUCAGGUAAGUAUACAUGCAUAUCAAUCAUAAUGCAUUUGCUUUUCAACAUUGACAAUCAUUGUUUCAACAUCAUCUUUUAGGUAGUGCGUUUUAUAACCCUACCUCCGUUUGAGUGCGCCUUUGAGCCCUCACCUCCAUUUUGAGUGCGCCUUUGAGCCCUCAUCCCUUGGGUAGUGUGUUUUCUAACCCUACCUCCUUUUGAGUGCGCCUUUGAGCCCUCACCUCCUUUUGAGUGCGCCUUUGAGCCCUCAUCCCUUGGUAGUGCGUUUUCUAACCCUACCUCCUUUUGAGUGCGCCUUUGAGCCCUCAUCCCUUUGGUAGUGCGUUUUCUAACCCUACCUCCAUUUUGAGUGCGCCUUUGAGCCCUCAUCCCUUUGGUAGUGCGUUUUCUAACCCUACCUCCUUUUGAGUGCGCCUUUGAGCCCUCACCUCCAUUUUGAGUGCGCCUUUGAGCCCUCAUCCCUUUGGUAGUGCGUUUUCUAACCCUACCUCCUUUUGAGUGCGCCUUUGAGCCCUCACCAACAUUUUUCUGGGUAGGUCACCCAUUACAAUGCGACCAAUUCUCCAUGUUUUAUAUCUGGGUAGGUCACCCAUUACAAUGAGACCACACUUCACAUUCUUUCCUUUUUUUCGGGUUAAAGGGGAUUGGCGAAAGGAAUAUCAGUUUAGCCCAACCAUACACAGGACUUUGGGUCCGAUUGAAGUUUUAGGUCAAUCAAAUUUUGAGACGACCAGUUUCGGAAGACCAAUGUUUUUUUUCUUUACAACACUUACUAUGCACAAAUCUUUGCUCCGUAAGCAUUGUAAAGAGGGGGGCAACUGUUGUAACCCAUUUUUGGGUCCCCAUAAAAAAAUAAUAAAUACAAAAAAAAAAAAAAAAUGUGCGCAGUACUGGUCGCAGUAACCCGUAGAUUAAUUCUCUGGUUACUGUACACACAGUAACCCAGUUACUAUGUGCACAGUAACCAGCCCAUGCAAAAAAAAAAAAAACAGAAAAAGGGCUAAACGGUGCCGUUUUGAACGGCACUGUUCCCCUUUCUUCCCCGCCUAACAUACAGCAGUAAAGAAGGAAAAAAGAUGUAUAUUUAAUGGCGUUGGUCCCUCCAGCCAACCGACCGCCGGUCCCUCCAGCCCAUGACCCCACGAUGAAAAAAAAAAAAAAAAAAAACACAUGCUCACGGGCUAUAAAUGGAGGAGAAGAGAAGAGAAGAGAGGAGGGAGAGAAGAAAGCAGAAGAAGAAGAAGCAGAGAAGAGAGUCCAACAUCACCACCGCAGGUAGCCUUUCCCGUCGUUUUUCUAUUCUGCAGGCAGAUGAAAGAUUAAUUAGCGAACUCGCUAAUUAAUUCACGGUUACUGUGCAUGUGCACAGUAACCCGCCGAUUAAUUCUCUGGUUACUGUACACACAGUAACCCGGUUACUAUGUGCACAGUAACCAGCCCAUUCUUUGGGCCAGGUUCGGCCCAACCCAUAUAUUUGGGCCUGAUCCGGCCCAUUUCAAAGAAAAAAAUCAAAAAUAUAUUUGUUUCAGCAUUUUAUAAUUUUCAGCGUAAUUUUUAUGUCAUUUUGAUUAUAUUUUGGUAUUUUUUUAUGUUGUUAAAAAUACAAAAAUCUGAUUUUUAAAUACCCGGUUUUCGUCAAAAACUUCCACAAAAUACAAAAAAAAUUAAAAAAAAAAAAAAUGUUUUUGUGCAUACGGCCAAGUGUCUCAAAGCUAAAAAUUUAUGUUGUAUUUUUUCAUACACCAAAACAAAAUGUUUUAGCAUGCAUUUUGGCUUUAAUAACCAGUUUAUUAAAGUCAAGAGAAUAUUGGUCAAUAUUUCAAAAACAACAAAAAUUUUAUUUUGUUUGUCUCUUAGUAUCCGGGGUAUGACUUUACACGUAAUGCAUAUUCCGGAUAUUUAAUUCUUUUUUUUUUUUUGGACAAUAGAACCUGGGGUAUGACAUUACAUGUAAUGCGUAUUCCGAACAAUAAAAAACCACAACACGACCUUAGAUUUUAUCAGACAUUAAAACAAUGCAGCUUACCUUAGGUAGGGCGUAGUUGGGGUGCUAAUACCUUCCCUUUACGCAACCAGUCUCCGUACCCGAUCUCUAACGACCAGUUAAGGUUCCUAGUAACCAGAAUACUAGGUGGCGACUCCUAGUCCAUAUUUUCACUUGUAGAGACAAGAAUUCCUUGUCUCUCCAUUUUUUCUUAAGGAAUAAAUAUUUCCGAUUUUUUCCAUGAGGGUGGACGAUCGCCGCGCCGCCGCACACGUGCGACAAAAGUUACAGCCAACCAACUGGAUCCUAUGUUGUUUAUGCUCCAAUAGACAUUCUUACUAUGGGCAUGAUGCUGGGUGGUGGAAAUUCAGAUCUUGUUAAUAUUUUGCCAUCAGGUUUUGUGAUACAUCCUGAUGGACCACUAAGGAAUGGAGAGGAAACUAGAGGAAGUCUUCUCACCCUUGCCUUUCACAUUAUGGAUGGUUCAUCCACGGAGGACUAUCUUCCUGCUGCUGAUUCUGUUAAUACCAUUCAGAAAAUCCUCACAGAAACUGCAGAAGAAAAAUUGAAUUUGCAGAGAUUGUUUUGGAGAAAGAGGACAGAACAACAAUUGUGUUGUUUGUUUUAUUAACGUGAGCACUAUAAUUCCUUUCUCUUAGAUUACAACUGAAUGAGUUUUUCUUAUGUAUUUAUAUAGGUAUACAUUACAUCUCUACUUUAUCUACAUGGAUAAGGAAGACGAGUCUUAUCCUUAUCCUUGUGGAUGAUCUUUUCCAUUGUGCAUAAGAAUUCUGCUCUUGUGUGCUUCCUAGAUAGAAUUUGAUUGUAUAUCAAUCACUCUUGUGGCUGCUGUUUCCUUAUCAAAUUAGACUCCCAUGUUGGCUAGAGUUUGUUGCCUUUUUGAACUUCUUUCUCUCCUAACAUUUAUCCACUAAUUCUGGGGAUGUUGCUGACAGCAGAGUGUGAGUGUUCAUCCUUAUUUCUCCCAUAUUCUUGAGUCACCUUAUCACUCCAUCUACUCACACCAUAGUUACUGUCGUCAGAGUGUCUGCUGCUAACACUCUCCCUCGAACUAUGCUUGGGAUGAAGGCAUAGUUUGUUUUGAAAACUUGUGAGGGCUGCCUUUGACAUUGGCUUUGUGAAGAGAUCUGCAACUUGUUCAUUAGUGGAGAUAUGUUUGGUGAUCAGUUGUCCAAGGGCAACUCUCUCUCGCACAAAAUGAUAGUCUAAUUCGAUAUGUUUGCUUCUGGCAUGGAAGACAGGAUUGAUUGUCAUAUGAAGAGCACUGAGAUUGUCACAAUAGAGUGUUGGAGGAGAUGUCAUUGGAAUGUGGAGAUCUUUUAGAAUAAAAGUUAACCAUGUAAGCUCAGCUGUUGUAUUGGCCAUUGCACGAUAUUCGGCUUCAGUGCUAGAAUGCGAUACUGUAUGUUGCUUCUUUGCACACCAGGAAAUGAUGUUUUUACCCAUAAAAACACAAUAUCCUGUGGUGGAACGUCUAGUAGUGAGGCAUCCUGCCCAAUCAACAUCUGAAAAGGCAGAAAGAUCAAGUGAAGUAUUUGCAAAAAAAUGUAGACCUAUGUUAAGUGUCCCUUUCACAUAUCGUAGAAUUCGUCUAACCAUUUUUAGAUGUGUCAUUGUUGGUGCAUGCAUGAAUUGUGACACAUAAUUAACACUAUAUGAAAGGUCUGGCCGUGUGAGAGUGAGAUACUGUAGUGAUCCAACUAAUCCUCUAAAAUAGCUAGGGUCUUCUACAGGGAUAUCAGUUAAGGAGGUUUUUGUUUUUGCUUCAAGAGGUGUGCUCAUAGGUUUACAAUCUGUCAUUGUAACACGUUCAAGUAUAGUCAAUGCAUAGUGUGACUGGGAUAAGUGGAGUCCACUCCUUGUUUUGCAUAUUUCAAUUCCAAGGAAGUGAUGAAUAGGUCCCAAAUCUUUCAUGGAAAACUCGCCACUUAGGAGUUGAAUGAAGUUGCUGACAAGGGCCUCUAUAGAUCCUGUGAGCAACAUAUCAUCUACAUAAAGUAAAAGUACUAGCAAGCCAUGUUCAGAAUGAAAGAUAAAUAAAGAUGGAUCAGCUAGGCUACAGAUAAAUCCAUAUUCAAGAAGAAAAGUGCUGAAACGAUCAAACCAGGCACGUGGAGCUUGUUUGAGACCAUAGAGAGCCUUCUGUAAUUUGCAGACAUAUUCUGGAUGUUGUGAGUCUGCCAUUCCCGGUGGUUGCUCCAUGUAUAUAUCUUCAGUGAUGUUACCAUGCAAGAAUGCAUUCUUUACGUCAAGUUGUCGAAUAGGCCAUCCUUGAAUUAGUGAUGUACUGAUAAUCAUUCGUAUGGUGCCCGGUUUGAAAACUGGAGAGAAGGUUUCAGUGUAGUCAAUUCCACUAAUCUGAUGAUACCCUUUUGCAACAACACGAGCCUUUAGUCUGUCUAAGGAUCCAUCGGGUUUCAGUUUUGUCUUAAACACCCAUUUAGAGCCAAUUAUAUGUAGGUCCGGGGUGCGUGGAACAAGGGUCCAUGUCUGAUUUAGCUGUAGGGCAGCAAAUUCUUCUUCCAUUGCAGUUUUCCAACCAAGAUGAGCUGUUUGAACAUUUUGUGGUUCCCUAGGUACACUUUGAGAAGCUAUGGAUGUCAAGGCAUACUUUGGAUUUGGUUUUACAACUCCACGUUGAAAUCGUGUAACCAUAGUGUGAGAGUCUUGUCCUUGAGGCUGAUGUAGAAUUGUUGAUGUAGGCUCUGCUCGUGAGGAUUUUGCAUGUUCUGUUGAUUGGGAACGAGUGAUCAUUGGGUGAUGAGUUGUAGCUGCCUUGGAUGCUAUUUUUGCAGGGUCUGUUGUGGAGACUGUCACGACUGGGGCAGAGUCUGUUAUUGCUGAAGAAUCUGCUGUUGUAGGAUCUGUUAUUAUCCCUGUUGCUGUGAGAUUUGUUGCAACAUCUGUUAUGGAUUCUAGCAUUGCUUCUGCUGUAAACUUUGUUGCUGCUUCAGAGCUUGUUUCUGCUGCUACACGAUCUGUUACAGGAUACAAUGUUACUAUUGUCCCUGUUGUAGGAUAGCUUUCCUGUUCUUGUAGAUACAUAUCUUCAGCUGACUGCUCUCCCUCAACCUGUGGUGGUGCAGGAGACCCCGCUGGUUGUAGUCUGCUGUCUUGGGGAAGCUGUAUGGCAGGUGUAUUUUGCUCUGUGUAAUUCCUGGCAGAGGGCUGCAACUUGGGGUUGUUUCCUUGUUCUCUAUAUUUCCUGAAACACUUUGAGAAAUGUGAGGUAUCCAUGUGUCAAAGAUUUUAAAUGUAUGUGAUGAUGGCUGAAUGGUGGUUGAUGGUUUGUAUGGAAACAUUGUUUCAUCAAAGACAACAUGACGUGAGACUAAUAUUUUUUUGCUGGGUGGAUGAUAGCACUUGUACCCUUUAUGUGCUGUGCUGUAACCAAUGAACACACAGAGAAUUGUUUUUGGAUCAAACUUGUGCCCUCGUGUGUCCCAUGUAUAUGAAAAGCAUUUUGAGCCAAACACACGUAAUGAAGAAUAGUCCGGGUGAGAACCAUGCAUUUUGAAAUAUGGAGUUUCUGAGUUUAGUGUAGAUGAAGACAACCUAUUUAGGAGAUGUACUGCUGUUGUAAAUGCUUCUACCCACAAAAAUAAGGGUACUCCACUAUGGAAUAACAUAGUCAUUCCUAAUUCUCGUAUAAUCCUGUGUCGUCUCUCUACGAUACCUGUUUGUUCAGGUGUAUAUGGACAUGAAAUUUGAUGGAUAAUACUGAUGUAUGGAAAUGAGAUGUAAGCUUGGAGUUGACAAAUUCUCCACCUCCAUGAGUGGAAAAUUUUAAUCUUUUUGUUGAACUGCAGGUUAACAUAUUGCUCAAAGGCAAAAUAUUCAUUCACAAAAUCAGACUUAUGUCGCAAGGGUAUAAUCCAUGUAUAUUUCGAAAAAUCAUCUACUAAACAUGCAUAAUAUCGAAAUUUAUCAAUGGAUAAAACUGGAGAAGGUCCCCAUAAGUCACAAUGAAUUUUAUCAAAAAUACCAGUGCUAGAAUUUUCCGAACAUGAGAACGGUAAUCUACUCAAUUUUCCUAAUUGACAACUAUCACAUAGAUGCUUGGAUUUCAAUGUUCCCGUUACAUCUAUCAAGCCCUUAUUUUUCAACAAUUGUAAAGCUAAGAAUUGUGGGUGUCCUAGACGCUGGUGCCACACUUCAGCAGAACCUGUUCUAAAUCUAGUUGAGAAAUAUAGUUCUGGUGAAGUCGGAAGGACAUAAAGAUCACCCUUGCGAGUCCCUGUUAUUACUGGUUGUCCUAUCUUUCGUUCCUUGACACAAAAAUCAACGUUAGAAAACUCACAGUUUACAGGAAAUUGCUUAGUCAAUUGACUUACCGAUAGUAAAUUUUUCGUUAGCGUAGGGACUAAUAAGACAUCUCGAAGAGGUAAAGCAAUUUUCUGCUGUUUAAUUUGUGUAUCCCCAAUACCAAGGAUUGGUAUUGAGGAUCCAUUUCCUAUAAUUACAGAGUCAGCUCCCUUAUAUUUACGAAGGUUGGUUAACAUACCUGAUUGUCCUGUUAUAUGGUUGGAGGCACCUGUAUCGGUUGUCCAUUCUGUUUCUGCUAAAGUGUUGUCCAUAGUUAAAGCUGCAAGUGCGUGUGGGAUUUCUUCAUUGUUGAAAGAUUUCUUCGGUAUCCACCAACAUAUCUUGGCAAUGUGGCCUUCUGUCCCACAAUAUUGACAUUUUUCAUUGCGAAAAUUGUCUCUUUCUGUUUGUGUCAUCCGGCGUUCUCCUGGAGGUGGAGGACGUCGUUGUGUGUCUGCUGUGGUGGGGAUUCUAUUGUGUUCCCUGUAUUGUUGUGCUUGGAAGCCUCUCCCAUUUGAAGUGAAUUUUGAUGUGUUACCACGAUAGAUUGAGGAUGGUUGUUGAGAGCGUUGUUGACGAUGUUGUCCAUAGAAAGCAAGUUGUUGAUGACUCUGUGUGUGUGCAAUAUCUGUUCGAGACAAAAACCAGCUGCGUCUCUGAUCAAAGUUCUGAAGAUGGGAUACUAGUUCUGGAUAGGUUGGUCUUGGGGGUUUCAGCAUAGUUGUGGUGAAGGUUUCAUAUUGUGGACCAAGGCUUGUGAGGAGACAGAACACCUUUUCUUUGUCAGGAACUGGUUUUCCUAUUGCAGCAAGACUAUCACACAAGCUUUUGAAUCUGCAAAUGUGUUCAUCCAUGUUUUUGUCUUCUUGUUUGCGGAAGUAUGUCAUCUGUGGCGAAGAGUAAACUCUCUUUCUUGAGAGUCUUUUGCAUAGGCAUUCUUGAGUGCUUCCCAGACAUCAUAUGUUGUUUCUACUCCAACAACAAUGCUAAGGGCUUCUUCUGAUAGAGUGCCAAUGAUCCAUCCUCGUAGAAGUCGAUGACUUGCGCCAGGAGAUGUAUUCAUUAGAUAGCAUUGGUGUAGAGUGUUCUGUGUUGGUGGCUAAAUCUUGUGUGGUAUAUUUGGUGGGGGAUGGUUCUUCAUCUGUAAGGUGGCCGACAAGUUCCUGGCUUUCUGCUAGUGCCAGUGCUUGUUCACGCCACAAAGGGUAAUUUGUUGGAUUUAGCUUAGAGUAAUGAAGUUACCAACAUUGAGAGAAAGUGAGGUCAUUGUGUUGUUUGGCUAGAAUGUGCUCACACAAGCUCUGAUACCAAAAGAAAAAUUGAAUUUGCAGAGAUUGUUUUGGAGAAAGAGGACAGAACAACAAUUGUGUUGUUUGUUUUAUUAACGUGAGCACUAUAAUUCCUUUCUCUUAGAUUACAACUGAAUGAGUUUUUCUUAUGUAUUUAUAUAGGUAUACAUUACAUCUCUACUUUAUCUACAUGGAUAAGGAAGACAAGUCUUAUCCUUAUCCUUGUGGAUGAUCUUUUCCAUUGUGCAUAAGAAUUCUGCUCUUGUGUGCUUCCUAUAGAUAGAAUUUGAUUGUAUAUCAAUCACUCCUGUGGCUGCUGUUUCCUUAUCAAAUUAGACUCCCAUGUUGGCUAGAGUUUGUUGCCUUUUUGAACUUCUUUCUCUCCUAACAUUUAUCCACAAAUUCUGGGGAUGUUGCUGACAGCAGAGUGUGAGUGUUCAUCCUUAUUUCUCCCAUAUUCUUGAGUCACCUUAUCACUCCAUCUACUCACACCAUAGUUACUGCCGUCAGAGUGUCUGCUGCUAACAACUGCAACUUUGAUCAAGACAGCUCUUUUAUCUGACAAUCUAUAAAACAGCUCACCAUCCGGCCGGCACACAUAAAUCGAAACGCGUAACUAUCCACACUGUUGGUAAGGCUUAAUAUAGCUGAUUUUUGGAUAAUUAACUGAUCAUCCAAAUUUUUAAUGGUUCAAGUUCUUUGAACCUCUUAGGGCCUAGGAUGUUAUGAAACUAUCUAUAUAUGUACUAUGUACGGCUAGCUAGGGUUCGUCGUAAUUGCAAUUCUGAUUCCCUAUAUAAGGAUUUGCACUAAUGAUUAAACUGUCUAAAGAAAUACAUGAGGUUAUAAACGGCUACUGAUUCUGAAAGAAUAUAUGAACUAAGGUUUAUCAAAGCAACCAAAUAUGAUUUGGAACAGCAAUGAUCAUGGACAGUUGGAUUUGAAUUCAUGAUCAUUCCUCCUUCUUGCCAUUAUACUGUUUCACUUGGAACAGUCAACAAAUUCCUUUAUGUUCGGCUUCUUUAGUGCACUUGAUUGGUAAUUUUCCACUACAAAGGGCAUAGUUCAUGGGCGUAUACAAGGAACUUGUCAUAAAAUACAUACAUCUGAUGGAGUUUACAGAAAACUAGCCAUGAUUCUUAAUCUUUGGUGCCGUUUGGCUGACCUUUCUUAGCAAUUGCCACUGGGACUUGUACCGACAUUACAUCUAUAUGCAUUUGAAUCCGUGACAAAAAGUACUCGAGUGACAUUCUACGCAUGCUACCAAACACAUUAUAUUCUGUUGAAAUCAUUCAUGUCAUGGUGGAUGAUCGAUCCUAGUAUAUUUUCCUUCUGCCCGUUCCAACUUUUUGACAAAAAUGAAAAUUUGAUUUCUAGUAUUUAUACUAAUUAUCGUGCUCCUGUUGCAGUGGAAAAGAAAGGGAGAAAAAUGUAAAAGGAAAACACACAGCAGAAACGAAAUGAAGGAUGUGAUGACAUCUGCUUAUGGCUGGGGAUUAGGCUGUACGAUAUCCCCAUGUAUGUUGAAUAAAAACUGGGGAGUGAACAUUGAUGCUUUCUGAAAUUUGUGUCUGUGGACCUUAAUUUUGUAUUGACUAGUGUAACUCUUGGUUUUAGAACUGGAACCUGUUUUCACAAUCUGGGAUUUUAGAGACACUGUCUUCUGCUAUUGGAUCCAAUUUUCUUUAAACAUGUUCAUGCAUAUGGUUUAGGGUUUGAAAGAAAUGCUGUCCGAAACCACUAAUCACUCAUUAAUUGCUUUAAACACAUGGGAAUAGACACUUAUACACUAAAAUGGUGUGCAAAUGUAGCACUAAACCUAGGGAAUAUGCAGUUGCAAUAAUCACUCAUCUUCUAGGAAGGAUAUCUGAAAAAGAACAUUCAUGGAAAGGUGGACCUGCAACACAGAGCAAUGCAUGAGUUAAAUGACUUUGCAUUUCAAAAGAGUUGUCACAUGUAUGGAAACUCCAACACUCCAUAAAUAACAUAUCCCAAAGGAUAUCUCUGACCACGUUAUUUGAAAGCAACAGAAUCGUAAUUUGAAACUUUUAAAUUGGGUCCUGUUACCAUAAACUUUUCAAUACAUAAUGGCCAUUUUGACAUAUCUUGCUAAAGCAAUUGAUAGCUUGCCCUGAACAUCUAUACGGAAAUUUCAUUUUUAACCAAUAUAAGCUUCAAGGAUUUACCUACAGAAGAGUAAUAAAAUUUGGAGAUCACUGAAAUGUAGUAAGCAUGAACUCUACGAGCCUCUUACAAACCUGCAUAUAUGAUGAUAUUUUUAUUAUUCAUUUAAUUUGGUCAUAAAUUAAUAUUUCAUCAAUCUAAAGGUAUAAACUACAUAUGCAUUUCCAGGAACAAACAAAUCUUCUUUCCAUCCAACAUCAUGAUGGAAAGAGAUUUUUUUGGAAAACGGAUAUUUUUCCUAAUUAAUUUUCUUUCUUUUUAUUUUUAUUUUUCUAUUUUUUAGUAUGAUUUUUUUCUAUAUAAAUAGAAUAUUUCUUUUCCUAGUUUAUUUUUCCUAUUUAGUGUUAUUAGGGUUUUCUAUAAAAAUUAUAUAGAGUUGUAAUUUAUCCUUUUGGCAAGUGGAUACAUUAAGAAAUAAAAUUAAGUAUUUUGAGAAUAUUUUCAUAUUUAUAUUAUUUUUGGUCUUUAAAAAUUUUAACAUUGUAAAUCCUUCAUACAAAUAUAAAAUAUCAAAUUAUCCCUAAUUAAUCUUAUAGGUAACAUUUGGUUACUAUCUUAAGAAAAAAUAGACAAAGAUCGACAAUGAUAACAGAGGAGACAAAGCAGAAAAAGGAGAUAGAGAUAUAAUAUUGUUUAAUAGUGAUCUAUGAAACAAAGUGAUUGUCUUUGUAUGAUGUUUGGUUAUGAUAGACAAGACAUAAUAAAAUAUAUAAAAAAUUAUUUUUUCAUUAAUAUGUAUUAUUGUCAAAACUUACAUAUUUGAAAAAAAGAACUUGAUAUUAUUCUUUUUACUUAGUUUAUAUUGAGUUUUGAAAUUAAUAAUUUUAUAGUAAUCAUAGUUAUAAAAUUGAGAUUGACCUAGCAGGUCGACCCGAGACCCGACUGACUCGAGGCUUGAAUCAAUCUAAGCUUAAGAAAAAACUAAAGGAAUGAUUAACCCGAUCUACCUCAAUCAAAAACCUUGAUCGACUCACAACCCGUUAGACUCUGGCUAAAACAUAGGUCCAAACCCGUUUACUUUUCUUCGAGAUUUUUUAGGUCAAAAUAAGGUUGCCUUGAUUUUUUUUUCGGUAAACCCAUAUUGACUCUCCUGAUGUAUACCUUGCCUAAUUCCACUCUCAAGUCAGGUUUAAAAUCAUGAUAAUAAUUAUUUUUAUUCAUACGUUGACUCAGAUCAUCCCAAGUUGACCCUUCCAAUCUGUGAUCUAGGUCUUGCUCCUGAUCGACCCUCAAGUCGGGUUUUAAAACUAUAAUAAUAAUAUUAACUUUUAUCCUUACUUUUACCCGGUCAACUAGGUUGACCAUCCCGACCCAUGGCCAAGUUCUUGUCCUAGGUCAACCUCUAACUCAAGUUUUUAAAUUAUGAUAAUAAUAACUUUUAUCUUUAUAUUAACAUGGGUCAAUGGUUAACACAACCAAUGACAAACGGCUUAAAAAUCAGGUUUAAAAACUAUUAUAAUAAUUGUUUUUAUUUUUUAUGUUAACUCAAGUCAACUUGAGCUAAUCCUCCCUACUAAUGCCCUGGAUGUUGUCAUGGAUCGACUUUCAAGUUGAUUUUUAAAACUAUAAUAAUAACAUAUUUUAUCAAUAGAUAUCUUAGUUGAACAAUUUUAUAAAUGAGAAUUUUUUACAAUGAUAGUUUAAGAGUAAAAAAUAAUAAAUAUUAUCUACGAAGGCAUGUUCCUUUUAUACCUUAUAUUUUAAAAAUACAAAAAAUUAUUUAAGAAUUAUCUCAUAAAUAAAUUUAUUUUUAUGUUUUUUUAUCUCUAAUUAAAUAUAUAUUUUUUUUAUGUUAUUUCUGUCUCUUUUGUGACAUGACAAUAACCAAACUCUGAGAAAAAAUAAAAAAACUAUAUUAUCCCCAGUAGCGAAUAGCGAGUUAAUUUAUUUAUUGUUUGUUAAAAUGUUAAUUACACUUUUGCGGUGUGAUUUGUGUCUAAAGAUAAAGUGAAUGAAUCCUCCAUGUCAAUCAGUUUUGUUUUUUUUCUUUUAAUGUACCUCAUCAGGAAACAUUGCGUCAUUUCUUGACAUAAGCAGGGGAAUCAAUGAACAUAUUAGAGUUGCAAAGAAAAAGAACAAUCUUAGAUAGAACGUGCUUAGAAGUAAAACUAUAAUCUCCUUUCCAAAAGCUAAAAGCUAAUCCACAAGAAAGAAGAGUAUUAACAUACAAUCACUGACAUCACGCAAUGAUACAGUGAAAUACACAUUGAGAAGCCACGAUGCCAUCUUGAGUAUUUGCUUUAACCUAUCAGACUGAGGGGUGCUAAUUGCAGCCUGUAAAGCGGCAACCAACGCAGGAGAAGUCCAGUGCUGAUCCUAAAAUUCAGCAUUUAUUAUAACAAAGCUUGUAUGGGAAAAUCACUAUUUUACUAUGAAUGGUAAUAAUAAUUUUAUUUUUAAUUUUUAUCUUUUCAUAAGUGGAUAAAUAUUUUUUUUUGCUUUUUUAUUUCUAUUUUAAUGAAUAGGCGGCACCUGCACCAUUAAAGAGGCACAUAUUGUCAAAGAACCAUCUCAACCCAAUAGCUUAAGCUGUUAAGUGAGGUCCCAGGAUAUGAUUUAUAUUAUUCUCUAACACACCCCUUCAAGUGAAAGCCCUUUGGACUUGAAACUUGCACAGGCCCACAUUACAAUGUGUUUAAUUUUCAUAAAAUAAAUGGGGAUGGUGAGAUUCGAACUCGUGACCGCUUGAUCAUCAAGGCUCUGAUAUCAUGUAAAGGAAUCAUCUCAACUCAAUAGCUUAAGCUGUUAAGUGAGGUCCUAGGAUAUGAUUUAUAUUAUUCUCUAACACGUAUGAUGCUUCCUAGUGGCCAAAUCCGGCUAUCUACCAUUUAACUGGAUGCGCAGCCAUGCCCUCUUCCAUAUGUUGUGGCGCGUGUAGACAGAUAAUGGUUGGAUUGCCGUCGAUGAUUGAGUGUUUGUGUGUUUUUUCUCUCUCUUCUGACAACUAAAAUGUACAAUUAUUCUCUUUAUUUGUUGUUUAUCAAAUCAUGCAAGGUUAUCAGGCCUAAACACCUUGGGUCUGGCAACCCUAUGCAAGUAUAGUGUGGACUAUGACACAAUUCAUUGUAGACUUGUACAGUGGAUUUUCCAAGCUUUGAAGGCUUGGGAUGGGGCUAAUAUUGUCUUUUUACAUAAAUUUAAAUUAUUAUUUUGUCAUUUGGUUGAAAAAAUGAAAUCCCUGGUUGAGGGGGUACUCAGGGGUUUUUUUGACCUUUCACAAACUGUUAUAUAGUUAAAAUAUAUCUUUAGCCUUAGAACGAACAAAAAAUAAGCUUUGCAUAUACAGGUAUUUUUGUUGAUAUUAUUUUAUUAUUUGUAAAGUCAAAAAUUCAUCUACGCCAAACCCAUGUUUACUUAGGUCUGGCAAACAUGCUAGACCCAACUUACGUGGGUGCUAGAUCUAAGUGCCUUGGGUCUAACAAUCCUGUGCAAGUGUACUAUGAACCAAGACACAGUCCACUUUAGACUUGCAUGGUGAAUUUUCCAAGCUCUGAAGACAUGGGAUGAGGCUAAUGUUGUCUUUUCACAAAAAGUUUAAUUAUCAUUUUGCCCUUUGGUUGAAAAAAUUAAGGCCUUGUUGUGAGGGUAUUUCAAUAUUUUCAUUCUUUCACACUAUUUUUUGUGUAAUUUUUUGUAAUCAUGACGGAUAUUUUGGUAUUUUUGGUAUUGUUUUAUUAUCCAAACCUAAGUAGCAUGGGUCUUGCUUGCUUGUGAAACUCAAGAUACUUGGACCUGACAUUCACAAACUGUUAAAUAGUUAAAAUACAUCUUUAGCAUUGAAAAAGACAAAAAAAUAAGCUUUGCAUAUCCGGGUAUUUUUAUUCUUUCACACUUUUUUGUGUAAUUUUCUAUAAGUAUACGAGGCAUUUUGAUAUUGUUUUAUUAUUUUUAAAAUAAAAAAGUUAUGUCAGACCCACAUUUAUUUGGGUUUAACAAACAUGUCAGCCCCAACUUACUUGGGUACUAGACCCAAGUUGAUGGGUUUGUGCUUGGGUCUGACAAAGAGUUGAGUAGAGGUUUAAAAAUUAACUCACUUUGUUAAGUUUAAAAACACUAACGUGCCAUGCUAGAAAAUAAAAAGUAAUGGCUUACACAAGGAUGUCUCAAACCCUUGAACCUUUACUUGUAUCAAGCCUCACAUUUCAGGAUGAAUUAUCCACCCAGUGACUGUUCUCAAGUUGCACUUUGUUGCAAAGGUUAUUUUAUACUGUUGUAGAUGGAAGAACGUUAAGAAGAUCCACAUUUCUUUCCCUGCUCUAAGGAAAUUUUCUAAUUAUUAUAAUCCAUUUUUCCCUAAAUUUAGUAGAUUGUGAGGUCAAGGUCAUUUAAGUGGAUCUCAUAUCCAUGGAGUGUAUAGUUUUAGGGCAGUCGAUCACUAAUGGACCUCUUACAAAAAUCACAAAAUCUAGAAUGUCUCAAGUCUUGGCAUUUUGAGGCAGGAAUCUAAAGCACGAAUUUAACAUAUUUUCUACUUCUUAUUGCAGUUUUAGAUUGUGAGGAAAAUAAGUUUAUAUCUUUGUCUGACCUACGUUACAUUAGACUUGGUUGAUUGUCAAGUUCAAGUUUUUUGGGUCUAACAUGCUUGAUUGACCCAUAUUGCAUUGGGCUUAGUUGUCUGUCAAAUCCAAGUUCUUUGAGUGUGGCAUGCUUGGUAGACCUACGUUACCUUGGGCUUAGCUAAUUGAUAAGCCCAAGUACUUUGAGUCUGGUAUAUUUAUCAGAUCUACGUUACCCUAAACUUAUCAGGCUGCCAAGUCCAAGUUCUUUGGAUCUGGUAUGGUUUCCGGACCCAUGUUACCUUAAACUUGGCUAACAACUUGGCUGACUACUAACACUACCACAUUUAACAGUUUUACCGACAAAUUUCUUCUGGUAUUUACACCAACAGUCCAUUGAUACUCGUACCGAUGGACUCACGGAUGGAAACAAUCCAUCAUAAAAAAUCUUGUCGGUUGUUGCACAUGUGCGACGUCGCGGCAAUCAUCCACCUUUAAAGAAAAAUUGUAAGGGUCUAUCUAGGCAAAAUAUAGUAAGAUAAGGAAUUCUUGUCUUUUCCAUGGGAAAAAAAAUGGGAGUCGCCACCUAGUAUUUUGGUCACUAGAAACCCUAACUAGUCUUAGAGAUGAGAUAUAGAGACUGGUUAUGUAAAGGGAAGGUAUGAGCACCCCAAAUAUACCCUACAUAAGGUAAGUUGCAUUGUUUUGUUGUCUGAUAAAAAACUAUGGUCUUAUCAUAUUUUCUAAUUAUUGGUCUGUCUAAGGUUCAAGAAAAGCCCUCCUUAAUAAGGAGGUUCUUAUCUUAAUAUGGUAAAACAUAACCAUUCUAGCGUCUGAAAAAAAAAUUAAUAUCUAGAAUACAUAUUACUUGUAAUGUCAUACCCUAGAUAAUAAAAGACAAACAAAAUAAAAUUUUUGUUGUUUUUGAAAUUUUGACCAAUGUUUUCUUGACUUUAAUAAAUUGGUUAUUAAAGCCAAAAUGCAUACUAAAAUAUUGUUUUUUUUGUAUGAAAAACACAAUAUAAUUUUUUAGCCUUCAGACACUUGGCCGUAUGCACAAAUUUUAUUUUAUUUUUUCAAUUUUUUUUUGUAUUUUUCAAAAGUUGACGAAAACCGGGUAUCACGGGAAGAAGAAGACCCACAGUGCCGUUCAAAACGGCACCAUUUGGGUCUUUUUUUUACGUGAACAGUGCAUGAAAUGGUAUCGUUUUGGACAAAACGCGUCGUUUCAUUUAAAGAAAAAGGAGGCAAAAAGGUGUCAGAGUUUCCAUUGGUCCUCAAUUUGUGAUUUGUUCAAUUGAGUCCUCAAUUGCAAUUUUGAUUGUAAAAAUCAAUUCAAUUGCAUCCCUGUCAAAUUCAAUGGUCGGCCCUGAAGUUGGCCGUUUUUUUCACAUUGGUCCAUGAUCUUGAAUUUAUGCAAUUUGACUAUCAAUUGAUCAAUAAACUUCUAAUUUUUUUAAUUUGGCCUUGAUUUGGUUUAAUUCAGCUCUUCUAUUUACACGCACGUGCGUCACCCUAUAUGGAAAAAAGACAGGACUGUGUUUCUAGGGAGAUGGAGAAUAGCUAGAAUUGGCUAUCAGGUGGUGUCACGUAUAAUUAUAAAGUUAUUUGGUGAUAAGUGGUCUUAAAAUGUUUUUUGCAAUGAGAAAUACUCAAAAACUUCAUUUUGAUUAUUGGUUUCCAACAAAUUUUCAAAAAGCUUCUCCAAUUUUACCAAGCAAUUUUUUUUAUUGAUUUUCAGUAACAAAACAUCAAUUUUAUUAUAACGUUGUGCAUGUUUAGUAUCUAAAAACAUUGUCCGUAAUAAACUUCUCCAGUAAUUAACUGCCAUUUAUGAGUUUGCACUUUUGCAAUGAAAAAAAAAGUUGAAUGUUUCGAAACUAGCAAGUCGUAGAGCCAAUAAUUUGAGCAAAAAGGAGAAUGCAAAUCUAAACAUUAAAACAAUAAGCACCCACAUGAUUAAACUUUAUGCCCUUGUUUUUAAAGGUUGAAGUUUCAAGACAUGCUUACUAGGUCCAAAAACAUUUGAUUUAUUUUUAUUUUUAUUUGUAAUUUUGUUUUCGUAAUUGAUAUUUUUUAUAUAUUUUUAAUGAAUUUUUGAAUUUAUAUUUAAAUUAAUACUUUUCUCUCUAAAUAUUUAGAUUGUUUAUUUAGUUUUUUUUUUAAAUAGUGGUUAUCUUUUACUUAUCUUUUAUGUAUUUAAUAUCUAGAAACAAUUAUUCCAAUUCAUCUAUAUGUUUUUUAAUAUAUUUUAUAUGAAUAAAGUUUGUUUUCAUGACUUGUUUAUAAAAAUAAGAAUUAUUUGUUCUUGGUAAGAAAAAGUGACCUUUAAGAUUUAAAAAAAAAAGGAAGAAAAAGGAGAAAAGUGUGCAUGGAGAGGAAAGUUAAGGUUAAGCAUCAUAUUUAUGUAUCAUUUUAUUUUAUAAUUUGAUGGCAUUAACAACUCUUUAUUAGUUUAUUAGUUCAUAUUUUUGUAAGAUUUGUUUUUUACAUUUCUCAAUUAAGAGAAUCGUAAUACAAUGAAAUGCACUUGAAACAUUGUCCUAUUUUUCUACUACAUUAAAAAUUAACUUAAGAUCAUGUAUGUGGCACGAUGUGUUAACAACUAUUUUUUGUAUUUAUGAACACAUGUGGUCCUUACUUUAUUUUUAUUAUAUGUAAACAUCAACUAUUUUAUUUACAAUUAUAAUUUUCUCUUGAUUUUUUAAAAAACGUUAACAACAUUUAUAUAUUUUUUCUUUUGUUCAAAAAAUUAUCUGACUCGUAGCAAAGUGAAUUAAAUAAAUGCGUCAACACUUUUUUAAUAUAUUUAUGAUUAGGAUUUUUUUUGUUAAAAAUGCAAUUGAAAAGCAUACAAAUUUAUUUUUUUGCUAAAAACAAUUUUCUGAACCAUAGCGAAAUGCGAGUUAAAUAACUACUAAUAUGGCUAUAGUAAGUGUCUUUUAGUACAUGUGUAUGUAGGAAGCAAUGUGUUAUAUUAUUAGUUAGAUAUAACUUACCUAUUCAUUAUUUAAAAAAAACUAAUAAAUAAAUAUAUUACCAGAAACCUAAAAGAGAUCGACUGAAACAAUAUAGUUUUCGAGUAAAAAUAUUGUGGAUUCACACAAUGUUUACUCUUUUUUGUCCUUUUUAUCUAGUGAUUAAUUCAUUUUCUUUCAAUUCCACCCAUUGAUGUUGAAUUGAUUAAGAUUUUAGGUUCAUAAUUUAUUUUUAUUUGUCUUUUAUAUGGUUAUCUUGCUCUUAAUAAAACAACAUGAUAUUGGGACGAUGCUCAAUUUCACAAAAAAAAAAAAAAUCAAUUUUGUUGUUUGCAAGAAAUUGAAAAUAAAGAGAUCAUAGUUGAAACAAAUGAAAAAGCAAAGCCCUUUUUUUUAUAAAACAAUAUAGUGUCAACUUUGGUCCCCUUUUUUUUUUUUGCUUUUGAUCAUCUAUUUUUUUUAAUUUGAUCCUUCAAUGUUGUGUUAAUUGGGAUUUGAAGUUGAUAAUUUAUUUCAAACUACUUUUUAUGUGAGUAUUUAGAACUAAAAAAAAAAAGCCAAACCAUUAACUUUUUGGUACAAAGCUUUAUUUUACUUGUAUUUUAGUUCAUGAGUUUGAGAAAAAAAAAAAAGAGAUUCAUCGAAAAACUAAGAAGAAGAGAGAAAGUUAGCGAAAUACUACUUUUGGGCGAUGAAAUGUGUUGUUCUUAGUAUGAACGAAUAUUUAUUGAGGUCCUUGUACAUAUACAUAUAGCUCACUUUGAUAUCAAAUUGAUUUUUUGGUGUUUUUGGAUUAUUUUGAUAUGCUAAAGGCAAAAAUAAAUUUUUUUUUAAAAAAAAAAAAAAAUUAUUUUAAUGCAUUUCAAAGCAAAACACAUUGUGAAAAGUAACUUCUACCACUAUUUUAAACACCCUUUUAGCACAAAGGAAUGCAAAACGUGUAAACAAAAAAGGUUUGGUGAGCAUAUUGGGAUUGGAUCAUCAAAAGGCUAUCAAAUUAAUGAUGAACAAACACCAACUCCUUGUUGCCCAAAUACAUAUGCUCAUUUAAACACAAUUUUGCAUUACCUAGCUGGCAAGCCUGACAUAGAAUUUUGUUUUAAAGGAACUUCAAGAUUUCUAUAUAGGAUGCUUGACCUCAUUAAAGAUAAACUGAGGACAUCCACAACAUAAACUAUCUUCCUUGCCCCAAAGGCAGCACAGACAAACCCUAUUCACUAUAAAGGUUCUGAAUGUUUUUCCUAAAUUUCAUGAUAUGGCAUUCAACACAUCAAACUCCCAAUUUAGCAUUCUUAUGCAAACUACAACUGCAGAAGGCUUGUACAUGUAGGGGAGAGGUAGGAAGAGCUGCAAAAGUUGUCGCAUCUAUUGUUAUGCUAUUCAGAGUUUCUAUCUCAUCAUCCAAUCUGCCAAAAAUAUAAAAGAUCAUGUGCAGGAAUUUGAUCUCAAAGGGGCAGCACCUCAUAUGCCUAUGGGAGAUACAUGACUAGUGAUGGUUGUUCUACCCACAAAAUUAGCUCUCCUAGCCACACUUUAAAGCCCUAGCCGCUAUAUGAACAAAGCACCUAAAAAAUUAAUCACCUACCAAAUCCAAUUCAGGAAAAUUUGGUCGAAAUAAUGAAACGAGUUAAUUGAAUGCGACAAUUCGAUAAAAAACUGGUGUCAUAACCCAAUUUUUGAUCAUUUUUACUUUUAUUAUUAUUUUAUUUACUGAAAAGGAUAAAAAAAAUCAAUGAAAAAAAAUAAUGAUGAAAAAACAAGUAAAAUGAAAUAAAUGAAGAAUGAAUUAAAAUUUAGGUUAAGGGCAAUAUGAUUGGAAGUUUUGGGGUUUAAUUAAACUUUGGAAUUAAUAUAAUUAAGCUUGGAAUUAAUUUAAUUAAUCCAAUUAAGGGUUUAACUGGAGAAUUGAUAAAUUUUUAGACUUAAUUAAGCUUGAAAUUAAUUUAAUUCAUCCAAUCAAGGAUUUAAUUGAAGAAUUGAUAAGUUUUGAGACUUAAUAAAGCUUGGAAUUAAUUUAAUUAAUCGAAUCGGGGGCUUAAUUAGAGAAUUGAUAAGUUUUAGACUUAAUUGGACUCAGGAUUUAAUUAAAUUAAUGAAAUCAGGGACUUAAUUGAAUAAAUAUCAAAGUUUGGAGUAUAAUUGGGGUCCAAAUUGAAAAGAUUAAAAUACAAGGAUUAGUUUGUAAAAAGCGCCGAAAUACAGGGGUCCAAUUACAAUUUACACAGGGGCUUGAUUGCACGAUUUCAGAACUUCAGGGACCAGAUUGAAAAUGGUCAUUCCCAUCAUAGACACGGCGCCGUUUUUAGAAGCCGUUCAUCGCCUUCUUCGCCUUCUUCCUCAGGAGCCGUUUCUGGCAGUAAUGGCUUUGAAGCCGUUUCAAAAUGCUUGGCAUUCUCUGGCUAUAAAGCCAGAGAAGAUGAGAGAGCGCAAGAAAAAAGAAAGGAGCCGCGGACUAAGAGAAAAAAACUGGGGGGCAGAGGGAAGAAGAGGCCACGAACGAGAGGAAAAGAAAAAAACUGUGGAAAAACUGGGCAAAAACUGAGAGGAGGGGAGAGCAGACACAACAGAGAGGAAAAGGGACAGAACCGAGGAGUGAAUAAAAAGAAAAGAGCUGACUUUCGUUCCCCUGUUUCUUCUCAAAGAAACAGAGGAGGCCACGAGCAACGGAGGAGAAAGACAGGGAAACCACAGAACCGGAGAAGAAAGAAACCAAAGAAGAAACUGGGGAAACUGAGAGCAGGGGAGACUGAGAACAGAAAAAAGGAGAGGGUAACAGAAAAACUGGAGCAGGGAUGACAGAACCGAGGGGCUGAAGGGAGAAGAAAGAAGACGAACAGAGACGAAAAUGAGAAAACACAGAGGAGGAAGCAGCAGCAGUCGGGCCAGCCUCCGUCACCAUCUACAUCGUCUUCGCCUUCACCCCGCAGCUGCACCAGCCCCAGCAGCUCUUCCUCACCCUGACAUCCAGCAGUCCACCAUUGAAGCAGUCGUCUCCCUCAGCCUUGCCAGGUAAGUUCUUCAGCUUUCCUUCUUUUGGUAAAUUAAUUACCCUGCUACUGUUGCAUGCAUGCGUGAGUGAUUCACGCAUGCAUGCAACAAUGGCCACCGGGUCACUGGUCCAAACCAGUGACCCAACCUUUUUUUUUUUUUGAGACCAUGCUACAUAAAUAACAAAUAAAAAAAUGUGUGUGCAUAAAUAAAAAUAAUAUAAAUUUAUUGGUUUAUUCACUAACGCCAGAGUUAGGAAUAAAAAUUUACCGGUUUAAAUUUAUUAUUUUUGUUCAUUGUAUUUUAUUUUAUUUAGCUAGAAAAAAUAAAAAAAUAUGUACAUGCGUAAAAAUAAAUUUAUUUUUAUUUAUUUAUUCACUAGCACUAGAAUAGGGAAUAAAAAUAUUGAUCUAAUUUUUUUCGUAGCUACGAAUUUUUACCAAUACCAGAGUUGGAAUUAUUCACUAGCACUAGAAUAGGGAAUAAAACAUGAAGAUACAAUUUUUUUUUUUAUAUGAAAAUACAUGUGAAAAACUUUUUAAGAUUUGGUCGUACGUAAAACAAAACAUUUUUUUAAGUGAAAUUUUAUUUUUUUGAAUUUUCAUUUUUUUUUAUUUUUUUUUAAUCUUUUUAAGAUUUCAGAGAAAACUGGCUAUUUUGAUCAAGCUUAAUUUAGUUCUUUGCUUUUUUAUUUCUCUCAAUUACACCCUUGAUUGAUUUCAAACUUAAUGUUUUACCAAUUAAGUCCUUAAUAAAAUUAAUUUGACUUAUUUAAAGUAUAAUUAAGUCCUUGCACCUAAUUAAAUCCAUUAAUUGGACCCAAACUAAUUCUUAAAUAUAAUGAAAUUUUAAUUUGGCCCAUGAUUAAAUCAAAUUGGCCUAAUAAAAAUCUAAUUAUGUGUUUAGACUUGAUUUUUAAGUAGAUUCGUCCAAUAACCAUUUAAUUUGUUCUUUAAUCUGCAUUAUUUCUUUAGUUUUCGGUGUAAUGGGAUACAUUUAGGCUCCUAAUCCCAUCCAAAGUUGUAACUUGAUUUGAAAUCCUCCGAGCUUGCUUUUGCCAAAAUAUCAGUCCUUAUUUUAUUUAUUAUAUUUUUUUAUUUUGAAAAGAAAAGAGAUGAAUUUGAAGAAUAACCCAGAAAUAAGUUAUGACAAUGAGAACUCUACAUUCUGUGAUUUUAUUUUUGAAGAUAUUCUUAUACAUUUAUAAUUAUAAGAAACUUUAAAAGGUGUGGGUAAAAUAUUAUUCUCAUCACACCACUGUUCACUCAGCGUUGUGGACCAAAGUGAAAGACAAAAGCAUAAAAAAGGGUGGUAGUUUUAAGAUUGAAGCCAAAAGUUCACUUUGAUCCUCCUACUUUUAACUAAUGACUUUUUGGUCCUUUAAGUUUUCCCACAUUUUAUUUUUGGUCAACUUCUUUUCUCGAUUUUUUUCACUCCUUGGUUUGAGAGAGGAGACAAAAAGUCAUUGGAUUAUAAUGUUAGAAAGAGUCUCGAUUGACAAUGAUUUUCACAAUAAAAACGGUCGAUUUUGGUCUUAAUAGGUUCCAUUUGAUGAAGAGAGUUCUAUUGAGGUGUUUUUUGCUCUUGAAAUUUCCAAAACUUUUAUGAUUUUUUAGGCUAAUUUAUUGGUUUAUUUACAUCAUAAGGACCUUUUUAGAUGUUUUGGUGUGAACUUUGUUUAAAUUUGCAUUUUUAGGCCAAAAAACACCCUACAUGAUUUUCUAGCUGCCCCUCUAAUAGUCGAGAACUUGAAAGUGUAAUUAGAUGACAUGUUGUUUCCCUUUAUCUUUUUUCAAAAACAUUUGGGGCAUUUUCAAAUAAAAAAAAUAAAGUUCACGUAAGCUAGUCCUUUUUAAAAUGGGCUUGAUGUGCAGGCUUGACUUGAUAGAACUAAAAACGCCUAACCUAUUUCUUUAUUUUUUCUAAUUGGUAUUUUUAUAUGUACUUUUUAAUUUAUAUUUGAAUUAAUUCUUUUUCUUUCUAAAUUUUUAGAUAGUUUAUUUAGUCUUUUUUAAAUAGUUGUUAUCUUUUACUUAUCUUUUAUGUGUUUAAUAUCUUGAAGAAAUUAUUCCAAUUCAUCUAUAAUAUUUUUUAUGUUUUAUAUAAAUAAACUUUAUUUUUGUGAUGUGUUUAUAAAAAUAAGAAUUAUUUGUUCUUGGUGAGAAAAUAUGAUCUAUAAGAUUAAAAGAAGAAGAAGAAGGAAGGUGUGUAUUAAGGGAAAAGUUGAGGUUAAAUAUUAUAUUUAUCUACCUUUUUCUUUUAUGAAAAUGAUUAUCAUUUUAUUUUAUAAUUUGAUUGGCAUUAACAACUCUUUAUUAUUUUAUUAGUUCAUAUUUUUUAAGAUUUAUUUUGUUUCACGUUUCUCAAUUAAGAGAAUCAUGAUACAAUGAAAUGCAUUUGAAACACUAUCCCAUUUUUCAUAUUUUUUCUCUUGAUAUCAAAAAAUACAUUAACAACACUUAUACAUCCAUUCUUUUGUAUUGGAAAAUAUUAUCUAACCCAUAGCGAAGCAAGUUAAAUAAACACGUCAAUACCUUUUUUCUGUAUUUAUGAUUAGGGGUUUUUUUUUGUUAAAAAUACAUUUGAAAAGCAUUCAUAUUUAUUUAUUUUGCUAAAAAACAUUUCUGAUCCAUAGUAAAGCGUGAGUCAAAUAACUACUAAUAUGGCUAUAAUGAGUGUCUUUUUAGUAUAUGUGGAUGUAAAAAGCAAUGUGUUAUAUUAUUAGUUAGAUAUAACUUAUCUAUUCAUUAUUAAAAAAAACAUAAAAUAAAUAAAUAUAUUAAUAGAAACCUAAAAGAGAUCGACUGAAACAAUAUAGUAGAGAAAAUAUUGUGAAUUCACACAAUGUUUACUUUCUAUUUUUUUGACUUUUUUUAUUCAGUGAUCUUUGAUGAUGAAUUGAUUAAGAUUUGAGAUGGUUAAUGUAUUUUUAUUUGUCUUUUUUAUGCUUACUCUCAAUAAAACAUCUUGAUAUUAGAACGAUGCUCAAUUUCACAAAAAAAAAAAAAAAUUUGUUGUUUGUAAGAAAUUGAAAAUGAGAAGAUCAAAAUUAAAACAAAUAAAAAACCAAUUUUUUUUUUUUUGUGUUUUUUGCUUUUGAUCACUUACUUUUUUGAAAGAAAAAAAAUUGAUCUUUCAAUGCUAUGCUAAUUGGAAUUUGAAGUUGGUAAUUUUAAAUGAACAUCUAGAACUAAUUAAAAAGCCGCAACAUUGGUUUGGUGCUCGACUUUACUAAAAAGAAAUCAAUUAUAUUGUUUGAGAAGAAAUAAAAAUAAAAAGACCAAAAUUGAAACAUGAAAAAUAAUAAAAAUAGAAGGCCUUAAAAAAACAAAUUGUGUCAUCGUCUCCAUGCCUUGUAAUUUUGAUAAAUUUUCUUUUUGGCCCUGUUAGUUUAGAAAUAAUGCAUUAUGCAUUAGAAACAGAACAUCAAACAAAGAGUUCAGCAUCAAGGAGAAGCAUGAAAGUCCACACAUUAAACCAAAAGAAACACAAAUGGGAAAGCAGACAUACGCCCUUACUUCUGGAUGCUUGUACAAUAACGGGCUAGCAACAUUGUUUUUUUGAGGUUCGCACAGUGCUGUCAACAAUUCUUCUAACUUCUCCAGCAAUGUGAAGCCAAUUUGAUGUUCCAUCAAUGGAACAGUUGGAAUUAUUUGAAAAAUGAAUGCCCAAAUAUAUUCACAUGCUCAUACAAUAACAUUUUUAAUAAUGCAUUAUGCAUUAGAAACAGAACAUCAAACUAACAGAGAAAACAUGCUGAUGCAGAAAAUACUCAAGUCGUAGAAAGGAGAAUGCAUGAAAGUUCACGCAUUAAACAUUAUGCCUUUCUUUUGAAGGUUCCCACACUUGAAAACAAACACAAUGGGCAAGCAAACAUACGCCCUUACUUCUGGAGGCUUGUACGAUAAUGGGCAAGCAACAUAUUUUUUUUUGAGGUUUGCACAAUAAUGACUAAACACGCAACAUUACAUUGUGAAGCCAAUUUGUAUCCCAUUGCCAAUGAAACAGUUGGAAUUACUUCCCACCAAUCUAAAACAUAUUCGCAGCACCAACCUUGAAAUCUUGUAACAGCUUACUUCUGGAGGCAAUGAACAUUGUUUUUUUGAGGUUCGCACAGUAAUGACCACACACAACAUUACAUUACAUUACCAACAUUGUUUUUUUGAGGUUCGCGUAGUAAACAAACACAGAUACCCUUAUUUCACAGCACCAACCUUGAAAUCAUGUAACAUCUAACCAACCUUGCCUGAUGCAAACAUGAAGAAUAAAGACAAUCCAUGAUUUAAUUCAACCAUUAAAAUUUGAGGGUAAAGGAGAGGAUAAAUAAUUGCAGCUAUAUCACCUGGUUUAGGCGAGAAUGAAUUAUUAGACAGCAAUCAUCAUCAUCACCAUCUCCCAACAUCAUCAUCUUCUUCUUCUUCCUCCUCCUCCUCCUCUUCUGACCCAACAUCAUCAUCAUCUUCUUCUUCCUCCUCCUCUUCUGACCCAACAUCAUCAUCAUCUUCUUCUUCUUCCUCCUCCUCCUCCUCUUCUGACCCAACAUCAUCAUCAUCAUCAUCUUCUUCUUCUUCCCACUCAUUAUCUCGGGUCCACUCUCUAUUAAUGCUUGAAUCUUCAGCUACUUCAGAUACCUGUAAACCAAUUCAAGCAUGGCAUGCUCAUUUUAACUUGUAAAUCAUAUUAUUGAGCGAAACAAGAGACAAACACACUAAAAGAGAGGCUAGAAAUCAAGUCAAAUCAGCAGCACCUCUGAUUGAGCACUCAUUGAACCAUCACGUGUAAUAGCAAAUUUUGUGGUCAGCUUUGGACAUUGAUGGACCUUCAACUUUUCCAAACGAGGGAAUAAGAAAUAAUCACACCAUCCGAAACUAAAACAGACAAUACUUGAUAAUUGUUCUAGCCACAACACCUUUAGAUUAGGAAGCACUAUCUCCUUCCCAACAUUGAUAGGUGAAGCUUGAUCAUCCUGCCCAGGAGACUCUGGAAUUAUUUCCCUUUCACCAUCCUCUUCUUUGAUAACAUGCUUCAAUUGACCGCAUUUACUUAUGUAAAGUCUUUCUAGCUUUGGCAGACUUCGAGCGAGGGACGGUGUGAAGAUAAAUGUCAGUUUGUUGAGAGAACUCAAAUUCAGAAGAUAAAGACUUUGGAGGCUGACAUGUCUGGUGGGCCCCUUCCAUAUGCAUUUGAGCUCAGGUAAAUGAUACAGCCGUAACUCUGUUAAAGAUGACAGCUGCUCCUUCUCCUCACUGGGUCCUUCAUCAGGCAGCUCGCCUAAAUCAAAUACCUCUUCCAAUGAUUUACAGCUGUCAAUAGUCACCCACUUUAGAUUUUCCAGAGCUCGAAGCAAUUUUGCUGGAAACAGAGUGCAAACACCCCCACAAACGUCCACUCGUACAAUUUCUAAUCUUUGUAAGAAGCCGUUUUGCUGUCCAUGGACGGCCAUCUUAUCAGAGGACAAUUUUAUAUUUUUUCACUCAUAAAAAAAAAUUAUAUGAUGUAUAAAUAGGAGAAAAAAAUUAUAAAAAACAGGAUUAAAUACUUCUUAGAGAUUACAUAUUAUUGUUUCAGUUUUUCUCUUAAUUAGAAUAAUAAUUAGAUUUUUGCGAAAAAAAGGUUAACACAACUCCUAAUAAUUAGUUUCUUGUAAAAAAUAAAAAUAAAAAUAGUAACUAAUAAUUUUAUUUUAGUUAUAAAGUUAAUGAAUUUUUAAAGAUAUUUUAAUUGAAUUAAUUAUUUGAACACAAAAUAAGCUAAUAUGAUUUCUAUGAUUAAUUGUUGGUAUUAAGUUUCUUAUAUUUAUAUAUGUUUAGAUAAAACAAAAAAAUAAGCUGUGACGAAGAAAGAAUAAAUCUAACAGAUAAUAUCAAUUACGUAAACCAUGAGGCAGUUAAAUCUAACAGAAAUAAAAAUCAUAAAAAAUAAAAAUAAGCAUUUUUCAAUUACUUUACUUUUAGAAAUUGGGAGGAAGAAAGAAUAAAUUAUCAAUUACUUCAGUUUCAGAAAUUUGGAGGAAGAAAUCAACAUUAUUUGGGAGAUAUAAAGGACGUACUUGGAGCUGUGCAAACAAAUUUCCAAUUUCUUUGUGGCCAUUGAUUUUUAGAAUUUGCAAAGAAGGCAAUUGGGCAGCAAGAUUCUUUGGACCAAAAAAGCUGUAAUUUGAUCUGGAAGAAAGAUUCAAUUCCCUUAGCCGAGGGAACUUGAUGAUGGCAUCUGUGGUGAGUGCAUCUCCUUCUCCACUGUAAAAUAUUUGCUUUAAAUUGUCAGCAUCAGAAAUCUGCAUCUCUUCUAGGUUCAGAAGGCUUGGAGACACAGAUACAGGGAAGACAUAUUCCAGUUUACCACUCUCUUUUAUGGUGAUAGUUUUUAAUUUUGGGAAGCGAGGAGACUCUUGAAUUAUUUCCCUUUCACCAUCCUCUUCUCUGAUAAUAUGCUUCAAUUCACCGCAUUUACUGAUGUAAAGGCUUUCUAGCUUUGGCAGACUUUGAAGAGUUAGAGACACGGAGACAGGGAAGACAUAUUCCAGUUUACCACAGUCUUCAAUGAUGAAAGUUUUUAAUUUUGGGAAGCGAGGAGACUCUGGAAUUAUUUCCCUUUCACCAUCCUCUUCUCUGAUAAUAUGCUUCAAUUCACCGCAAUCUCUUAUCUCAAGUAUUUCUAGCUUUGGCAGACUCUGAGCGAGGGACGUUGUGAAGAUAAAUGUCAGUUUGUCGAGAGAAUACAACUCCAGAUUAAUAAGACUUUGGAGGCUGACAUGUCUGGUGGGCCCCUUCCAUAUGCAUUUGAGCUCAGGUAACCCUUGCAGCAGUAACUCUGUUAAAGAUGACAGCAGCUCCUUCUCCUCACUGCGUCCUUCAUCAGGCAGCUCAUCUAAUUCAAAUACCUCUUCCAAUGAUAUACAGCUGUCAACAGUCACCCCCUUUAGAUUUUUCAGAGCUCGAAGCAAUUUUGCUGGAAACGGAGUGCGAACAUCCCCACAAUCGUCCACUCGUAUAAUUUCUAAUCUUUGUAAGAAGCCGUUUUGCUGUCCAUGGACGGCCAUCUUAUCAGAGAACAAUUUUAUAUUUUUUCACUCUCAUAAAAAAAAAUAACAGAUAAUAUAUUUCAAAUGAGGCAGUUAUAUCUAAUAGAUAAUAUGUUCUUCCACAUGAUUAAUUUUUAAUAACGCAAACAACAAUGAGGCAGUUAAGUUUCUUAUAUUUGUAUAUGUUUAGAUAAAACAAAAUCAUAAAAAAUAAAAAUAAACAUUUUUCAAUUACUUUACUUUUAGAAAUUGGGAGGAAGAGAGAACAAAUUAUCGCAAUUCACAAUUUAAAUUAGUGGAGAAAUAUAAAGCACGUACUUGUAGCUGUGCCAACCAAUUACCCACUUCUUCGUGGCCUUUAAUGGUUAGUUGUUGCAAAGGCAAUUGAGCAUCAAAAUUCCUUGGACCUAAAAAGCUGUAAUUUGAUUUGAGCUCAAGAGACAAUUCUCUUAGUUGAGGGAACUUGAUGAUGCCAUCUCUGGGGAGUGCAUCUCCUUCUCCACCGUAAAAUAUUUGCUUUAAAUUGUCAGCACGAGCAAUCGUCAUCUGUUCCGGGUUUGUAAGACUUGGAGACAUGGAGACAGGGAAGACAUAUUCCAGUGAAAAACAGAGAGAUAUACGAAGAGUUUUUAAUUCUGGGAAGUAAGGAGACUCUAGAAUUAUUUCCCUUUCACCAUCCUCUUCUCUGAUAAUAUGCUUCAAUUCACCGCAAUCACUUAUCUCAAGUCUUUCUAGCUUUCGCAGAUUUCGAGCGAGGGACGGUGUGAAGAUAAAUGUCAGUUUGUUGAGAAACGAAACUUCAAGAUGAACAAGAUUUUCGAGGCUGACAUUUCUGGUGGGCCCCUUCCAUAUGCAUUUGAGCUCACGUAACCCUAACAGCUGUAACGUUGUUAAAGAUGACAGCAGCGGCAUCUCCUUCUCCUCACUGCUUCCUUCAUCAGCCUCACCCAAUUCAAAUACCUCUUCCAAUGAUUCACAGCUGUCAACAAUCAACUCCUUUAGAUUUUUCAAACCUUGCCGCAAUUUUGCUGGAAACAGAGUGAAAACAUCCCCACAACCCAUCAGUUCUACAAAUUCUAAAUUAUGUAAAAACAAUUGCUCAAAUGUUUUCGCAUUGAAGGAUGUACAAUCAAAAAUUAAUCUUGUCGAGGAUGGGUAUCGUCCUGUAUCAAUCCGAUUCCCAAAUAUUAUAUGAUAUUUGCGCAAGCUAACUGGAAAAACAAAAUCUCUGGGAAUGCAUUCAACCUUCGAUAUCCUCAAUGAUAAUACGACUAACUGAGACAACGAAUUUAGUUCUGUUAGGCUUGCAUUCAUUCCUCCUGUGCUGUCCCAUCCAUCAAAGCUGUAACCCCCGAUCAACAGCUCUUCUAACUUCUUCAAACUUCCAAUCAAAUUCACAGGGAUCCUUAGAUGACAACCUGUCACAUCCAACAACCUUAACUCCUUGAGCUCUCCUAUUUCAUCAGGUAAUUCUUCAAUGACGCACCACAUAAGACCAAGAAUCUUAAGUCUCCGUAGAUUUCUCAACCAAAUGAGGUCCUUGCAACGACACGAGAUCAACACCAACGAUUGAAGUUUCGUUGAGAGUACAAGUGAUUGCAACGACAAACUCCCUCCCUUCAGAGACAAAACUUCAAUUUCUUUCAUCCCUUCAAAGAACCUCUGAGGAACAUUCAAACCAUAAGCCACUUCUAAUAAUAGAACUUUGAGCCGUGGACAUACCAAUCCUUCAGGAAGUUCAGCUAGUUCAUUGCCCAUUAACGAAAUUGUUGUACACCCUUCAAAGCUUUUACCCGUCCAUUGCCACUUCUCUAACCCUAAGCCAGCCUUUACCAUGAAUCUAUAUUCUUCUGAUGAUGCUAUCUGAAUAGCAAAGUCACGAACAAGGUCAUGCAUUCUCACAUGUUCUUCAGUUUCAGAGCCCAACAGCAUGCAACAAUCUUUGAGGUUUUCGAUUGCCAAAGAAACUCGUUUCCUUGCCUCUUCAAUGGGCUGCGCAUCUUGAAAGAAUUGUAACCCAUAGCCAACUGCAUAUCUCGUCAAGUCCUCGAUUGGAAUGUCAUAGUCUUCUGGAAAUAAACAGCAUAGCACGAAACAUGACUUGGUUUCCUCGAGCUUCAAAUAAUCAUAGCUCAACUUAAGACAUGUAUAAGCAUUAUUUUUUUCGUCAAUUUGUUCCAUGCGCGCAAAUUGAGAUUCUUUGAGCUGUCUAGACGCUGAUUCCCACUGAAGUGCAGAUGCAUCUCUUAGAGCCCUUCCCACUGUCACAAGUGCUAUAGGCAAGCCUUGGCAUUCUCCCGCAACCUCCCUUGCCACUGUGCUAUCAGGUAAACCUGCAUUGAUUCUGAAUAAAUCCCAUGCUUCUUUUUCAGGUAAGGGACUUAACAACACUUUGGGCUCGCACCCCAUAGAAGAACAUAUGCCUUUAAGACGUGUUGUUAUAAGAAUUUUACAAUCCCCGUGAUCAUCACCAAAUGGGAUCCCUAUCUCUUUCAAGUCAAUAUGUUUCCAAACAUCAUCCAGGAUUAUUAGCAUCUUCUCCACUUUCUUCAGUCUCUGCCGUAAUCGAUCAGCUCUCCCUUCUUUACUCUUUUCUUUAAAUUCCAGACCUAACUUCUCUGCCAUUCGAUCCUGGAUGUCUAUGACAUUUGGAUUCUGGGACACCGUAGCCAUCAAAACUUUAUCAAGCGGCGGCUGCAACUCUUUGGCUCUCCUGCCUACUUCCUUCACCAGGGUGGUUUUACCCACCCCUCCCAUGCCGUACAGUCCGAUCAUAUUGACGUUGUCAUCUUUGAGAGCUUUCAUAAUCUGUUUCAAAGCUUCUUUUGAGAUUCUGAGGGCGUGAAUUCCUUUGAUGGGAGAAAUUCUAUGGGCUGAGGAGGAGCUUUGUGGGCCACUUUUAAACUUUUUUUCUAAAAGUUUUCUGAAAGUCUCCGACUUCUUGGCCAGUGCCUUGCUUAACUUGAAUUGUCGCAUGCAGUUUGGACACCAAGUGAAGCAUUUGCCAUUUUUUUCUAUUUCAUUUUCCAAGGACUUCGCCCAUUCAAUUUCGUUGUUUGCAUCUUUCAGCCACUUUUCGACAUCUUUGUAAAUUUCUUCAGCAUUCCUGUCAGCAGCUUCGACAUCGUCUUGCAGACGUUCUUUUUCCGAAACCAGCUUCUCCUUUCGUUCUUUGAAUUCUCCAACAAAAUUGUUGAAACAGAACAUGUAACGGAACUGCCUUCCUACUGGUUUCACCAUGAGUUCUGCUAUCUUAGAUAUAAUGGAUACAACCACACUUUCGAUACCCAUUUUCCACCGACCUGAAAAUCAGAGAAAUAAGGAUACACAGAACGUGAGAGUGACUCACUACAAGUAAAACAGAGAGAAUGGGAAUAGGAAUUUCAUUACCUUAAUUUGGGAAAAUAUGUGCGGAAAGCACUGCUACUGAUUGCUCAAUAAAAUAGCGGGGGAAAGAAAAGGAAAAGGCCUUUAGCUCUGUAUGGAGGCAAGGUAUAAGUACAACAAUAAAAUAGUUUACAUGGAUUCCUACUGACUCUUGUGAGUUAAGGCAGUAGUUCCCAUUAAAAAUGCAUUUUGAUGACAUAAUUAAAAUAAUAUAGAGACAGUGACAAACAAAUAAUAAUAAUAAAAAAAUGGGUAAAAGUACUCACCUAGCAAAGAAAGAAACGAAUGAAAGGUUCGGAUAAUCACUUAGACGUCUCCAUGGAUGAUACCAGCUCGCUUCCAACAACAAAUAUAAUUAACCUAAGCUGUGAUAGGUCAAAGUUUUUUUUACAAGAGAAAAAACUUGCAUAAAAGUAGAAUUACUGAAAAAAACUCAACAAAGAAUCAAACUCAAGCAAUUAAAAAUAAUUGUCUAUGAUGACCAUCUCUUAUCACACGGUCAGGUAAUAUGAUUGACCUAUAACAGUAUUAAAAAAAAAAAAAGGCUUAUAGAUGGUCGCCACGUGUUCAACUUUAUCUACGAUUAGGGAAGGAUAGAAAGUGGGAGAGAGAGAGAGGUUAGAAGGCUUUAAAAAAAAAAGAAAUAGAAGGAGAGGUUGAGGGAGGCAGAAACGGAAGGAGACAUUGAAAGAUCGGAGGAGAGUAAAGAUUAAAAUAUGAAUAUGUGAUGCUCGUUUAUCUAAUUGAUUGGGAUUUUUUUGUGCCUUUGAUAAAAAUACUCUGUUUUUUUUUAUCUCUUUGAUUGGGAUUUUUUUAGGUCUCUUUUAUUUGGAAUUUCUUUGGACACUUUAAUAAUAUAAUAACAAAAAAAAUUAAAAUAUUGGUGAGAUUAUUGUUCAUUCAAACACAAAUUUACUUAAUAGUAUUUUUUCUCUAAUUUUGAGUUUUAGUUUUUGAUAGCCAUGCUAGGUUUAUAUAGUUUUUUAUAAAUAUUUUGGAUAAACAUUUUAAAAGGUUGUAAAUUAUCUCUGUUACAUUUCCUCAAUUUUCUAGACAAGCAAAAGAAGCUAAACUUAUUCCCGACCAAAACGUCAAGAAUUUCAGUAGAACAAAAGAAGAGAUUAUUAUUUGACCAGAAACAACAGAUCCAAGAAUUUCCUGUAUGGCUUCCAAGAAAAUACAAUGAAAUAAGAAAUACUAAGAAAAGAAAGAAAAAGAAAGGAAAGAAACAAAGAUAGAAAGUCAAACUUGGCUCCUCUUCUAGUGUUAAAAAAAAAAAAACAAAGAAGUUCGAGGAAGUGGGCAGGCUUUUUUCUGCUGUUCACGCAGACUAAGAACUCCUACCAUCGUAAAAUCAUAUAAUUAAAACACAACAAUAAAAAAGGAAGGAGCAACUCAUUAUGUGCGAAAACCAGAGAAAUAGGGAUACAGAACGUGAGAGUGAGUCACUACAAGUAAAAGAGGCUCAGAGAGAAUGGGAAUAGGAAUUUCAUUACCUUAACUUGAGAAAAU